RNAcentral lists this long non-coding RNA (133004 nucleotides) under Fragaria vesca (wild strawberry). Its description in RNAcentral is "long non-coding RNA (FVES_LNC001735)". Lineage: Eukaryota; Viridiplantae; Streptophyta; Magnoliopsida; Rosales; Rosaceae. The record is from RNAcentral.
AACCUUAGAACAUAAGGAAACCUAUUAUUAUAAGUAUGAAUCCUUAGAUUACAAGGAAACCCGUUGAAGAUUAUUCCUAAUAAAACUAGAUGUCUAAUCCAUGUUUGAUUGUGUUUCCUUGUAAUCUAAGGAUUCAUAGGUUUCCUAAUAAUCUACGGUUUCACUUAUAAUUGUCUAUAUUUAUAAGGUUUUAUACUGAGUUAUCUACACAAACAUUUUCCCAAUCUCUUUCCUCCCAAAUUGUAUUCGGCCCAAGUUGUAGAUUGUAUUCGGCCCAAGUUGCAGACCCGGCCCGUAGCAGCCCUUUCUUGUGAUAUUUAGGCUCCCCUCUUCCAGAACCUAAAUUAGAUCGGCCGAACAAACCAGAUCUAUUUUUUCGCGACGCGUAGGGAAGCCGGUAUGUCUCUCGAAAUCCCAGUUAUCCCCGAUGAGGAUCCGAAGCCCCGAUCGGAAAAGAUGGAAGUGGAAGACGUAGAUUCAGAUUCAGAUUCAGAUUUAGAUCAGGAGUCAGAUUCAGAUCAGGAGUCAGAAGAAAAAGUGAUGCAUUGCGAAGUUUGUAUGAAGGACGGGGUUCACAUGUCACGUGAUUGCCCGUACUUGGUGAUUAUUCGAGAUCCCAAGGACACACCUAUCGGGAAGCGUUAUAUGAUAGUUUGCCGCGACUGUAGUCUGAGGGAUCAUGGCCACCCUGAUGGAACCUGGCUAGGACGUGCGGUGAUCAAUUUUUAUGAGCGGACUUCCAUGUUUCGAAAGCCUGGUGUGAUUUAUCACAAGCCUGAUGGUGACGAUGAAGAUGACAUCCUUGACUAAUAUGUAAACCAGUGUUUAGAUGGCAAAGAGUGGCUUGUGUUAUGUUGUGUGUUUUCAACUUAUGGAACUAUGACUUAAUGAACAUACACCUAUUGAUGAUUAUGUCUCUUCAUUUUGAAGUUGUUGUGGGUUUUCCAGAACUUGAGUUCUUUUUUAUCCGUAAUGUCGGUUUUAGGUCCUUUUUCUUUAGAUUUCCAAAUGAACGUGCUGUGUUUCUCAUUUGCAACUCGCAAGUUGAGAAAAAUUCCAUUAGCUUUGGAGCCAACACUCUUGUUCGCUAUGAUGCAGAAAAAUUGACUUCACUGACUACUCUCUCCCUCUAUCGCCCGGAACUGACAGUCUUAUGGAUUUUGUUACCAGCAAAAAGAGGCUCAACCUAGCUUGAUUGAGCAAGCUUGGACAAUAUAGCUAUAUGUACAGCCGGUUAAGUUGAGGGGUGGCUUCGAUUUCAUCAAAGAGCUUCUCCAUUCGGGAUUUGUGAUAUCCAAACCAGUAUGUUCUCUUUAUCCAGUUGGUUUAGUUUAAUUGAUUAUAUUCUCUCCAGUAUAUUAGUUUAAUUUGUCUUGACCAGCUCCUGCAUGUGUCGAAUUUUGCUACAAAUCAAAAUCCAUACAGUAGUUCUCCAGAACCAUGCAUGUUGCUAUAAUCUACUGUAUUUCUGCUCAUCAAUAUGCACAAAAGAGUUUCUAUUAUCAGUUCAAUCGAGGAUCUAAUUUAUAUUCACAUCAGUUCUAUUUUUCCAAUGUCUUUUCAGUAUAGAUUUUCUGUAAGCUGUAUUUCAGUAUAAAUUGUAAAAAGGAAGCUGUAUUAAUUUUCAGUAUUUCCAAAUGUUUGCCCGUACCUGAACCGUGACCCAAAUCCAAUGUACACAGCUGUUGGCGGGGCUUUAUGAUAGCCUGCAUCCACUGCUUUAGGGAGAGGAUCAUGGCCACCCUGAUGGAGCCUGACAAGGACGUGCAAUGCUAGAUCCGAGGUUCUUUUAUGAAAAGCCUUCAGGCCAGUUGACCUACCUGCCGAUGAGAGUGAAUACUUUGCCUGACUUACUGUGGGUGCUUCUCGUUUCCAUCAGUCCUAAUUUCAAUGUCUUCUUAAUACAGAUUAUUAGUAUAAGCUGAAUUUCAGUUCUGUAAAGGUUGCUAAUCAUGUACUUGGAUUCUGUAGUUAUGCGUAGAAAUGCUUAGUGGGAACUGCUGCUAUGCAAGUGCACAGUGCACUACAUUACCAUGAGAGGCAAGACAGUUGAAAUGAAAAAGCUCGAUCCCGACACUGGUUUUGAUAAAAAUCACCAACUUGAGAGGCACACUCAACAAGCCAACGUAUCAACGAUGAAAUCACCAACGUAUGCACACGAACUUAUGGAGCGUAUCAACAUGCAGUCUUAUAUAAAAUCAUCAAGCACACACAAAUAAUCUUCCUAUUAAAAAAAAAAAAAAAAAAAUCUUCAAUUUCAACAACAAUCGUCAAUGAUAUCAGUCAAAAUAAGCACACCAAAAUUAAAGCAUAAUUAACGUACGUUUCAUGUCUACUACUGCUUACAUGUAACUAGCUUAUAGUAAAUCAGUCACAUUCAUGGGCAUCUCAUCAAUCUGGGUACUGUAGUACUGUUCAAUGUCUCUUAAGAUCCUGAUAUCAUCGUUCUUGACAAAGUUGAUUGCAACACCCUUGCUUCCAAAACGACCCGAACGACCAAUCCUAUGAAUGUACAGCUCUCGGUUGUUUGGAAGAUCAUAGUUGAUAACCAACGAAACGCUCCGAACAUCGAUUCCCCGAGCCCAAACAUCUGUUGUGACGAGGACGCGUGAUUCAGUGUUCUUGAAAUCUUUCAUUAUAGCGUCUCUCUCUUUCUGAGGCAUGUCUCCAUGCAUUGACGACACAGUAAAGUUAUUGCUCCGCAGCUUUUCGCUAAGCCAAUCGACCUUUCGCUUUGUGUUGCAGAAAACAACAGCUUGUGUGAUCGUGAGGGUGUCAUAGAGAUCACAAAGAGUAUCAAACUUCCAAUCCUCUCUUUCAACUGAAACAAAAAAUUGCUUGAUUCCCUGCAGUUUUAAAUACAAAGUUAAUAUUAACAUAUAUUUCAAGAAAAUAGUAUUCAAAUAAAAACUUGAAAGCAGAAUAUCAUAUAUACCAAGCUGUUGUAAAAUUAUAUAUGUACCUCUAAAGUCAGCUCAUCACGCUUGACCAAGAUCCUUACAGGAUCAGUCAUGAACAGUUUAGUCAUCUCGAGAAUCUCAUUCGGAAGUGUAGCCGAAAUCAAGCAAACUUGGACGUCAGGCGAAAGAUAGCGGUAGACGUUGUAAAUCUGAUUCUUGAAGCCUCUGCUCAACAUUUCAUCAGAUUCGUCGAGGACUAAUAAUUUAAUUUGUCGAGGACGUAGAGUUUUCCUGUCGAGCAUGUCACAGACUCUACCAGGAGUGCCAGACACCACAUGAACACCGUUCUCUAGCCUUCUGAUAUCCUCACCCAAGCUUUUGCCUCCUAUGCAUGAAUGUACCUGAAUAUUUAGAUAAUUCCCCAUUGCCAUUAUCACUUUCUCUGUCUGGGCUGCCAAUUCCCUCGUUGGAGAAAGUAUCAAUGCCUGAACCCUGUAACAUAGGGUAAAUAAUUAGGCAUGUAUUUAACAAAUAAUAAGCCCCAGUUAACACUAACAAUUCAGAACUUGUAUCAUGCAAAUAAGCAAACCCUAGCCCUAACCCUAACCCUAUGUAGUGAAGGACAUAAAUGAAUCAACUACUCCUAUAAAAAAAAAAGUAGAAGAAGGGUUUAGCUAGCUCGGAAAGGAUCUCUUACUCUCUGGAGGCGGUGUCAACCAUUUGGCAAGCGGCGAGUGCGAUCAUUGAUGUCUUUCCGGUACCGGACUGUGCCUGAGCGAUAACGUCCCUUCCCUCAAUAAUAACUUUGAUGGCCCGUUGUUGGAUAGCUGAGGGCUUCUCAAAGCCAUGGUUGUAGAUGCCUCGGAGGAGCUCGUCUUUAAGGCACAUAUCUUCGAAGCUUGUCAUCGGCUCUAUCCCUUCCGAUUCCCAGGUUACAAUCUCCAGCUUCUUCUCUGUGGUGUUCUUGACACCCCGUUUUGUUCGGCUCGACCUCGAGGUUGCUGUUGAUGCCAUGCUUAAAAUAAAACUCGCGACUAGCUAGGGUUUAUUAAUCUUGAGGAGUCCCCGGGCUCCUUUAUAUAGAAUAUUUCGUAUUAUUCCUUAUUGUCUGAGAAAACCUUCCAAAUCAGACUCGUAAUAUCUUGCAAUCUUCCAAAACCAUGGCAGAAUGGAUCUAGAUUCUCUGCUUGGAUUUAUGUUGUUUGAAUUUGUUUUUAUGUCUUAUAACUAUUAGAUAUAGCAAGGAUGACAUAAAGAUAACAUAGCGGUCUUAGAUUGUACUUGAUCCUUGGUGUGUUUGGAUGCGGGUGAAUUUCCGAGAAUUUAAUCAAAAAUAAGGAAUUCAAAAUUUCUUAGGACGGUUUCCCUCGUCUGGAUUCUUAUCUCAUGAAAUUUCCACAGGAAAAUAAUUGUGGAAUUUGGGAGCUUAAAUUCCUGACUUGAAUUCUUUACAAAAUAGGCGUCAUUUGUCAAUUCUUUUAACUGAGGUUAGCCUAGAUACAAAUUCUUGGCAUUUUAAGACCCUAUAUCAAGAAAUCCAAACAAUGGAAUUCUCGAUUAAUAAAAUUUAAAUUCAUGGAAUUAUAACUCCCAUGAUUUCAAAAUUUCUAUGGACAUUAAACUUACUUUAUCCAAACACAACGUAGAAGUAAUCCAAACAAAUUCAAACAAUAUAAAUCGAAGUAAAGAAGCCAAAUAUGGCAGAAUAUAUCGUUAUAACAUAUGCAUGGCUCAUUGGCAAAAAUCUACACACCAACCUUGAUUUAUUUAUUUUAUUAAUUAAAAAUUGGCACGAACAAUCGGUAAUCUGUCAAUGGUUAUGACUAAUUGUACUUCCAAUAAGAAAAUCCAUGACUAUUCUAAGUAGAAACAAACUCAUGAUUACACAUCUAUGAUAAACUUUCUGGGGAACAAACUUAUAAACAAAGAAACUUAGUGUUUUUUAGGACAAAUUCAUCUUCUAACUCUCUAUUAGCCUACAUGCAAUUGUGGCACCAACAGAAAACCACUUCUUAGGAAACAAGUAGAACCAUCUUCUAAUUCAUCAUCUUCUCGAAAGAUUAUUACCAACUCACGAAGCAGUCUUGACCCGAAAUAAUUGUUCAUUGACCAUGUAUCGACCCAACUGCCCUAAAAUGUCCACCUGUUGGGCUAGGCCCACCCUCCCUCCUAGCCCACCAAAUCCAUCAAGUCAAGUUUGAGCCGAGGUUCGCAAGCCCAAGCCCAAAUUGGCCAGCUAAAACCUUACACCAAGCCAGCCUAACAACCUAUGUUGUUCUUGCAUUGAACCGUCUGGCCAGUCCAAAGCAUCUCGCUUGCCGGUUCGACGCUGAUCAAUCAGACUAUCGUCGAUUUGAAGCCGAACUUGACGUAGAUGCCAACUUGAUCCGCACGGCUCUACUUCCAACCGUCAUCGAUCCAACUCAGACCUAUACCAAUUAAUAGUUUGAUUCAACACUCCUUUUUCCCCUGACGAUGCUGUACAAAUCGCCCACACCCCAAAAAUUGACUUGGUAAUAUGUUUUUUUAAAUGCGAAAGUAAAUCAAAUACAAUACAUUACAGACAAUUGCCUCUUAGAUAACCAGUUCCUAAAUCAUCAAAUUAAAUGCAUUGGGUGACUCUUCUCGGAAGUUUGUUUUCCCAUACUCUUUCUUUUGUGGUUUGGUGGCUUGUGCUUGCAAUUGUCGCAAAGUUUGCUUAUCUAUAAAUGUGUUUAAAAGAGAUGAUGCUGAAACCUUGUGCAAUUUUCUUGAUUUCUUGGACAAUUUGCUGAAUCCUUCAAGGUAGGUUAUUCUUCUCAUUAACUACAUCAAUGACCAUUUUUGAUGAAUCCCCUUCUACUUGGAUGUGUGUAACCAUCAAUGACUUGGUAAUAUGUUGCUAACGUUGCAAUCUCACUUCAAAUAUAAAAUAAGAAAUGCAGCAGGUGAUAAGUCAUACAAUCCAACGGAUCCAAUUCGUCUCCCCUCACGAGUGUUGACUAUCAAGAAUCAAACAGAAAAAGAAUUUCCACAGCGGCGGACCCCACCGCCCUCCCUACCACCACCGGUCCACCACCACAGUUUGCACUUCACACAGAAAGACUCGGGUCUCUCUCUCUCUCUCUCUCUCUCUCUCUCAGAAAAUUCGAGAUCCCAUUUCCUCACCAAAACCAUGGCCUUCUCGUCCUUCAGCGCUCGCCGCGGAGGCGCGUGGCCCCACUCGCUCCUCCCCUCCACCACCGCCUCCUCCAAAUCGAAGCACACCCGAAAGCCCCGGCGACGCCUCCUCCUCCGCGACUUCCUCUUCGCCAACUUCUUCACCAUCGGCCUCUCCGUCUCCCUCUUCUUCUUCUUCCUCCUCCUCCUCCGCUACGGCGUCCCGCACCCGAUCACCGCCGGCUUCAAGUACUCCAGGUCCCCGAUCCGCUUCUCCAAGCCGCCACGUAAGCCCGUCGCCCGAAAACCCGGCCAAAACGACGACGUCUCCGGCGCCGCCGUGGACAUCACCACCAAGGAGCUUUACGACAAGAUUGAAUUCUCCGACGUCGACGGCGGGCCGUGGAAGCAAGGAUGGAGAGUCGGUUACAGAGGCGACGAGUGGGACUCUGAGAAGCUGAAGGUGGUUGUGGUGCCGCACUCGCAUAACGAUCCCGGUUGGAAGCUCACGGUGGCUGAGUACUAUGAGAGGCAGUCCAGGCAUAUACUCGACACCAUUGUUGCUACGCUUUCCAAGGUCAGCUACCUGUAAUUUCAGUCAAUUGUGAUUCGUUAGGUUUUCAGAGCUCUAGAGCUUCGAAAUGCAUGCACUAAUUGGUUUAGUUUUCGCUGCUCAAGUCUCCGAUUGUUAAGUUUGUAUGCACUGAUUGGUUCACUUUUUCAUGUUCUAGUUUCGGAUAAGCUCUUUGUGGUAUAAUGUGUCUAAAAUGUGAUUGGUUUUAGUUGGUUUUUGAACUUAAUAAGUUGUGGAGUCUUGGAAGAGUGAACGGAAAGCAUGGUAGAACAAUUUUUUGUGUUUAUAAUUCGGUGCUUCUGUAGGGGAUUGAGUAGAGUGCGUUUUGAAUGUGUAGGAUACUCGGCGCAAGUUUAUAUGGGAAGAGAUGUCGUAUCUGGAAAGGUGGUGGAAAGAUUCCGCUGAUGACAAAAGAGAAUUGUUCACGAAUCUGGUAAAGAAUGGUCAGCUAGAGAUCGUUGGAGGUGGCUGGGUGAUGAAUGAUGAGGUAAUAUCUGUAGACGUUUUGUAGAAGUUUAAUUGAUUUCAAAGCCUAAGGUUCUGUUUAUGCACAUUUACAUUGAGUUGGAGUUUAACCAUGCUCCUAGUGCGUGAAGUGCUUGUGUAACCAAUCCAUAAGUUUGAAGCUUAUCGGUUCCUGUUGUUUAUGCAGGCUAAUUCACAUUACUAUGCCAUAAUUGAACAGGUAUUAUCAGUUCUCUUUUGUAAGUUUACACUAUCUAUAGAAAUGCAUUUGUUCUGCUUAUAUACAUCUUUCGUGUCACUGAAUUGCUGCUUUGAUAUUUGGGUAAUGGAUGGUCAGAUCACAGAAGGAAAUUUGUGGCUGAAUGAAACAGUAGGUGUUAUUCCUAAGAAUUCUUGGGCAAUAGAUCCCUUUGGCUACUCAUCUACCAUGGCAUAUCUUCUGCGCCGUAUGGGUUUUGAAAAUAUGCUCAUUCAGAGAACCCAUUAUGAGCUUAAGAAAGAGCUUGCACUGCACAAGAAUUUGGAGUAUAUUUGGCGUCAGAGCUGGGAUGUGGAUGAAUCUACUGAUAUUUUUGUCCACAUGAUGCCCUUUUAUUCUUAUGAUGUUCCACAUACUUGUGGGCCAGAGCCAGCUAUUUGUUGUCAGUUCGACUUUGCUCGUAUGCGUGGCUUUAUGUAUGAAUUUUGUCCUUGGGGAGAUAAUCCGGUAGAGACCAACCAAGAAAAUGUGCAGGAGCGGGCACUUCUACUACUAGAUCAAUAUAAGAAGAAAUCAACACUAUACAGGACAAAUACACUUCUUAUUCCUCUUGGAGAUGAUUUUCGCUACGUUAGCAUAGAGGAAGCUGAAGCUCAGUUUAGGAAUUAUCAGAUGUUAUUUGAUUAUAUCAAUUCUAAUCCCAGUUUAAAUGCUGAGGCGCAUUUUGGAACUUUGGAGGACUACUUUCGAACCCUUCGUGAGGAGGCUGAAAGAAUAAAUCACACACGUCCUGGGGAAAUUGGUUCCGGUCAGGUUGGAGGUUUUCCUUCUCUUUCGGGUGACUUCUUCACUUAUGCUGAUAGGCAGCAGGACUAUUGGAGUGGUUAUUAUGUAUCAAGGCCUUUCUUCAAGGCUGUUGAUCGAGUACUAGAGCAUACACUUCGUGCCACGGAUAUGAUGAUGGCUUUCCUGCUUGGGUACUGUGGGAGAGCACAAUGUGAAAAGUUGCCCAUCGGGUUUUCUUACAAGCUAGCAGCUGCUAGAAGGAAUUUAGCUCUUUUUCAGCAUCAUGAUGGUGUGACUGGUACCGCUAAAGAUCAUGUUGUCCUGGAUUAUGGGAUGCGGAUGCACACUUCCUUGCAGGACUUGCAGAUUUUCAUGUCUAAAGCUAUUGAGGUGUUGCUUGGAAUACGCCAUGACAAAUAUGAUAUUAACCCUUCUCAGUUUGAGCCAGAACAGGUGAGAUCUAAAUAUGAUGUUCAGCCUGUUCAUAGAGCGAUCAUGGCUCGUGAAGGAACCCGCCAAACAGUAGUCCUUUUCAAUCCCUCGGAGCAGAUAAGAGAAGAGGUUGUGAUGGUUAUUGUUAACCGUCCUGAUGUUACUGUUCUAGACUUGAACUGGACAUGUGUCCCAAGCCAAAUAUCCCCUGAAUUGCAGCAUGAUAAAAGCAAAAUCUUCACUGGAAGGCAUCGUGUCUACUGGCAGGCUUCUGUUCCUGCUCUGGGGUUGCAGACAUAUUAUAUAACUAAUGGAUUUGCUGGAUGUGAAAAGGCGAAGCCAGCAAAAAUUAGAUACUUCUCAAAGUCUGGUUCUUUCUCUUGCCCAACUCCAUAUCCUUGUUCGAAAGUAGAAGCUGAUGUGGCUGAAAUCCAGAACAGGCAUCAGACACUCACUUUUGAUGUCAAUCAUGGUCUAUUGCAGAAAAUAAGCUAUAAAACUGGGACCCAAAAUGUUGUGGGUGAAGAAAUAGCUAUGUAUUCUAGCUGGGGAAGCGGAGCAUAUCUUUUUAAACCUGAUGGCGAUGCGCAGCCUAUCAUUGCAGCAGGUGGGCAGAUGGUGAUCUCUGAGGGACCUUUGGUGCAGGAAGUAUAUUCUUAUCCAAGUACACAAUGGGAGAAGAGCCCCAUUUCUCAUAGCACUCGUCUCUACAACGGAGAAAAUACUGUACAGGAGUUUCUCAUUGAGAAGGAGUAUCAUGUUGAGCUUCUCGACCAGCAGUUUAAUGACAGGGAGUUGAUAGUUAGAUACAAAACAGAUAUUGACAACAAAAGAGUAUUCUUUUCUGAUUUAAAUGGCUUUCAGAUGAGCAGGAGAGAAACCUACAAUAAAAUCCCCCUUCAGGGCAAUUACUACCCUAUGCCUUCUCUUGCAUUCAUGCAGGGAUCCAAUGGUCAGCGGUUUUCUGUUCAUUCCCGGCAGUCAUUGGGUGUGGCAAGCCUUAAAAAUGGAUGGUUGGAGAUUAUGCUUGACCGUCGUUUGGUAAGAGAUGACGGACGUGGUCUUGGACAAGGAGUGAUGGACAACCGUGCGAUGAAUGUAGUCUUCCACAUCCUUGUAGAGGCCAAUAUUUCUUCUGCAUCAAACCCAGUUUCUAACCCAUUGCCAUUAAACCCCUCUCUUCUCUCCCACCGUGUCGGUGCUGACCUGAACUAUCCAUUGCAUGCAUUCGUUUCCAAGAAGCCAGAGGAUUUGUCAGUGCAACCACCCCUGAGAUCAUUCUCACCCUUAGCUGCACCCUUACCGUGUGAUCUGCAUAUUGUAAGUUUAAAGGUUCCCCAACCUUUAAAGUUCUCUCAGCCACCACUUGAAGAUUCUAGAUUUGUCUUAACAUUACAGAGACGAAGUUGGGACUCUUCAUAUUGCCGGAAGGGCAGGUCUAAUUGCACUAGAUUUGCUGAUGAAACUGUGAAUUUGCUCAACAUGUUUCGGGAGCUCACUGUAUCGAAUGGGAGACCAACUUCCUUAAAUCUUCUACAUGAAGACACAGAUAUGCUUGGGUAUCCUGAGCAGUUUGGAGAUGUUGCUGCAGAAGGACAAGUCCUCAUUUCCCCCAUGGAAAUACAGGCUUACAAGAUGGAGUUACAGCCACACCAGUGAGUGUACUAGUAGUGGAUUUCAUUAUGGCAGUCUUCAGGACAAUGCUUCAAUGGGGCUCAUAGCCAAGAGUGAGGAGACGUCACAUGCUUACAAGUUGGAAUUACGGCUACCAUUGAAUGUUUUGAUUUCUCAGAUCCCACUAUUAACAUAAUCAAAAGUGUGGGAUUAUAUGUUUGCUGCAAAGUCUCGGGGGAAAGACAGUAAAUACGAGUGGUGAUACAUCAACUAAUCUACCAUCCAGGUUUAGCUCCUGCUGAGCAAGUUUAUUGGGUUACAUGAACUUGGAAUUCGUUUUGUUGUGAAAUAGCUGUUCCCAAUUUUGCUUCAAGAUAGUCGCUUUCGUGUUUACCAAUAGCAGAGUUUUGAGUUCUGAGUUUUGUUUAGAUCAGUAAAUGGAAAUGUGUCAACUCUGUACUGUUCUAGUUUGAUCUAUGCGCUGUUUGUUGGUCCAAAAUGCAUCCUGUAUUUCACAAUUUUGUAGCAAUCAGAACAGCUGCGACUUUCUAUAAAAAUAUGAUCAUGGAUAUACCACUAGGCGGUAACUUGGUAUAAAUAGUUGUGUUUUGAUUCCCCUAGUAUCAGACAUUGUUCUUCUUGAUCAAUUUAUUUUGUAAUUGAGUUUGUAACAGGAUCAUAGUAAUUAGAAUCCAAAUCGGCAUGAAAGUACUACCAAGAGAUGAUCCCUUCAUCGAGAUAUUUUAGCUAUCAGUUUGUGCAGAUGAAAUUGUAAAACAAAUUUAUACAAAUAUCAAUUGAACCUACGCUUUUUAAGUCACAAAAAUUGGUGUGUUCUUUCUUUACUUGAGGACCGUACUGAUGAAUUAUAUUGCUGAAUAAGAAUGUUGCCUAUAUGUUUCUUGUGGCUAAGAACGAUGUUGUUAUUAGUUAGCAACAACAAUCAGGAGUAAUGGAGAGUAAAUGAUUUUGUGUCGAAGGGCUUCAUCAAAACAGAAGACGAGAUGCCUAGUCAAGCCAAAGUCAUUUGGAAUUCGUUAUGUCAUGUCUUCUUACAUACGCACAAUAUCAAGUGAAGGUACGCUUAUUGGUCACAAAAAUUGGUCCUCUUUCUUUACGGGAGGAUUGUAUUGCCGAAUAAAGAAUGUUGCCUAUAUGUUCCUCGUUGCUCAAUUAUACAAUAUCAUUUGUCCCACAAAAAACAAAUUAUACAACACAGAUGUUAGCCAAAAUUAUUCAAGAAGUGGAUGUAGGGGUGCAAACAGAACUAAGGAGGCAUUUGCAAUCUCUCUCUCAACCUCUACAAAAUGAUCUCCUCUUGUACACUAACGUUAAGAGUCUUGUGUGGGAGAACAAUGCUGUUAAUCACCACAACUUCGUCUUCAACAGUUACUGCUUCUCCUGCCAAAAGAAAAGGAGAGCUCAUAUGAGAAAUCUUCAUUAAACUGCACAUCAUCAUAGAAAGUAAAUAUAAGAAACCAAGAAUGCAUACCAAGGAUGGUAAUUCCAAGCUUUGCAUUGAAGUCUCCUUCGGCCUGAACCAUUCAAUUUAGUUAGCAACAAUAAUCAGGAGUAUUCAAGACUAACUCAUAAGAAGUUAAUAACUCAAGAAAAACUGUAAGCUACUAAUCUCAUUCAAUAAGCUUUACUAAAUUUAUAUUUUAAUUAUCUCAUUCAUGACUGGCUUCAGCUUUUAUGUCCUGGAAAUAAGCUUUUGGUUAUCUGGGAUUUCUCUUUUCAAGAUGUUUCCUUAGCAUAUAGUUGAGAGAUGAUCUCCCUUAAGUUCACAUCUAACCGCCUUUUAUUAUGCCACGAUGCAACUACUUGACUAGACUUGCCUGCACACGCGACCAUUUCCCAAUAGUUGACUUCCAUCCAACAAUAGAAUGUAUAACAACUGCAUUUUCCUGUCAUAAAAAAGUAAAAAGUAAAAUAAAAUAUAAAAAACCUUUUAGUUUUAAAUAUUGAUUGAAACACCAACAUCAAAUUGUGAAGUUCUAAAAUAUCAAUGGGCACAGCUUCAAUACCUUAAUUUCCACAUCAUCCAAGACGAUGCAACUUAUAAGUCUUACUCCUGCACCUAUCCGAACAUUUGCCGAAAGAGAUACAUUGGGACCAAUCUGUGCACAAAAGCGAAUCACACUUCAGAAGGAAAUGUCGCAGAAUUAAAGUGGUAGUAUCAGUAAAAAGUUGCUGUAUGCAUCCUGCCCAGCCCUACUUUAUCUAACAUGUGCCUGUGCAACUGUAAACAAGGACAGCACAAAUUGGGUAUGCCAUAAACACAAUACAAAGACAUGACAUGGAAGUGGCACUACCUUAGCACUAGGAUGUACUUUUGCCGAUGGAUGAAUAUAAACAUCACCAACAAUUGUCGCAUUCUUGAUUCCAUCUCCACUAGCUAAAAGAUGUGAAGAGGUGAAUCGAAAUUGAUAAAGAUACAAAGACGAACACUUCAAUGCCAUCCUGUAAUGUAAAACAACAAUUAUUAUGAACUAACAAUGGUAAUAAGUUAUAGAAAGGAACAACAAUCAAGUCAUAAGGUAACAGGCUCUACCCUGGAGUCUUGAUCUGUUCCCAGAAAUCCAUGGUCUCAUAAGUAUAUAACUGCUUCUUUCCAGCAAGAGGUGACAAAAUAUCUUGAUCCAAUCUGACAAAAUCUGUAGGAAGAUUCCUGUUGAAGAAAAUGUAUAUUAGAUCAAAACAGACACAAGGAAAGGCCAUUGAUAAUCAAAAGAUAUGGAAAGUAAAAAUACCAUAGCAUUGUGAUUGUUUUGUGAGUGUGCAUCAAAAUAUGUCCACAUCAUGAUGAUACACACAUUGCAGUGACAACAUUCAAUAAUAAAUAUAUGUUGUAAUGCUUUCAUGCCACAAGAGUUGAAAUUCCAGGGGAUUACAAAGAAGGUAGUUAAUUAUGGAAACUUAAACAAAAAGAUGUCAACUCAUAAACAGGUUGUUAAUUAGAUACUACCUGGGAACCAUGUUUUGCACCACACAAUAGGGAAACAGUUCUUCUAUGGUAACCUGGUAUAAGUUCGACAUUUAAACUUAAUAAGUAAGAAACCAGGAGAAGGCGAACCUUGUAGCAGACUGAAGGGCUUCAAAGCUGGAAAUACGGCGUAAAUUGGCUGAAACGGACAAAAUAAUGUCACUGUCAGAAAGGUGGAGACAGUUUAUUGCAUAUGGCAGACUGAAUUAAACAAUCAGGUGUGGAACAAAGUCAAUGAUUGCAAGCACUAUCACCAAUUCAUUAGACCACGUAGAUCUUAUAUGACAUAUGAUGCAGACAAAGCAAAAACUUUGCUGUUUCAUUGCAUCUUACCGAACAGAUUAACUUAUCAAAGCUACAAACAGAACCUGUAUCAGUCACAUGGCUGUUUAAUUUGAAUCAUGAUUCAAGCUUCAACACAUUAUUGAUUUAUUCAAUGGAGGUUCCAUAUUUGCAACUAAAAUACAUCAAACAGAACUUACAAUCAAAUAAUCUUUAACAGGUGCUACUACCUAUUGAAAUAUUUCAUAUAACGGCAAAGAUAUAUGCAAAGAAAACACCAAGAACAAGUAUUUCAUAUAAUAGCAGUAGUGACUCAGUUCUACGGAUGCAAUACAGGGUGAGGCCAAGAUUGUUUCUAGUCAUCACAAACCAAAAAAAAAUUAAGAUUACUUGAGCUGGAGAUUAACUCAAGGUAAAAACUAGCCAACAGCCAAAUUGAACAUGUACUAACAAAGACCAACCUCUGCCUUCCCGGUGACUGGAGACAUCUUCAAUGGCAUUAAAGACUUCAGGGGUGAAUACAUAAACACCACAGUUUAUCAAAUCACUCACCUGCAUUUCCAAAAAUAGUCAAGGCUUAGAAAUUGUGGCUGGGUACAAGCAACUGUAAUUAAGGUCAUCAAAGCACCAAUAAAAUGAAUAACAUCAGAAAACUAACUGAACUAUAUACAUACAAAAGUCUCUGGUUUCUCGGUGUAAUGCAACAGUUCUUUGGUGAUCGGAUCGGCAACCAACUCACCAAACUCGUUGGCAGAUUCAGCAGAAACCUGCAGAUACAGCCCAAAAAAGAGAGAGGAAAGAAUAACAUCACCAAAGGCAAAGUAGAAGAAAUUCAAUAGGGAUAGAAACCAGCUUGUCAAGACACCAACCUUGAUCACCAGCAUUGUACCCAUUCCACCAUAUCUUACAUGAGCCUCUGCAAAAUCAAACAUCAUCCGCAAGCAGCAUUAUGAAUUACUCCUUCCAAGUCAUCAUCCAUAACUCUAACCAACAACAAUUCCAUUAUAACCAACAAUAUAUCGCAAACCAAACAUACCAAGCAUAUCUGCAAGCGGAAAGCUGCAGCAUACAUCACAAUUCAGCAAAAAGAUAUGCGACUGCCAAACAAACACAAUACACAUGUGAUCACAACAUUAUCUCACACACAAGACUACUAUCAAACAAGAGUUAAGCAGAGAAGCGAUACCGGGCUGUCUUCCAUGAUCAAAUCUCUGAAGUAAUAAAUCCCACCAGCUGAGCCAUGUGGUUUAUCCUCUUUCAAGUACCUCACCGGCACUUUAAGCUCAUUCGAAAUCGAAGAAACAUAGAGUGCAAAUUCACGCUCCUCAUAAAACCCAAUCAGAAAAAUCUGAGCCAAAUUGGGUAUCUACAACACAACACCAAACAUUCUAAACAAUUCACACCCCUUAACCAAUAAUGCUUGCAAAAUCAAAAUCCCAAUAAGAAAACAAAAAAACAAACCUUUUUACAAGCUGAGAUUGGAUGAUGAACCAUGGCUUGCCCGGCCAACGGGAAAAGCGGCUUCGGCGUGUUGAACGAUAGAGGCCGGAAUCUAGUACCUGACCGGAAAAAUCAAUAAAGCUCAGAAAAGGUUGAGAAAGAUUGAAACUUUGAUGAAAUUGGAGGAAAUUGAGAUGACCCAGGUACCUUUAGUGGGGCCUCCGACCAUGAUUACGGCGACGACCUUCUCUCCUGAGCUGUCCAUGCCGGAAAUGGAAACCCUAGAUCUUGAGCUUAGGAGAAGAAAGUGGAAGUGAGUUGGGAUUGGGAUGGAAGCAAAGUGUUUGAGUUGAAGGUGGAGACUUGGAAGAGAAGUGAGUUGUGUUCGAGUGUCCAAACUCCGAGGAGGUUUUAAAUAUCUGUUAUGACUUUGAUGCAGGGGGAUCCCGAGAGAGAAUAUUAUUUGAACCACCAAAGGUAUUGACCAAACGACGUCGGAAGGCUCACGUUGUGUUUACGUAAAGAUUUUGGAAAGUUGAUUUUUUUUUUUUUUUGGAGAGAAUAUUGGAGUUUGAUCAAGAAAUAAUUUCCACUUGGUUAGGAAAGAGACGCCGUUAUGAGAGGUAACAAGAUUCAUAAGGUUGUUGGAGGCUUGAAGCCUCAGUCAUUUGAGUGUUUAGUGUAGAUCUUCCGGGAAACCACUCUGAUCUUCAGGGAAGCCUCAGUCAUUUGAGUGUUUAUUUGUUGGAGGUUGUUUAGUAAUUUGGGCUGUGGACGAAGGCGUUGCCCUGGACCCUGGUAUUCAACUAGGCCUAACGGUUGUCAAGUCAGUGCUGGCACAAUUGUGCAUUGUUUUGAUUGGGAACUUCCGGAUAACAUGUCACCAAAUGAUUUGGAUAUGACAGAGGAGUAUGGAAUUACGGUUCCAAGGGCCAAGCAUCUAUUGGCUAUUCCAUCAUAUCGCCUUUGCAAGUGAUCACAAUUUGUAUGUAACGCAUUUUCGUGGUAUUAUCUUGUUGUUCUGGUUUUCUAUUCUAUGUGACCACUGUUGUAGCAUAUCUUGUGUUUGCUUUUCUUUUGUAUAAGGGAAACCAGUCAUGUAACAAUAUGCUGUAAUUCAGUUAAAUUUAGGCUGGCUGUUUUCUCCUUUGUUGAUGGUAUUAAUGGUUAUGUUUUGACUUUUGAGGUUUGCUGAGUAUUUUCUUCCAUUGUGAUUUGGUUUACUUAAUUGAUUCUUGAAACUGUUAUCCAGAAUAAUGGGUUUUUUUUUGGCCAUAUGUAGUGAGGGAAAAUGUGCAAGUGCAAUUUGGUGUGAGCAGGCUGUCUAGUGGUCUGGGACACUUUAUUUGCCAGUAGAGAGGUGAUUCUUCCAUUAGUGUUGUUGCUUUUACUAUUUUACAUCAAUUUAUUUUUACAGUUUUUAAAUUUAUUUCUGAUUCAGAAAUACCAAAAGGUUAAGUUGAGAGUUCAGUAGAAGUAUGUGACGUGAGUCUUUUCAAUAAUGUAUAUAUGCAUGACUUUAUAACUCCAUUCUAGAAAUAUAUAUUGAAGAUUUAUAUAAUCAUUACCAUUAGGUUGUAGUGUUUUACACUUGACAGUAGUCAUUUACUGCCGGAAUAAUUUGACAAUAAGUUUGGAUGUGUGUGAUAUCCCUGUCUAUGUAUCCCCGUCCUGCUAUCCUCAUACCUCCUGAUGAUUUCUUUGGAAUAUAACUUUGCUUGGAAUGGUGGUGGUGCUUUGGUUGCUUUAGCUUUGCUUUUCGUUGGGCUUUCUUUUCCUUUUUGAUCCUUUGGCUUUAGGCCAAUGUUCAUACCACACUAAGGAUAAUAUUAGUCAUCAAGUUAGUUAAAGAAUAUGCCAAGGGUGGACACUUGGUUUACCAGACUUCAAAUAGAAACAGAAAAGAUUUCACAUAUAUAUCUAGUGCUCACAAAAAAAAAAAUCAUACUAAAAAAUAAACACAAACCAGACGCUGCUGGUUCUGUUGUUCUCUUUUGUCAAAGAUCGGAAUUAUGGCUGAAGGUGUUGUCGCAAUUGUGACCGAAGGGAUCAAGCCCCUCGGAGAGCUCAUCAAUUUAGCAAAUUCUUGUGUGGAGUCGGCAACCAAAUUGAGCUUGCACAGAAUGAGCUGCACUUGAUCCGGGGAUUUCUAAAAGACGCAGAUACGAGGCAACAAGAUGAAGAACAAGUACGCAUUUCUGUUAAGCUUAGGAUAGGUUUUGUGUGGAAGGAAAGAUGUGAAAUUCUGGCUUAGGAAACAGUGAAAAUUGGAUACCGAUGAUUUGCUUCCAAAGUUGAGGAGCCCAGUAAGAUCACAAUAUCUUUGAACAAUGGAAAAACAGAUAGAUUCCCUCUGUAAGCUAGCUAUGGCGAAAGUGACUAGUUGGGGCCGCGAUAAUCAUAAUAGCAAAAGGAAAAGUACCACUCACAUGGUAGGGUACACCUUUCGGCCUUAUCGAUCACAAUGUCGGAUAUUGCAUUAUUGGAGGUAGCUACUAGCUACUGUAAAGAAUCUUUGCAUAAAGAAGAACUUUGGUUUGGUUUCCCAUACACCCGUAGAAACAUCAAGUUCACCAAUUUGAGAGGAUCAGAGAUAUGGCUGAAGGUGUUGUCGCAAUUGUGACCGAAGGGAUCAAGCCCCUCGGAGAGUUCAUCAUUCAGCAAGCGAAAUUCUUGAGUGGUGUCGGCUACCAAAUUGAGCUUGCGCAGAUUGAGCUACAUUUGAUCCGGGGAUUUCUAAAAGACGCAGAUACGAGGCAACAAGAUGAAGAACUAGUACGCAUUUGUGUUAAGCUUAUCAGAGAUGCUGCUUAUGACUUGGAGGAUGUCAUUGAAUCUUUCGCCUUGAAGGUGGCUAUCAGAAGUAGAGGUGGUACUGUGAAGAUGGUUCUCAAAAGGUUUGCCUGCAUCUUCAACGAAGGAGUUCAUCGAUACAAGAUUGGGUUCGAAAUUGAGGAUAUUAUGUCUAAACUUUCUCAUCUAAGGUCGAGUUUGCAAAGUUACAACAUACGGCAGACAAGCGGUAGUGAAAGUGUUGCUUCAGCUUUUAAGAGGCAACGAGAUCGAAGGCUAACUUAUGGACAUGAAGUUGAAAGUCAUAUUGUUGGGUUGGAGGAAAACACUGAUAAGCUGGUGAAGGAGUUGGUGAGAGAAGGAAAGCGUCACCGUAUUGUGUCUAUUUGGGGGAUGGGCGGCUCUGGAAAAACCACUCUUGCAAAACAGGUUUUUCAUCAAGAUGAAGUUAAGCGUCAUUUUCAUUGUUUUGCUUGGGUCUGUGUAUCUCAACAAUGUGAAGGAAGGGAUGUUUUGGAAGAGAUUUUGAUUGAACUCACUUCCCCAACAACAGAGAAAAGGAAAGAAAUUUCCAAAAUGAAAAAGGAUGAAAUAGCACGGGAGGUCUGUUGUAUCCAAAGAGAAAAGAGAUGUCUGGUGGUCCUUGAUGACAUAUGGACUCUAGAGGCUUGGAAUUCGAUAAAAGCUGGCUUCCCAAUCAAUGAGGAAACAGAGAGCCGGAUACUACUUACCAGUCGCAAGAAAGAAGUUGCCUCGCUUGCAUCUGGAGCUGAUCAUCGCCACCAACCUCGACCUCUUGACGAAAAACAAAGCUGGGAACUAUUUGAAAAGAUUGCGUUAUCUGGAAGAGAUGAAACAGGUAUGUCUAUUUUCUUUUUUUGCACCAAACUAUACUUCUAUCUAUACAUUUCUAGCUUAAGGUAGACAGUUUUUUGUUACAUCAAUAUAGCACCUGUCAAUCUAUAUCUUUCCCUUACUGAGUCAUGAGGAUACUUGUUUUAAUUAUGCUGAUAAACUAACAAGCAAAACAAUAAGCAACUAAAAUAAUGAUUUGAUUUCUUUCCCAGAAUAUGCAAAUAAAAGAGAAUUAGGACAGAAGAUGCUUGAGCAUUGCUCAGGUUUGCCAUUAGCUAUCCGUGUGCUCGCUGGUCUUCUAAGUAGACGAGAUAAAGUUGAGGAGUGGCAAGCAGUUCUUAGAAAUGUUGAUAAGUACAUAAUGAGAGGCACAACUGUCCUUGAAAGAGAAAUCUCAGGUCAGGAGUAUGGUGUGUCGUGUGUCUUGGCAUUGAGUUAUGAUGAUUUACCAUCUCAGUUAAAACUCUGCUUUCUAUACUUGGCCCAGUUUCCUGAGGAUCAUGAGAUACCGGUCAAAAGAUUGACCCAAUUAUGGAUUGCAGAAGGGUUUAUAACUUCAACAAUAGAUUUACAUGGUUCAUUGGAAAUAAUGGAAGAUGUAGCAUAUGAUUGUCUCACUGAACUGGUGGAAAGAUCUAUGGUUCAAGUUGUAAAUUAUGGUUCAAGUGGGAAGGUGAAAACUUGUCGUCUCCAUGAUCUUAUGCGAGACUUGUGCUUGCAAAAGGCAAAAGAGGAGGACUUCCUCGAUGUUGUUGACUUUUCUACGGGUCGAAGACUAACUGGUAAUAAGGUUCGAAGACUAGUCCUUUAUCUGGACAACAAAUCUGAAUGUGAGUUCAGCGGUAAGGAUGGAAGAAAUGGCCACAUUAGGUCUCUAUUAUACUUUAACCCCACAUACUUCGGACAAAAGCGGAGCAAAAGAAUUAUAAGAUCAGUAUUCAACGACUUCAGAUUGCUUAGAGUCUUGAAGUUUGAAAAUAUGGGUACAGAAUAUGAGUUACCGAAGACGAUUGGGAACCUAGUCCACUUGAGGUUUCUAAGUCUGAGGAGGAGCGCAUUUCGUGCGUUGCCGUCAUCUGUAUAUAAGCUGAUACUUUUGCAGACUCUAGAUCUGCGUGGCUCUCGUUAUGAGAUCAAAAUCACAAAUGUAUUUUUGAAUAUGGAGCAACUGAGGCAUUUAUAUUUACCUGUGAAGCACACUGUAAGCGGUCGGAAACUGUCAUUUGCAAAGCUGUGCAAUUUGCAGACGUUGGUCAAUGUUAGAAUUGAAAAUUGUAAUUUGAACGAUCUUGUUCGGCUACCCAAUCUGAAAAAAUUAGUCGUAAUUGCAUCACGAUCUAGUCAGUUGGAAAAGUUGAAAGAAAUGUUGGUAUCAGAAAGUAUAACAUAUGAGCAUCUUCGGUCGCUAUCUCUGACGGAAGACCAAAAUAGUACUGAGGAGGAUAUACAUAUACCAAUAGACAUAGUAUUAAGGUGUCCUCAUUUAUACAAGCUGCGACUGGGAGGGAAAAUGUCAGAGUUACCGGAACAGCUCCGGGGCUAUCCAGACCUCACCAAGAUAACACUGUAUAGUACAGAACUGAAGGGUGACCAGAUAGAAAUACUGGAGAAGCUGCCAAAGUUAAGGGUGCUUUACCUUGAUUACAUGUCUUUCGAGUCAGAAACAAUGGUUUUCUCCCAAGGAGGCUUUCCUCAUCUGGAAUUUCUUACCCUUUGUUAUUUGUACGAUCUCAAGGAGUGGAGGGUGGAGAAAGAAGCCAUGCCUCUUCUUCACAGAUUGAGCAUUACCUUGUGCCCGAAAUUGCGGGCAAUUCCAGAUGGGCUUCAGGAUGUUACUACCCUCAAGGAAUUAACGAUUAACGGGAUGCCCAGAAGAUUCUGCAGUAGGGUUGACGAAGGAGGAGAGGAUUUCUACAAAAUCAAACAUGUGCCUUCUCUUAUUAUCACAAAUAUCGAACCAGAAAUGGAGGAAGCUGCAGGGGCGUCUCAAGUGGUAGCGGGUCCAGCCGGUGACUCUCAUCAGGAAUCAACUGCGGACGGUACGUCACUAAAUGACUCAAUCAUAUCUUAACCAUUUACAUUUAUUUUCAUCAAAUCCUCAAAUCGUAUGAUAGCGGUAUGUGAUUAACAUAUUCCUGCUUGUAAAUCUUGAUUAUGAGCAGCUCCUCCUCCACCUGCUGAUGAAAAAACAGAGGAAAUACAAGCUUCUUCCACUUCUAACCUCCCUUGUCAAUAAAUCCACAAGCCGCUGCUUUCUCAAUAUUUAUUCGCAACUUCAGCCACACUGUACAGGUAUGGCUCUUUCUUCUAGAUUAUGUUUUCGUUUGAAUUUGAUUUUUUACUGUAUAAUUACUAUACUUAAAGGUUUUGGUCUGGAGUGACUUGUUUACUUGUAAUAUCAGGUUCACUUUUCAUGCUGAAACUUUGUACUGAACUGUUUACUGCCGUGGUUAGGCAUAUACAUUACGCUGAAUGUCUGGGUUUUAACUUGUUAAAUUUUGUGUGUGAAGGAAGUUGAAAGUUUCUGACGACAAAGCCUACGUAUAAAGUUGGAAGUCUGCGACGACGAAGCUUUCACAUACUCACGCCUAAGCGAGACUAAUGGACAACACCAUUCUCUUUCAAAUAGGGCUAAUGAACAAAUUCAUGCAAAUAAGAUGAAAGUACAUGUAUGUGAUAGCGAGGCUAAGCUUAUUGAAAAAAAUUGCGUUUCACUUCAAAUGAGGUGCAAAACCACAGAGGAAUUUGUAUAUUGAUUGCAAGUAGUUACAUAUCCAAUAAGAUUAUCACCCUUUCAAUGUUUCUUCAUGUUUCUUUACAUGUCAGCAAAAUUACAUACAACCAGAAAGAAAUAUGCAUUGCUGAUCAAGGAGAAAAAUAUUUGUAUCAAAAACCUGAGAAGUAUGUUUGACAAAAUCUAUCUCGUUCUGUUGAGCCCUCUUCGGAGCUUCAAGAUGUAUCCCAAGAAAUUCAAGGACACUGCUAUAAGCACUGCAGAACCCAGAAGUAACUACCAACAGCUACUUGAAGUAGUUUAUCAACCAAUUUUAAGUAAUCUCUUUGAACACACAAUAAACAGGUGAGGAUAGAGAUCAGAAGUUAUAGUGCUAUCACUCGACACAUUCCAACUGCACUGUUAAAUCCUUGAUUCCAGCAUCAUGUAACAAGUGUGAUACCUGAGCUUUUGCAGAACCUUUGUCAAUUUCCGUAGAAACAUGAAGAUGGAGCGUACCCACUACAUCUGAGUUUGUGAAACUCCACACAUGCAAGUUUUGAAUACCAGAAACCCCCCUUAUCUUCCUAACAUCAUUAAGAGCUUUUCUCAAAUCCUGCUCGUGUGCCCUGGGAAUUCUUUGGAGCAAGACUUCUGCAGAGUUUCUGAGCAAUGGGAUAACAGAAGAUAUAAUCAAGACUGAAAUGAAUAUCGAGCAGGCAGGAUCAGCGACAAGCCAUCCCUUGUACCUAAUUAAGAGCGUUGAUAUAACAACUCCAACACUUCCCAAAGUGUCAGCCAAAACAUGCAGAAAUAUUCCUUCCAUAUUGUGGUCAAUGUGGUGAUGUUGAUGCUUGAUUGAUUUUUCUGGCAGUAUAUUCAGCUCGGAACCACCAUGCUGGUGACUCUGGCCAUGGUGGCCAUGGCCGUGGUGGUCGUUCUUGUGGUUUUGAGCAUGGUGGUCAUGCUGGUGACUGUGGUCAUGGUGGUCGUGCUGGUGGCUGUGGUCGUGGUGGUUGUGCUGGUGGCUGUGGUCGUGGUGGUCAUGCUGGUGACUGUGGUCGUGGUGGUCAUGCUGGUGGCUGUGAUCGUGGUGGUCAUGCUGGUGGCUGUGGUUGUGGUGGUCGUGCAGAUGAUCUUUGCAGCCAACAGAAUUACCAUGUUGGUGAUCGCUGUCACACGAUUCUUCAGCGCAUUCUUGAGAAAUGGCUAUACACUCCUCAAGCUUUUCAUGACCUUCAUGAUUAUGUGCAACAGACUUCUGCGAAUGUUGAUGAUUUUGGGAGUGCGAGCAUGAUCCAGAUCCACCAUGGGCAUGAUGAUGCUCCUCAUGAAAGAAGAUCAAGCCGACCACAUUGACAAGAAGCCCUCCAAUCGAAACAACUAGUAAACUGCUAGUUGACAUCUCUUGAGGGUCCAAAAUCCUCUCGAGUGAUUCCAACACUAUCAGUGCGCCAACCAAAACCAGGAAAACAGCAUUUGUAUAUCCUGCAAGAACCUCAAAUCUCCCACAGCCAUAAUUAAACUGAUUAUUUGCAGGCAAACGUGAAAUAUACGAAGCAUAUAACCCAAUUGCCAGAGCAGCACAAUCAAACAACAUGUGACAGGCAUCUGAUAUCAGCCCCAGACUAUUGCUCAAGAACCCAGCAAUGAACUCCACAAACAUGUACGCAGUAUUGAUCAGAAGGAAAAGUGCAAUCUUCCGAGACUUCCUCUCACUCAAAAUAUGCCUAACAGGCUUCAUAACAGAUGCACUAAAUGACUCGGACGACUCCAUUCCCAGUUCAAGAUAACUCGUAUCAAAAGGAUCCAACUCCCUAACAGCAAUGUAAAGCAACAUACCACAAAGCAACAGUCCCCAGAGUGACAACUCGGCAAAAUAGAACAGCUCCAAUACAACAGUACACAAAAACGUCACCAAAUACUCCCUCCGAAAAUCUUUCGAACUCACGGACUUCUCAUCACUAUAACCCUCACUCAAAAGCACACCGAAAACAACAGUGUUUGCCAGAGGCCAGCCCAAGUUCCCAAUCGAAACUCCAUCCCCCUCAGCUUCAUACACGAAAACACUAACAACAGCAGGAAUAAACAACACAACAGUAGUAAAAAACAACGAAAUCACACGAACCCUCUUCCUCCCCAACUGCCUAAUACUCCCCCAAUUCAUCGAAACCCUCUCGUAACACCCCAAAAAUCCACACAAAAACGGAAGCAGCAUUGGCCAAAACCUCACGCAAUUCUUCACUCCCAAUUUCGGCGCCGAAAACGGGAAGCAUUCAAUCCGAUCCCAGCUCAUAGACAACAAGAACAGCCCAGUAACAAGAGCAAGAAACCCACGAACCUUGGAAGAAGACCGAUUCCGAUCACCACCGCCGUUACUCUGCUUACUCCCCUCGGCCAAGAACCGAGCCGCCACAUUUCCAGACAUCUCGGCGAGGAUCAUGGCGGCGGCGCCGCAGUAGCGGAGAGCUUGGAAGCGGAGGAGGAAGACUCCGGCGAGGAGAAUCGAUUUCAAGACAAGGAGUCUGUGCUGGGAUUGAGUGAUAUGAGUGAGUGAGAAGAUGGGCUGGUUGUUGCUGGGCUUGUUGUGAAACGGGUCCUUGGAGGCGGCGGAGGAGGAGGUGAAGAGAGAGAAGGCUAGGGUUAGGAGGAAGGAGAGGAGAGAGACGAGGAAGGAGAAAGGGAAGAGAGAGAAAGAAGGGGAGGAGCGGAGGAAGGGGAGGAGGGAGUAGAGUGAUCGGAGGGAGAGGAGGAGGAGGAAGAGGAAGGAGAGAGAGGAUUUACUUGCGGCGGAGGAGGAGAGGGGUUUGGGGUUGAGAGAGGAGAGGCGGUGUUUGGAGGGAGUGGCGGAGGAGGGGGUGAAAGGGUAAAGUGGGUAUUGGCGGGAAGUGGUGGGAGUGGUGGAGGCGAAAGUGGUGGGGGUGGUGGGGCGUUGAGGGAGGGAGAGGCGGUGGGGGCGGUGGUGGUGGUGGUGGUGAUCGGCCAUUUUGGGAUUUUGGUGGUGUUUGAGAUUUGGAGAGCUAGCUGCUUCGACGUUUGAGAAUUUUCAAAGUCAGUGAAAGAUCCGAAUGAGGGGGUCAGGGACCCGGAUUUGGGUCCGAAGGGGGGAGACUUUUGACGGCGGACUGGCGGAGUCUAUGGUCAACGUUUUCUAGAGUGUUGGAGACUUGAGGGUCUUUGGCUUGUGGUUUGGGUCAGGUCUGGGACGGGUAGGGACGGUUCAGUAACCGGCAUGUACCGAUCUUGAUACAAUGAUAUCGAUGGUGCAAUCAGGUUUGGCCGUUUGGGUCGGUUUGAGAAGUGAAACUUCGGGCAUUAGUACCAAACUGUCUUGAUCCUGAUCGAUUCAUGACAGUUUGGACCAAUCAUAUACUCUCAAUUUAAACUUUGAACUUAAGUACGUUGUUUUGCAUGUGUUUUCAUAUAUAAAUUUAUAAGUUUAUAAGUAACUUAACUGUGUAAACUGUAAAUAGAGAGAAUGAAAGCAAAGUAAGAACUUAGAGACAUGAUGAAAACUCUAAAUUAUAUGACUUAAGAAAUUAGGAAAUUUCUCAAUUACGUCACUAAAAACUUCAAAGGUCUCACACUGAUACUAUGAGAUGGUUCGAAUCCUUAGAGAUUUAGAGAUUAAGAAUGUAAGAGGUUUUGAUGAUGAUUGAGAGAAUGAGAAUGAGAGGUUGUGAGGCUUCGAUCGAUGAUUGAAAGAGGCUUGGAUUCAUUUUUAUAAAGGGUUUCGAGACUCAAAUGCAGGUUGAUGUUGUUUUAGGGUUUGAGAACGCGAACCAAAAUUCUUGUUUUGGGGUUGAUUAUGACGACAGGUCGUGCAAGCCUUUUAAGUGAUUUGUUGAAUCAUGUCGAGUCGGUUAACUCAGUAUAUAUUUGAGUCAUACUAAUUCUGACAUGUUACAUACUUCGGGAUUCACUUUAUUUUGGGACAACUGAAAGUUGAACUUGAAUACUGACCCACUCGGUUUUGGGUCGGGUUAGUCGGUAUCAAGGUUGGUUUAUCAGUUUUGAAUCCUUAGCCCUAGUUUGGGCAGAUUGGGAAAUUGAAAAGAAUUCACUAUUGGUCUAAUUGGUUCUUAUUGAAGACUAAGUUUGGGCCUGGUUCGUUGUUUUGGGGAUUUGUUUUGGACUGUAGAAAGUGCAUAAUUGGCUAAAUGAGAACCUUUGAUUGCCACACACUACUCAUGUUGAUGUUGAUGAGAAGUAGAGGGCUAAAUCUGAUUUUGAAGAAGUUAAUUCUUGUUUGAAGAACUUGAGCAUCGAUAUGGUCUCCUCGUUCACAAGCUUAAGAAGAAGUCGGGUUAGGGACACUCCCCGAUCACAAUGCACCGCAUCAGCAAAUUAAAGACAGUUUGCUAGCUAGGCCAAAUAUCCGAAAGCGAACGAUUGAAGUAUUCGGGGCUGUGGAGGAGGGGACUAGGAUGAAGGACUACUGAAGGGUAUAUGAAGGUUGAACCACGUAUAUUAAGAAUAGCACCGUCUAAUCUGGGUUGCCAAAGGAGAUUGCAUUUCAGAAAAACUAUGAUUCCUUUCUAAAACCUAGCCUUUGGUGUUCUAUAUAUCAGUGCGCGCAGAUUCUGCUGCCCGGUUUCUCAUACAUCAUCAUGAUUCAUGAAUGCAUGUACAUUCAGUUUUCUGAGUCGGCCGGCCAUAACCUGUAUGUUCAUAAAUAAAAGCCAUAGAAGAUGGGGAACGAAAACACAAACACACAUCAGUUUUUCCAGUGCAUGUCAAUUUAAUUUGAUUGACGUAAAGUCGUAAAAAAUAUAAUGUCGACAUGCAUAUCUCUCUUUUGCUUGACGUAAAGGAAACGUAGAGUAAUUAAAAUGAGAUAUGUGAUCAAAAGUUGGUCUUUCUUUUUUAUUUGGCAUCAAAAGCUAGAUCAUGGAUUCAUGAUUGAAAGCGAGCAAGGCACUAUAAUCAGCUAUUAUUGUUUAUAUCACAACUUGACGUACGUAACUUGAAUUAUCUUGUUCCAUAAAAAGAAAACUCGAAUUAUCUUAUCUUGAGCAAUGGAAAUUAGACAAAGUUCGUUAAUGUUUGUAAAAGGAAAAAUAGACAAAGCAGAUGUGUACUUCCAGAUAUCUAAAAUAAUGCAUGUCCUUCCUCCCUCAUGUAACAUGCAUCUGCAUUCUAGCUCUUUAACACAAAAGAAUAAGAAUAAUAUAUGCAGGAAAGCUUAAUCAUAAUUCUUCAGGCCUAUAUCAAAGAAUUUCUUGCUUCCCACUUACGGUGGACUCGGACAAGAACCAUCGACUGAUCGACCACUAGAUAUCCAGUUCUGAAAUUUCAAGAAAUCAUCACCGAACUGCCUCAUUGACGCCUUAACCAUAUUACCAUCGGUUCGACAAAGCAGAAUGAUCGACCAGAGAAUUAAAGAAGUGAAGUUAGGAAUGUUGCUAAUUUGCUAUGAACUACUGUCGGCGAAAAUGGAAAACAUUUCUUUCAUGCAGCCUCCUCCUGCCCAUGCAUAAUCAUUCUUAGAACAACUUCAUUUAUGUCUGUCUAUUCGAUCUAGAAGAUUUUAAAACCAACAUACAAUAUGCACGACUAGGUCUAAACCAAACCGGACCAAAGCCAUGACAUCGGAGAUAAGUUUCAUAAGCUAAGCUAAACUAAAGUACUAUAGUUAGAUUGUUUUGUGCAUGAAUAUCCAAGCAAGUGUGCGCACUCAUGUCUCUCGAUGUUGCUUGCAUACGUGUGUCAACUCAACAAUAUAAACCCACACAGAGCUAGCUAUAAUGACUUCUGGGUACCAAAGACCCGCUAGCCGACCCCAACUCGAUCUACAAUUUCAAGAUUAAGAUUCUACAAAUUGGUGUUCUAUAAUGACUCCCAUUCGAUGGCUCCAAUUAAUGAAGAACAAUAAAAGUAGGACAAUAGUAACAACACUAAUUCAUGUCUGCCUAAAUUAUGAUGAAGAACUCGUGCACUACUCGAUCGAUAAAUAUCUAGGCCUAAAAGAUCCGUCAUAUGUCGUUUACUGUUAACUGACAACCUAGCCCCCCAAAGUUAUUUCACUUCACUUCUACAAAUCACUAAAUGUUAAUCCAUAACCAUAAAGAAACUAAGUGCUAUCCAUCACAGGAAACAACUCACCGCCAAAUGAUCACCACAUAUAUGUUCCAUUAACUCCUAGACUGAAUAUACAGACCAACCCAUGCCACUUAUCCUCGUCACCCAGCACUGCAACUCUUUCCCAGUUUUUUCUCCAUCCAGCUUUGCCCUAAUUUGCCAUGUGUUCUACUUGAGCUAGCUGUGUGCUAACUGUGUGUGAGGAUGAUGUCGGAUGUGUGGAGCUGUGUGCCCUAUGCAUGCUUUGCCCUCAUCGAUCACUGAUAUUGGAUCUCUGUCACUUAGCUAUAUUACCAGUGCCCCGAAACGUAACUCCUCAAACCGCAUUCACGCUUUGUUUGCCAGAAAAGAGAAGAAAACAAACUCUAACAAACUAGAUCAUCAUGAGAAAACUCAUGCAUGAUGCUUGGUUUGAGCAAAUUCCGAGUAAAAGAGAAGGCAAAGCAUGUAAAAAUGGUAAAAGCUAGUCAUGAUCUUGGUGAAAAAGUAGAAAACGUAUGCAUGCAUUACCCAAUUAGGUUUAACCGUUUAAGCAGCUAACUGAAGCUGCUCCGGUUGGACCCUCAGACAGAAGUUGCAAUGCUGCGUAGGAUGAAAGAUGAUGCUUUGCUUUCUCUUCAGAUCUUGUGGCAGCUUAAAUCAAUAAUGUCAUGCUUACUGUUACAAAAGAUUAAUAAUUCCUGGUGUUUUUGCAGAUUUCUAGAGCAAGAAGGAGCAUCCUACGUGUCGAAGGAUAACUCCACGUGUACCAUUAAGUGGCACAUCCAGGUGAUUCAGUUCCUACAACAGUGAAUCUGCAUGAGGCAUAUUCUUCUUUUGUUGCGUCCAUCAGACAUUAUAAUUUAGCUAGCUAUUGGUUACGUGGCCACAACAGAUCGAUUCAUGCCUGAACUAAUGCAUCGAAAUUAAACAGUGGGAUCAGCUUUCCAUUUCUUAUAAAUGGUGCAAGCAUUGAGGGGAGCUUAGCAAUCUUAGUGGAUUUGCCUUGUGUGUCCAUUAGUCCAAAGCCUCUUUGAUAUUGUUUGUUGGUAAAAGGAAUCGAAAGCAAAGCAAAGAAGACAACAAUGAUGUGCUAGCUAGUGUUUUUUGUUGGCCUUGAUAUUGAAAAGAACAAGCAGUGAUCUGCAGCAGCUGACAGAAGAGGACAGGAGCUAACUAUAGCUAGUUUUGGUGGCAUACAGUCAUUUCCUUCUUCUUCAUAAUCGAUCUCAGAGACUCAUCACCUUCAUUCUCCAUCAAUCCCAUGGCUGGCACAGCAAGAAAGAGACUCGGCAACUCAUGCAUUCUUCUCAUAAGUAUUCAUCAUAUUUCUUCUCUCUUCCUAAACCUUUUAUUUUCAACCAUUCUUAUAUGUGAAUAUCGUUCUUUAAUAUUAAUUAAAUGAUCACUCUUUGUUAAUUGGUGGUUUAUGUGUCUGUUUGUUUGAUGACAGUGAUUUCUGGUAUGGAAAGAUUUGCAUACAAAGGAGUGGCAUCCAAUCUGAUAACUUAUCUAACGGAUGUAGUAAAGAUGAGCAACUCUUCUGCGGCGAAGACGGUGAACAGUUGGUGCGGAUUCACAUCCAUGGUUCCACUCUUGAUUGCACCCUUUGCUGAUUCUUACUGGGAUAGAUAUUACACCAUUGUAGCUUCUUCUCUUGUCUAUGUUGCCGUAAGUACUAACCACCUCUCUUUUCUUUCUUUCUUUCUUUUUUGGUUGCAUGUUGGUCGUUAAUUACCUCUGUUUUUUCUUUUGUAAAGUAUUUUUUUUCUGGUCAGUAUAUUGUGUCCGCUGAGUGCUCAAUUAUUAGUAGGAGUACGAUUAGGAAAACCAUUAUUAAGAUAUAUGGAUCAUGAGUCAUCAGUCAUCUGCACUAAGAUUAAAGCUUUAUAUUGAUGACUUGCGGGUCAAGAUUAAUGCAGAUUACUGUGCAAAUAAGAAGAGCCUACAAUUUGAUUGACCCAUCUUAAGAUGAUUUACUAGGGGAUUGAUCGAGAUUGAUAUACAUUAUGUGGAUAAUAUGAUCGAGUUUGGUGGCAUAAUGGUUGUUUAACAUACUAUAAAAGUGUUUAUUUGUUAAUUGAAGCUCCAUUAGUAACACCGACAUGCUCCUGUGACGAAUAUUGGACUAAUUGAUAGUCUAUUUGUUCUGGUUUUAGGGGCUUGUGGCAUUGACAUCAACAGCAAUAAUGUCCCGGGCAUCCACGGAUCAAGCAAACAAAACAAGUUCAUCUUCAUUUCUGUUUUGGUCAUUGUAUUUGAUUUCUCUUGGUCAAGGUGGGUAUAAUCCAUCUUUACAAGCUUUCGGAGCAGAUCAACUUGACAGUGAAGAGGAAGAGUUGCCUACUAGCGAAGAUGACAAAAAACCCAACAAAAAGAGUUUGUUCUUUCAAUGGUGGUACUUUGGUGUUUGUAGUGGCACCGUCUUGGGUAUCAGUGUUAUGUCCUACAUUCAAGAUAAUUUUGGUUGGAUACUAGGUUUUGCUAUUCCCAUGAUUUCUAUGGUCACAUCAGUCGUAGUUUUCUCGUGUGGAAGCCGAAUUUAUACAUAUAAACAGAGGAAUGAUGAUUACAAGCCUGUUGUGAGCAUCCUUCAAGUUAUUAAGGCAGCUGCAUGGAAAUUACUGAAUUGCAAAGUCAAGUUGCCCAAUGAAAAUAAAGUUACUGAGCUAGAGUAAGUUUUUUUCUUUAACUCAAGUGUUGUUCAGAUUAUUGUCCAUGAACUUUGAUCUGAUGCUAUCCAAUUUUCUUAGGCUUCAAGGGAAACCGCUCUGUCUUCGGAACUUUGGCAGCAAUGAAGGCUUGAACAAUGAACAUCCCAAAAGCAGCGUCUACAAGUUCGAAAACGCAAAAGUUAUUCUUAGGCUUUUGCCCAUUUGGCUAAUGCUGUUAAUGUUUGCAGUGAUUUUCCAGCAACCUUCGACAUUCUUCACCAAACAAGGCAUGACAAUGAAGAGGAACAUUGGAAGCAAUUUUCUGAUUCCACCGGCAACACUACAAAGUGCUAUUGCACUUUCUAUAGUCCUAUUGAUGCCUCUUUAUGACAAAGUUUUGAUCCCAAUUACUAAGGUCCUGACUUGUAACGAAAAGGGUAUCACCGUAAUGCAAAGGAUGGGAAUCGGGAUAUUCACUUCGGUCAUAGCACUGAUCAUUGCAGCAAUUGUGGAGACAAGAAGGCUCCAUAUCAGCAGAAAGAUGGAAAUGCUAGGAUCUCAAUCUGAGACAGUUCCACUUAGCAUAUUCUGGUUGCUGCCACAAUACAUUCUUCUAGGAAUUUCAGACAUUUUCACUGUGGUUGGGAUGCAAGAGUUCUUCUACUCUGAAUUUCCCAUUAAAAUGAGAACAAUGGCCUUUGCACUAUACACCAGUGUUUUUGGGGUUGGGAGUUACUUGAGUGCCUUUUUGAUAUCCACAGUUGAGACCAUCACAAGUUCAAAUGGAAAUAAGAGCUGGUUCUGUGAUGAUAUGAGUGAAGCUAGGCUAGACAAGUACUACUGGUUUUUAGCAGCAUCAAGUGCACUGAGCUUUCUGUUUUUUGUGAUUAUUUCAUCAUGUUACACAAGUAAAAGGGAUUUGGACUUGGACAGUAAUGAAAGUUGUAAAUAAGCUAGCUGGUUGUUUUGAGUUCAUGAGUUAGUUUCAAUGUACAAAGAGUGCAUUUUGUUAUUCAAGAUUCAAAGUUCAAAUAAAUUAGUAUAUCCAUACCAUGCCUUCUCUAUGGAUAUUUAACUUAUUUACUGCAUGGAUUUGUCCUCUUUCACGUGUUUGCUACUCUUAAUUUUUAGCGUUUAAAUUGUUAAAUGAUUGUUGGAAACCUGUAUUCAACAUUUUUUUUUUCCUCAAACAAAGAUAUAUAUAUGAUAAUUUCUUCUUCUUACAAGGUUAAUUAUAAGGGUUACUAAACGGUUUUUGGCUUUAUGUCCCCCUUAGGUAUCUUCUUUUUAUCUAAUAAAGUUCUUUAUUUGCCAAAAAAAGGUUAAUUAUAAGGAAAAUUAGUAGAGAUACUAUAACUUAUCUUAUUCCAUGUUUGUACAAAUUAAGGUACAUUAUUUUUCUGGUUUGAAGAGCAGAUACAUUAUUUCAUAACAUGAAAAAUUAAAAGCUGACUUUGGGAGAACAUAUAUAAUCAGAAAAGGGUGAUGAUACAUGCAAUUCACAAUUCUUCAUUUCUUUGAACUUUAGAACUUUAGAAGUAUCUGAUCGAUCGAGCAGGACUACCCGUUGUAUAAAGCUUUUAUUCCUGCAAUAUCAUCCGCAUGCAAACCUCUUACAGUCGCUCCCGCGGGGAGGCUAGGGGCCAUGGCAGCUCCACUCACUGAACUAUGUGCGAGUCCCAGAAGGUGCCCUAUUUCAUGCAAAGCGCAACUCUCGUAGUCAAAGGCACCAGGUUUACCACCAACCGCCCAAUUCUCAGCUGCGUCGAUGUGGAAUCUUCCAUCCGUCGGGUAAAACGCAUGAGCCAGAACUCCGCCGGGGCCAUCAAAUGCAUUCCCGUCUCCAUGAUCACCCUUGUGAAAACUGAUCUUCAAAUCUGCACUAUUGUAAUUUUGAGCCUGGCUGAAAGUGAAUUGACUGUUCUUAGCCCAUGUUGUGAAAGCUUGUGUGAUAGCACCCGUGGCUUCGGAUGGGGUGCCCAUGAAAAAACCGUAAGUGAGAUGGUAUUUAGAGGAAGGCCAUACUGGUUUUCCGGGGGGAAACUCGUACUGAAUACCGGUAAGAAAUGAACCUGUAAAACAAUAUCGAGUGAUUAAUCAAGGCUUGAGGGCAUGCAGCCGUCACCAGCUCUUUAUUCGUUUUUUUUUUUAAAAAACUAAUAUCGUAUUGAUCAAGUCUUAAUUCAAGGGAGUUACUGUAUGCAUGCGUUUAACAAUUUUGAUGUACAUAUGAGUACAUGUACAGCUAGUAAUGUGUUUUUGAUCAGCAGUAUAAAGUUAAGAUCGAUGCAUUGACAAUAUAAUUCUCUAGUAAGAUGAAGUACGUACGGUGCUGGAAAUUUAUCUUGGCUGAUCGCAUGGAUGUGGUGCCAUUGAUGAUGUCGGGAAAACCACAACGAGGCAUCAUCAUCUUUGAUAUGGUUCCGUCAUCCAAUGUUCCGGUGGGCUUCAGGUGGAAAUUGAGCUGGUAAGUCUUGACGGCUUCCUCCAGGAACUUGUCGAAAUCGUCGUCAUCCGUGGAUGUUGUUCUUGUAGUUCAAGUAACCGAACUUGUGAAGGUAUUUCUUGAGGUCAUUGAUGCCCUUGACCUUGUCACCUUUGUGACAACCCUUAAGAUGCUCAAGGAAGGCAAAUGGAGAUGAAGGCUGAGGUUGCAUCAACUGGGCCGUUGCGUUAGAGAGGAACCAAAAGAGGGCGAGGAGGAGAGUGACUGUGAAAAGAGAAAAAUUAGAUUUUGGUGCCAUUGCUCUGAGUAUGGAGGUUGCAGAAGUAUCAUAUUCGCAGCAGUAUUUAUAGGCAAUAUUAUUGAUGCGUGAAUGUAAAGAGAUGGUGUGAUCGAUUACGUUUUCUGUUGAGUUGAUGUACGUACGUCAUGCAUAUAGAGCUUUUAGCUUAACAAGCAGAAAACAUAUAAAAAAAAACGUUCUCACCAGAACAUAUUGAGCUCAACAUUUGGCAACUUUCAUUAUCAGUUAGGUUUCAGCAGUUAGGUUUAAACUGUUAAACCAGAGAAUUUUGAUGACAAAAACUAGCUUGGAAACAAUCAUUAUCGAUAGAGAUCAUUAUUGAUGCACAAAGCCACAAAUUAUUCAAGUACCAAAUCGCCCCUCUAUAUAUAUAGAAAACCAAUCAAUUUCCAUAUGAUCGAGUUCACAGUAUGAGAUAACCUGGACUGACAGGACGAUAGAUCACUGGGAAUAUAUCUGACAUAGUGACAUUCCCGAUCGAUAGUCACUUGACUCACUUGCACACAGAGGUUCUCUUUCUUCUUCUGAAAUUAAACAUGCACGUAGAUAUACUACGCAUAAAACUCUUUUCCUUCUCUCUCUCUCUUUCUCUCUCUCUCUCUCUCUCUCUCUCUCUCUCUCUCUCUCUCUCUCUCUCUCUCUCUCUCUCUCUCUCGCUAAUAGAUCGAUGAUAUAAGAGAGGAGUGACCUCUAUCACUAUGUUUUAUUAAUUAGAGAAGAAUAAGAACAAUAGGAGGGGGACCAAAACCAAUACCUCCAACAAAAAAUGACCAACGCAAACGAAUUUGAGGACAAAGUAAAUGCUCAAAACAAAAGGGGAGGCACACUCACAACCCCAACUCGAUCAGAAGAAAAUGUACCAAAAAUUUCCAAAGGACUGGCUGUUCAUGUACGACUCUCUUCAUUAUUUCUUAAUCUGAAAGAUCUCAACACCGGUAAUUCAGGUACGCACGUACCUUAUUUGAUAAAGGAAAGAAGAAUUAAAAGAUGAAUAUGGGGGAUCCAGCUAGUGCUACUGGUUAAUUCUCAGACGUUGUAUAGAGCCUUGAUACCUUGAACAUCGUCUCCAUGCAAACCUCGUGUCACUCCCGCAGGAAUACCUGAGGACAUGAUAGCGCCCUCCACUGAGCUAUGAUCGAGUCCCAGAAGAUGCCCUAUUUCAUGCAAAGCCAGAGUCUCCAAGUCAAAAGCACCUGGCUUAGCACCCACAGACCAAUUCUCAUCUGCGUCGUAGUGGAAUCUUCCGUCCGUCGGGUAAAAAGCAUGGGCAAGGACACCGCCAGGGCCAUCAAAUGCAGAUCCGUCUCCAUGAUCACCCUUUUCAAAACCAAUCUUCAAAUCCGCAUUCUCGUAAUUUUGAGCCUGGCUGAAGGUGAAGUGAGUGUUCCCGGCCCAUGUUGCGAAUGCCCGUGCAACAGCCCCCGUUGCUUCCGAUGGGGUGCCGGGGAGAAAACCGUAAGUGAGAUGGUAUUUGGAGGAAGGCCAUUUUGGAUUCCCGGCGGGAAAUGCGUAGUGAGCAGUGGUAUGGAUAGAACCUGUAAAACAAUAUCGAGUACUUAAUUUCGUUAGAUGUAAUGAGGAGAAAUGGUAGUUGAACAUGCAUGUACCUUUCAUUUUGUUGUAUACUUGUAUAUAGUGGUGUAUGUUCUACGUACUUAUAACUCAUUGGGAAGUAAGAUGACAAAGUAAUUGUACGUCUAAUAAGAAGAAAUAGCUAGAUAUAUACCAUGGUGGUGCCUUUUCUUGGCUGAUCGCAUGGACGAGGUGCCAUUGAUGAUAUCCGGCAGACCGCAACGAGGCAUCAUCAUCUUCGCCACUGUUUUGCCGUCCAAUGUUCCGGUGGACUUGAGGUGGUAAUUGAUCUGGUAGGUCUUGACGGCUUCCUCCAAAAGGUCAUCAAAUUCAUCGUCGUCGGAAUGACUGUGGUUCUUGUAGUUCAAGUAACCGAACUUUUCAAGAUACUUUUUGAGGUCAUUGAUACCCUUGACCUUAUCACCUUUGUGGCAACCUUUGAGAUGGUCAAGGAACUCAAAUGGGGAAGAGCUCUUGUUGUGGGGAUGGGAAGCAGUUGCAUAUGAUAGGAGAGUUAAAAGUGCGAAGAGGAGAGUGAUAGCGAAGAGAGAAUAUUUAGAUUUGAAUGCCAUUUUGCUCCUUUUAACUAGCUAGCUUGUUAUGUUGCUAAAGCCUCUUAUGUGUAUUGCUAUUUAUAGGCUUGUAACAUAUGAACGUUCAACUUUUCCAUAUUGCGUCUUUCUUAACAAUUACCUGCUAGGUCCCUAAGGUUCGAGAUGACCGACCAAUUGGGAGUAAAUUAAAGAAGAAGAAACAUUAAUUAACAGACUAGUCUCGGAGAAGACGUCAAGUAUUUAAUUUGCAUGGUCAUUCCAUCUAAGUCUGCAUUUGCUAGAAGCUUAGAACUAGUCUUGCCGUUUUCCUUACUCCCUAAAUUAAUCAAUUAAGGAGUGAUUGGUGGACUACAUAUAUAACCCUAGGGUUCCAUCUAACCCUACAUAUAUACAUUACAUAUGUAACAUUGAGAACACUUGAAACUUAAAAGUUGCCUCUCAAAAUUAAUAUAUAGUCUGGCGCAUGCUACGUCUUAAAAAAUAUAUAAUUAUAUAGGGUAUGGUUCAUGAAUAAAUUAACUUAUAUAUACAUAGAACAGAUCUACAUCUUUUAUGAGUUUUGCUACUCCAAAUUUUAUGGUCUCUGUUGAGUGACGUAUUGUGUGUGUAUGUAUAUAUAUAUAUAUAUAUAUAUUUAUUUUGAAACAUGGACGUGAAGACUGAAGCUUUUGAUAUUGCAACGAAAAAUAACAGUUACAACAUAACUUACCCGCAAUGGCAACGAUAGAAAAGGCCACGGUAAAUAGCCCGAAAACAACAUAAAUGAAACUACUAUAGAGUUCUAAGCAGAAAAUAAAACUAAAACUAAUAAUCCUGGUUUAUUAGACUUAUCCCGGAACCACCCUACACAUAUGAGGUAUCUCCGGGGCCUUCUUCCUCGACCAUCAACGCCAUAACAGCCGGCAUGGACUCCAAGAUAGUAGCAAGAACAUAUCCAAACCAGAAUGAUAGCAAGCCCAAGGCCCAAACCUGCAACCUAGCGCUGCAGAAUUGAGGCCCAAAGCCCCCAAAAAUUCAUCACCACCGUCAGCCACCACCACACCAGAAAUUGCAUUUCCGGUCAACCCAGGGUUCUUCGGCAACCGUCUCCAAUAGGCAUCAUCACCAUCACUACUCUGGCCAGCCAAGACGAAAGCCGAUCCCGUCGGAAUCACCAUCGCACAUGUCGACCAUACCUUCAUCCUUGCAAGAUCCGAAUCCAGAUCUCCAACACCAACCCGCUAGCCGCUAGCUCCGCCAUGGAGGAACCAUCAUCGCCGACACCGUGAGAUCAUGUGCCAGUCCAGAGCACCGGAGAAACCACUCGGUAGGAGUCGGUAAACGACCCCUCCACCACCGCAAAAAGAUCAGAAGGAAGAGUGAUGGGGUUGAGUCGCGCUCACUCCGUGCCUGAAGCCAACCGGGGCUAACAACACAAAGCCCACCACCUCCGUCGUUCCAAAACCCACCGCCGCUGUCAGAAGAGAAGACGAGGGCUAGGGUUGAGAGGAGAUCGCGCGACCAGACGAGAGAGAGCCAUGAGUGACGUAUUGUUGAGUCUUGUAUUUAAAAAGAAUUCUCAUACUGCAUGUAAAAGGAUAUGGUCAUUAUUUCUUCAUUAAGAGUUCAUCUUUAUUAAUACAGAAACUAGAAUCCUCACACAAGCUAGUUUAUAGUUUUAUACAAUGUUGUACACAAAGGUACAUUAUUUUUUCUGAUAACAAGAUAUAUAUUAGAAGUCGACUCUGUUGGAACAUAAUCUGUGCCAGGAGAUACUACUCCUCAAACCUUGUACAAAGCUUUUAUUCCUUGAAUAUCAUCCUGAUGCAAACCUUUAUAAGCCACUCCCUCGGUGACAGUUGGAAACAUGACAGCUCCCUCUACUGAACUAUGUCCAAGUCCCAGAAGGUGCCCUAUCUCAUGCAAACCAACACUCCCAUAGUCCAUUGCACCUGGUUUAGCACCUGCAGACCAAGUCUCCUCUGCGUCGUAGUGCAGUGUUCCUCCCGUAGGGUAAGCUGCAUGGGCGAGCUGUCCACCAGGCCCAUCAAAUGGAUCCCCGUCUCCAUGAUCACGCUUGUGAAAGCUGAUCUUCAAAUCAGCAUUCUGGGGAUUGUUGGACUGGCUGAACUUGAAGUGGGUGCUCUUUUGCCAUAUUGCGAAAGCCUGCACGAUAGAACCCGUGGCUGCGGAUGGGGUGCCGGGGAGGAAACCGAAAGUGAGUUGGUAUUUAGAGGGUGGCCAUUUAUAAUCUCCAUCAGGCAAUGUGUAGUGAACUGUGGUAUGAAUUGCACCUGCAAAACAAGUACUUGAAUUCGUUAGACGUAGUGGUCAAGUCUUAUUUCUUGAAUAUAUAUAACUGAAUGCAUGCUAUUUACAACUUGAUGUACCUAAAAGUACAGUGAUGUUUUCUUGAUCAGUAACUACUGACCGGUAAAAUACUACUAACAAACUAUAUAUAAUUAAGAUGAUAAUCUCUGUUUUUACUAAGAUGAAAUAUGUACGGUGUUGGUGCUUUAUCUUGGCCGAUCGCAUGGAUGUGGUGCCAUUGAUGAUAUCGGGCACACCACAAUGAGGCUUCAUCAUCAUUGAUAUAGUUUUCUCGUCCAAAGUUCCCGUGGGAUUGAGGUUGAAAUUGAGCUGGUAAGUCCUGACUGCUUCCUCCAGGAACUGGUCGAAAUGGUCGUCAUUAGAGUGGAUGUGGUUCAUGUAGUCCAAGCAACCGAACUUGUGAAGGUACUUCUUGAGGUCAUGGAUGCCCUUGACCUUAUCACCUUUGUGACAACACUUAAGAUGGUCAAGGAAGUCAAACGGAGAUGAGUUGUUGCUGCUAUGGACUUCCUUUGCCGUUGCAUUAGAGAGGAAAGAAAAGAGGGUAAGGAAAAGGAGGAGGAGAGUGACUGUGAAAAGAGAAAGAUCAGGUUUUGGUGCCAUUGCUCCAAGUUAAGAGUAUGGAUGUUGCAGAAGCCUCGUAUUCGCAAUAGAAUUUAUAGGCAAUAGUACAUUGAUGUGUACAUGUAAAGAGAUGGUGUGAUCAAUUACGUUUUCUAUAGAGAUGGUGUACGUACGUCAUGCAUAUGAAGCUGUUGAGCUUAACAAGCAGAAAUCAUACAAAAAUGUUCUUACCAGAACAUGUUGAGAUCAACAUUCGGCAUCAGUCGUCAUGCAUCAGUUAGCAGCCUUAAUUCAGAGAAUUUUGAAGAUGAAACUAGUCUCGACGUGUAAACAUUCAUGCAUUAUCGAUAUAUUAGAUCAUUGAUGCCAAAAUCGAGAAAUGUAUAGGACGUUUACACCCUCGGUAUAUAAAACCAAUUUUCCAGAUAUAUGGAUGAGUUCACAGUAUGAGAUCGAUAGUCUGGAAAUCUGGAUGAGAGAUCACUGUGAUAUUCUAGUCAUCUGACAUUGAUUCUCGAUCGAUGGUCACUCUUGCUUCCAUAUGCAUGAGUACCCUUUCUUCUUUUGAAGACUUGAAGUUAAACACGCACAAAUCGUUUACUGAUUAUUUGAUAAUUAGUACCAUCACUACCAUCACAUCUGUUAUCUCCAAUAGAUUGAUUGAUGAUACGGUUUUUAAUGUAAUAAGUUUUUGGACAAAAUAAUUUAUAUGGGUAAUUUUCAUAAUUUUUUACGGUUAAUAACUUUACAGUGAAUGCAGAUGCAUGGACAUAUACACUGAUGCAUGAAAAUUUUUCUUUUUUCUCUUUUUUUUGUGUGUAAGAGAUUGAGAGGAGUAACAAGUAACAGUACGUAUCUCUCUAUCACUCUUUCAUUAAUUGAUUAAAGAAGAUCGAAGAGGAAAGACAGGAUGAAGGAGACAAAAAAGCAAUAACUCCAACAAGAAAUUAAGACUAACAAAAAGGAACUUGAGAAGGAAGACAUCUCAUAUUCUCACCACACCAAAAGAAAAUUGACCAAAAUUUGCCAAAGAUUUGGUAACAACAAUGCUUGAAUUGUUUGAUCGAUCAAGCUGGUGCUAACUAGCCCUGCUCCUCAUACGUUAUAUAAAUCCUUGAUACCUUGAACAUCAUCCCCAUGCCAACCUCGAGUUACUCCCGAGGGAAGAAUCGGUUCCAUGAUUGCCCCCUCCACUGAGCUAUGUCCCAGUCCAAGAAGGUGCCCUAUUUCAUGCAGAGCCACCGUCUCCAUGUCAACAGCACCUGGUUUAGCACCAGCAGACCAUGUCUCAUCUGCGUCGUAGUGGAAUAUUCCAUGCAACGAGCUAACAGCAUGGGCCAGCACUCCGCCAGGUCCAUCAAAUGCAUGCCCGUCUCCAUGAUCACCCUUCUCAAAACUAAUUUUCAGAUCCGCAUUUUCGUAACUUUGGGUGAGGCUGAACGUGAAGUGAGUGCUCGCAGCCCACGUUGCGAAUGCCCGUGCAACAGAGCCUGUGGCUUCGAUCAGAUGGAGUGUUGGGAGGAAAACCGUAAGUGAGAUUAUAUUUAGACCACUUGGGAUUUCCUUCAAAAAAUGAGUAGUGAGCAGUGGUAUGAACUGAACCUGUAAAACAAUAUUGAGUACUUAAAUCGUUAAACAGAAUGUUCAGGUGUUAAUUCCAAAGAAUUAAUUAUUGUAUGGUUUAAAUUUUGAUGUUGAAAUUCAAUAGCAUAAGGAGAAAUUAAUUAAUUGCAUGUUGUAGAUGCAUGUGCAUAUAAAUUAUUGUAGGACAACGUAAGAAAGUUGGAAGCUAGGACAACGUAAUAAGAUGAAAUAACUCGAUACCAUGGUGGUGCCUUUUCUUGGCUGAUCGCAUCGACGAGGUGCCAUUGAUGAUGUCCGGCACGCCACAACGAGGCGUCAUCAUCUUCAACACUGUUUUGCCAUCCAGUGUUCCGGUGGACUUGAGAUGGUAAUUGAUCUGGUAAGUCUUGACGGCUUCCGCCAAACGGUCGUCGAAAUCGUCGUCGUCCAAAUGACACUGGUUGGUUUUGUAGUUCAAGUAACCGUACUUUUCAAGGUAUUUUUUGAGAUCAUUGAUACCCUUGACCUUUUCACCUUUGUGGCAACCUUUGAGAUGCUCAAGGAACUCAAAUGGGGAAGAGCUCUUGUUGUGAGGAUGAGAAGCAGUUGCAUGAGAGAGGAUAGUAAGAAGGGCCAAGAGAAGUGUGAUAGUGAAGAGAGAAAGAUUAGAUUCUGAUGCCAUUGCUCCUUUUAGCUAGCUAGCUAGCUUGUAUUGUUGCAAAAGCGUCUUAUUUGUAUUGUUAUUUAUAGGCUUUGUAACACAGAAGAACGACGGUGAAACAACGAUAAUCAUGGCUAUAUUUUCCAUUUUCCGGUCCUUCCUUAAUAAUAUAAGGAAGGUCCGCGCCGACUCAUGAGGUUCGAGAUGAUCAACUGGGAGAGAGCACAGUAGAAGAACAUUCAUUCAAUAAUGGGGAAUAUAUAGGCUAGUUCUUGACUCGGAGAGAACGUUAAUUAGUAAUGGUCAUCUGAUCAAGGUCACCAUUUGCUAGAACAAGUCUUGCAGUUUGGCUGCUUGCUCCGUAAAUUAAUCAAUCAAUUAAGGAGUGACUGGUGGACUACAUGUAUAAUUACGAAGACCUGAUUAAAGUUCAAACUUGCCAACUUCAUCUUAUCUAAUCAUAAAGCGCAUUACUUAGAAAGCUUCUCUCUCUCAGCCAAACCCUAGGCGGUGGCUGUUUCUCUCCAUCAAAGUGAAUGAGAUGGCCAAAGAGGACCAUGUAUCUAGUGAUAGCUUGCCCAAUUGAAGUUUUGGAGGCGUUGGGGUGGUUUCGAUGGCCAUAGCGUUUGGUGGCUUUGCCGGAUGAGGCGUCGGUGGCUUGAUGGCAUGGUAGGACUUAUAUGCUUGCCGGGUAAAAUAGAUCGCAAGUGAUUAAUUAAUUAAGGGUGCGUCUAUUGCCACCCCACUGUCCACUUUGCUCACCCCACAAUCUGGUUGAUUUAUUAAAAGACCAAAUUAUCCUAAUAUAGAAUUACAAUAAAGAACAAUAUGUUGAUACAAUUAUAAAUCCUUUUUCUUUCUUUUUUAUCGUUUUGUUUUCUUAGUACGUGCUUGAAACUGAAUUUUUUCAUAAAACCCUAAUAAUUUUAAUUUUUCUAUGUAGAAUUUAUGGUCUUCAAUCAUUUCUAUGGAAUCUGAAAACACCUUACAACCAGAAGACGAGGUAAACUGUUUUCUUUCUCUUGUAUUUGUUUUUUUUUCUCUUGUUUUCUUGUUGAUGCUUCAGCAUAUAUGAAGCACUGCAUAUAUACGAUGCUUCGACACUCAGGUAAAGUCUAUAUAUGGAUUCUUUAUCGCAGUUGUAUGACAUGGAGUGUUCAAUGGCAUGUAUUAAGAAGCAAUCUUAUUAAUUCCAAGUUCUUGUGCUUCUCCUUAUUAUCCCUGAACCGAAACACAACUAUGAGAUGUACAACAUAUUUCUACAUACUUUUGAUGAGGAAGAUAAGCUAGGAUUUUUUAUUAUAUAAAAAAAUGAUAUAAGAAAUCAAAAAACAAUAUAUGUAGGGUGAAGAAAGUAGAACUGAGAAAAUGGUUAUUUUAGGUAUUGUAAGUGGGUAAACAAAGUAGACUUACAAUCAAAAAUAUAUAAGUGGGGUGUAAAGAGAAUUUGGGGUGAGCAAAAUGGAUUGUGGGGUGGCAAUAGACGCACCUUAAUUAACUUGUAAUUUCAGUUUAAUUAUUUGUAAAAUAAGUGUAUAAUAUACAUAUCUGUAACAUCUCCAACGUGUUAACUUUCUACAUCAAUUAUCCAUAAAAAGCUAGCGAUCUAAUGACGUCUGUUUGUUGUAAUUAAUUGUCGUGAUGAGAUUAAUAUAUCAUAUAAUAACUCAUUUUAUGGUUAUAUACAUGCAUAAUUCUCUUUUUUCUUUCUUGCUGAAGGAACGAGGUGUAUAUGAGAGAUGAGUUAACAGUCUCCCUAUCACUCUGUUCUUUUCUAUAUUGAAGAAGAAGAAGAAAUAGGAGGGGAGUACGUCCAAAACCAAUACCUCCACAAAAUAAAAAAGAGUAACAAACACGAACUUGAGGAGAAAAUAAAAUGCUGCAAAACGAACAGAAGCACAUCUUGAUGCCCACAUGCACUAACUAGAUCAGAAGUUGUACCACAAUUUGCCAAAACAUUUGGCUGUUCAUGGAUACAAAAACUCUCUUCAUUAAUUAUUUCAAAUAUGAAAAAUCUCAAUACAGGGUAUUCUCAGGUACCUUAUUUAAUUAAUAGAGUGGUACAACAACAAAACUUCGAAUGGUCUGGUCGACCUGGUACGUGCUAGCACCGCUACUCAUACGUUAUAUAAAGCCUUGAUACCUUGAACAUCGUCCCCAUGCAAACCUCGAGUCUCUCCCGUGGGAAGAGUCGGUUCCAUGAUAGCUCCCUUCACUGAGCUAUGUCCCAGUCCGAGAAGGUGCCCUAUCUCAUGCAAAGCCACCGUCUCCAAGUCAGUAGCACCUGGUACAGCACCCACAGACCAAGUCUCAUCUGCGUCGUAGUGGAAUAUUCCGUGCGUCGGGCUAAAAGCAUGGGCCAGCGUUCCGCCAGGUCCAUCAAAUGCAGCCCCGUCUCCAUGAUUACCCCUUUGAAAACCGAUCUUCAAAUCCGCAUUCUCGUAACUUUGUGCCUGGCUGAAUGUAAAGUGAGUGUUCCCCUCCCAUGUUGCGAAAGCCCGCGCCACCGCGCCUGUGGCUUCAGAUGGAGUGUUGGGAAGAAAACCGUAAGUGAGAUGAUACUUAGAGGAAGGCCAUUUUGGAUUUCCUUGGAAAAACGAGUAGUGAGCAGUAGUAUGAAGUGAACCUGUAAAACAAUAUCGAGCUUAAGUCGUUAGACGGUUAAUUUGUUCAAGUUUUGAUCCAAGAGAAUUACGUACUGUAUGUUUUAAAGUUUGAUUUUGAGACUCAAUUAAUUAAUGUUUUUGAUGCAUGUACAUAUAAUUUUGGGUAUGUUAUACAAUUAUUGGACAACGUAAGAAAAUCAGAGGCACAAGUUAGAGGGUCUAAUAAGAUGAAGUAGCUCGAUAUUACGUACCGUGGUGGUGCCUUUUCUUGGCUGAUCGCAUGGACGAGGUGCCAUUGAUGAUAUCUGCCACGCCACAACGAGGCGUUGUCAUCUUCGACACUGUUUUGCUGUCCAAUGUUCCGGUGGACUUGAGGUGGUAAUUGAUCUGGUAGGUCUUGACAGCUUCCUCCAAAAGAUCGUCGAAUUCAUCGUCGUCUGAAUGACUGUGGUUCUUGUAGUUCAAGUACCCGUAUUUUUCAAGGUACUUUUUGAGGUCAUUGAUGCCCUUGACCUUAUCACCUUUGUGGCAACCCUUGAGAUGUUCAAGGAACUCAACUGGGGAAGAGCUCUUGUUGUGGGGAUGAGAAGCAGUUGCAUAACAGAGGAGCGUAAGAAGGACGAGGAGGAGAGUUAUAGUGAAGAGUGACAGAUUAGACUUGGAUGCCAUGGCUCCUAUUAGCUAGCUAGUUAUGUUGCAAAACCCUCAUGUUUGUAUCUUUAUUUAUAGGCUUGUAAUAGAAGUAACGACGGUGACCCAGUGAUCAUCGCUACAUUUUCCAUAUUGCGGUUUUCCUUAACAAUAUAAGAUGUGACUUUGACUGGUAUUACAGUAUUACUAGCUAGGUCGGUCCUGAGGUUCGAGAUGAUCAAUUGGGAGUAGAGGAGAAGGUGCUCCUAACUCGGAGGAUACGUUAGAUUUCGAUGCCAUUGUGAUUUAGGAUGGCAUGUGUUGCAACCCCUCGUAUUUUGGUUGCAAUGUAUAGGGUUGAUUACAAUAUAAUCUCUUGUGAACGUGAAAUGAUUAGGUCUUGAUGUUUGAGAUGAAUUGGAAGAAAGUACCAAAAGCAAGAACACAAAUAAUAGAUAACUCCUAACGGGGAGAAGACGUUGGGUUUAGUCGUCAUUCUAAGGGAGACUCUUGCAUGCAUAUAUGUACAACUUGGGUGACUGAGACUGACUCUCUAAAAUUGAAUCAAUUAAUAGUCGACGUCGUUGCCUCGUCGGACAAGUUAAUGAGUUGUGCUGAGGAACUAAUGAAGGAGCUAUCAUACAAAAAAUUAGUUGUAAUGGACAAUUAUAAUAUUCCCAGAAACAGAAAGGCAGAUGGAGCUCAUCAACAAGUCUCUGUUCAAUUGGGGCCUAGCUACUGUGGAAAUUUUCUGUUCUAUAAUUUUAGAGGAUGUUCAGUCAUCGCCGGCCAGACGUAGACAGCUUUGUCCGCUACUCCAGUAGGUUGAUUGAGUACAUCAACUGGAACACAUCGUAUAUAUGCAUGUACUACGUACGUAGUCGCGCUCAGUUAGUCAGUUACUUGUGCUUACUGGAUCCUUAGGUUAAGUUCGCUGGCUACGAUGCAUGGGCGGAGCCAUUUCGCACCCCUCAACUUUCUUGGUGAUGUGUGAUUUCCAACUAAGAGGUUAUUGGUUUUCAUAGAGUUUCUAGUUAAUUACGAUUGAUUUCACCCCUAAAAUAUUUGGUAAUUACUUAUGGUGACCAAGGGAAGCAAAGAAUUUGCAUUUAUUUCUUUCCUAAUUGGUUAAAAUAUAGCAUUAUUCAUGACUAAUAUUAGUUAUCUUAAAACAAUGAAGCUUUAAGUUUGGUAUAUGAUUCAAUUAAAUUACUCAAUUAUCUCUUUGAAUAAGCGUAAAAAGGAAAAUUUAGUUAAAAAAAACUAGUAAUGAAGAUAUGUCGAUUGAAUCGCUUGUACGUCUUCUAAAAUGGGCGGGGAAAUGAUUAUCGAUAUAUAUCUUAAUGUACACUGAAAAUUAUACUUGAUUUAAUAUAUCAAUAAAGUUUUGUUUUUCUUUUUACUGUAUAUUAGCCGACCCCCUAAACGUAAAUUUCUAGCUCCGCCCCUGCUACGAUGUAAUGUAAUAAUGACUAGUGAUGAGCAAGCUGUAUGUAGGCCAAUUAUAACUUAAAUAUCUGAUAACUCAAGGCUAGCUCAAGGAAUGAAACAAGAUCACCUAAACUCCAAGCAUGUCUAAAACGUACAUCGUUCGUGUAUGCGUAUGUGUUUCUUUUCGGGGGCUUUGAUAUAUUUUCCUGCUGGCAUGGAUUCAUGUCUGAAUAAUCUACUCAGUCUACUUCCCAUUUUCUUUUCUAUGAUUAAUUAACGUGGGUUGCUAAAAUUCAAGUCCAAAUUUUUAGUUGGUAAGCAGAAAUAUCAGUGAACAUACAUCCAUAGCAGGAAACCUGCAACUGAGCUCAUCAAACAGUGACAAAAUGAUCUGCUCAUACGCAAUCUUUAAAAUUAUACAACCCGAUGGCAGUUGACACCCUAGCUAUUUGAAAUUUUAGAACUGUAAUCUGUUUAGAGCGUCUAACAUUCAUCCAAUUUAUUACAUAUAGGAUCAUCUACGAAGAUUAGAGAAUAUAUAUCUAGCUACUCAUCAAUCAUCAUGAAUCUUUAAUCCAUACAACAACAAUGUCAAUGCAGCUCCAUAGUAACAUGAGGUCGUCAAAGUCUUGAUGCCUUCCUCCACGAAAUCAUCUAACUCAUCGGUAUUGGAGUCAUUGUGGAUCGGGUAUUUCAACUCCAAGUAACCAAAUUUUUCAAAGAAUUUUUGGAGUGCACUAAUGGUUUUGACCUCACCGUUGUGACGGGAUGAUGUUUCGUUGCUAGUUUCUUCUGCAUUUGUACGAGAAGAGAGACAAGAGGGUGAGAGAGAGCAGAGCUUGCAUGAAGAGAGAAGUGAGAUUAUAUUUUGAAGCCAUUGUGGUUUAUGAUGGAGUGUGUCGUUGUUGUUGGGAAAAUGGAUACAAAUUUGCCGAUCACUUUUAUUUGCCCACCAAAGUGUCAACUCUCUUAGCCUAUUGACACAUAUCUAUUUUAUUAUCAAAAAUAAAAGUAAAUUAUUUCAUGUGUCAAUAAGCUAAGAGAGUGGGCACUUUGGUGGACAAAUAAAAGUGAUCAGCAAAUUUAUAUAUGUUGCAUGCGCAAAAGCCUCAUAUUUUUAUUUCAUUUUAUAAGAAAGAACUACAAAUAGUAUAUAACUUCUACCAUACGUUAGGAUUUAAUUUAACGCGGUAGUCUUUCUAAAGGACAGUUUGUAGGAAGGCUAGUUUUGCAUAAAUUCAUAUGAGCGUAUAGUUUGGGUCUCCAACUUUCUUAACCGAGCAGGUGAAGCCAUUAAGAUAGAGGUAAGUUCUGGUUUUGGGAGCCUAACACUGAUUACCUGGUGAAAGGAUGAACUGGUAAUUGGUUUCAGCUCUAUCAAAAAUUCGAAAUAGAUUUGCAUCAUUUUAGUCUUCUUUUCUGAUGUUUAAGCUGGAAGGAAUGGUGACUGCUACUCUUAGAAAUAUCUGAAUGAACACACAGACACAACUCUACAUGUUCAAGUAUUCAAAAUGGUAUGUAGCAGUAAUGUACUAAUUCAUUUGAUACAGUCAAGGUAACUCCAUGUUCCUUGGUUAGCCAAUUGGCCAUUGUUGCACAAUGUACAUCACAAGGCAUAGCAAUUUGGUGACAGGUUCAUGCUGAGAAACAUGGCUAUUGUCCUCAAAUCCAUAAUUUGAAGCAAUGGAACAAAAUCAAGCAAGCAAUAGAAGCUAGUUUCAUCUAAACUAGUGAAAUGAGGAAUUAGGCAAACUUCUGUAGCUAAAACAGAAAGUCAAUAUUUACCCUGCUCCUAUAUACAUUCCCUCUUCCAGCUUAAACACCAACUAUAUAAGUAGAAUUUCAAUUGUCCUCUUUAUGAUAUUUGGGAUGGGAGAGGUGCACAAAGAUAGAUUUACGCACCAAUAUUUCAUACUCCAGUGCAGAGGAAGAAGUAAGUUAGUCCUAACAUGUCAGUCGACCUGAGAAUCUACACAGAAGCGACAGAACUAUAGCAACCAAAUUGCAAACACAGAACAACACACUUCCAAUUACUUCAUCACAAACAUUAUCAAACAGUAACAACAUUUGAUCAUCUUAUCCAUAUAUUGUAUAUAACCCAAUGGCAGUUGACACACUAUAAAGUUGUUUAAAAUCAAACACUCAAGAAUUAUAACAACUGUGCAAAGUGUCAACAUUCAUCCAAAUCACACUACAUAAGCUCAUCUAUAAAAUAUAUCUAGCUACUCAUUAUCAAUGUUCAACCCAUACAACAACAAUGGGAAUGCAUGCACAACUGAUGUAUCACACUGAACUAAGCUGAAAACCAGAACACCCCAACUCACUUGUAUGAAAUACAUGGAACAAGAACGAAAAACAAAAUGUGAGAGUUUUACAUUCACUACAUCAAAACUGGCGAGAUUUUACCUCAUGUAUGCGCACCAUUACCAUUCACAUCCAAUUCCACUUCCCCGCCAGCCUUGUUCCUAACCACUUUACCCUCUUCUCUAACCUCCUCCUCCUCCUCAUCAGAAUCCAAAGUAAACUGCCCCUGACUAUCAAUCUGAUGCUGCAUUUCCGCCCCAAGCGGCUUAUACCUCGAAAUAUCACCCCCACCACCACCACCUCCUGUCUUCCUCACCACAACCGAAUACACCCCAACAACCAAAACCACAAUCAGAGCCAAAUGGCAGUUAAACUGCAGCGUCGCGAUAGCUCUCGCCCUAUGAUACUCCGGAUGGCCCUUACACUUGACCGUAUAAUUCCCCCUGCUCUUCUCCUUCAACACGCACCCGUGCGCCAUCCAACGCGUGUAAAUCGAAAGCCCCAUUUGAAAGAACCACAGCCCCUGCAGCACCAGCCCCACUCCUCGAACCAAGUUGGGGAUUACCGAACUAGAGUUGUUGCGCAAUUGAAGAAGCGUGCCGAACAAGCAGACGAAGAUCGGCACCAGCAGCAUGUCGAAGUAGCGGUUCUCGAUUCCGACGGUGUCUUUUCUCCGGAGAUAAAAGUACAUGAACUCUUCGACGAACGCGAAAAGGCCGAUCAGGUUGAGGAGGGAGGAAGGGAAGGAGGAGUUGUUGAGGGUGAGGAGGCCGGUGAGGGAGUAGAGGAGGAAGAGGGCGGCGAUCGCGGCGACCUGGAGCUGCUGGGCCGACCCGACCCGGUCGUGGGAGUUGACGGCGUCGAAGAAGGAGAUGAGGGAGUUGAGGAUGAAGAGGAAGGAGAGGAGGGAAGCGGAGAGGAAGUAGAUGAAGGAGGAUCUGGACGGCGUCGUUUGGGGUUUGGAUUGGGGGAGAUUGGAGGGUGGAGAUGAGGUGGUGGUGGAAGCGAUGGCUUCGAAUGUGCCCAUGAGGAUGAGGCCGAAGCCUGCGGCAGCGAAGGUGAGGAAUCCCAUGGCUUGGUUCCUUCCUUUCUCGGGUCAGCAGACUUUGAUAUCUGAGACGAUCGGGGUCUUGUGGCGCCUUGUUGUGAAGGGUGCGUGUCAUGGUGGACUUUUUCUUUUUGUUUUUGUCAGCGGAAGCAAUGUAUUUAGAUGGUCCAAAAAAGACGACUUAAUACAACCUAACAUAGUGGACUAUAACUCCAGCGUUAUUCGAGACGGUCUGUUACAUGCGUUGUGCAAUGACAUCCGGCGAGUCUAAGUUAGGGUGAUUCUAAGUUUAUUAUUGACCUUAUUAAUAAUAGGUCCCCCUCUCCGUGGAGACUCCUUACUCUUCUUAGUGAUGUUGGCUGGAUGGCUUCUAAGUUUGAAGAGAUCACCUUUAAGUAUGUCCCUUGGGAAGUAAAUUUUGUGGCUGAUGCAAUGGCUAGCUUGGGGCAUCAGGUCCCAUAUCCAACUCUCUCGAAUCGCAAGCUCCCACUCUCUGCGUUUAAUGCUUUUAAUUUUGAUCGUUUUAAUAUAAGCUGUUGUAGAGGUUUCUCUUUGUAAUUUCCUUUUUCUCAUAAAAAAAAACAUAGUGGACUGUUGAGUAUUUUUUAUUUGUGAUGAGAAAAAUGUAAGAGUAUGAGGAGGAUGGUUCUGUGAAAACGGGAGCGGUCUGGUGUAGUAGGCUGCCUUCAGAUGGAUCCGAUCAUGGACGGGCACGUCGGGUUGGUUCGAUUUAGCGGUUAAUACAAAGCAAAACCACGACUAUCUUUCGUUUCUAGCUUAUUUGAAUGAAAUGAUGUUGCAUACACCAAAAGAGAAAAACAAUGAAACCAAACUAGAGAAACAGAAACAAAAUGCCUUAGCUUCAACACUUUCUGUGAUAAAAUUAGCUUCUAUGUGUAUAUGUUGAAAGAUGCAAACUUGAACAUAAGAAACAAAAAGCUACAAAAUAUUUGAACAAGUGACUUCAAACACUAUGAUAUAAUGUAAUAAAACGGGUGAGAGCUCGGUUAAAGUUUCGCCUAAAUAGACUAUGAGGUCUUAACCUCACCAACCUUUUGGAUUAGAUCCGAUACUUCUUAACUAUAUAAUACUAUGAUGACACAUGUAGUUAUUCGAAAUGUAUGACACAUGCAUUAUGUCGAAAUAAGCAUAUGAUCUAUGUACAUAACAUAUACAUAAUCAUCAUGUGUUUACAUAUACAAACAUGCAUGAACGUAAAAUCUAUAGAAUUUAUAAACUAAUGACUUAUUUGUAAAUAACCUCGAGUUCAAUUACUUAGGAGGGGAUAGUAGAUAUAUUAUUGAUUUCAUAUGAUACUAUACGACUCAUAUGGAGGAUAUCUUCUUGUAUCAACAAUUCAUUCAACUUCAUUAUCCACGUUUCAUUGGGUUCUUCUAUCUCAAGCAAGUACCUGUCACCAGUAAACUUCACUCAUCUUAUCAGUUAUGGUCUUGACUUUGUGAUCUUGACAAUUCAUGUGAAACAUCUCUAACAAGACGAAAUCAUUGAAAUGAAAAAGAAAAUAUAGAAGGGGAGAGAAAAAUGUGGGCUGGAUAAGAUAAAGGCAUUAUCCGGAUAGGCCCAAACCGAUACAGCGGACCCACCUCCUUGCUAUCUUCUACAUUUCUAUGUUCUAUGAUUCGCUACACACAACCAUAUAGUCACCUUGCUCUAGCAAAUUAGAAAUGAUCAAAAUUGCCUCUUAUUGGUUCAGCUCUAGCUGUAGAAACAACUCCCACUAGACCGCGUUGCAGAGGAUACAACCUCCCCGUGAACUUUCUUGUGUAUAAAUACUUGGAUUCUGGUCCGGUACUGUACAAACUCGUCUCCUUUAUUUCUGUUCACGAAGACCAAGAUCAAAACCAGAGAGUCAUGAAGAUUACAGCGCUUGUUCAUUUGGUUUCUGUAAUCUACGUGGUUUCUGUGUUGCUGGGUAUGCAUGAAGCUGUACACGGGAGGCUUCUAUCAGCGAAGGAUAAACCCAGCCCCAAAAAUGCUGCUGCUACUGCUCGUUGGCUUGUCUCUCAGAACUCCUGGGGUGUCUUGAAGUAAUUUUACUCUCUAUCUCUAUCUCUGUGCUUCUAUCUUAUUGUUACAGUAAUAAUUGAUCAGGGCACCUCAGCUUUCUUAGAGUAACUGGUUUUUUCUGAGGCUGCUGAUUGAGGAGGAGGAAUUAAUUUAUUGAAAUUUUUAUUGGCUAUUUGAUUAGUUAGAGAUUCCAUUUUGUAUGGUAAUGAAAUCGGGUGUUUAGGUACAUAGAUUUUUUUUUGAUUGACUUAGUUGGAACAAGAUGGUUGCUAUAAAUCAGGUUGAAGAAAUAAAGACAGGAACUUUACUGUUGUUGAAAUUUUUCAGGAUGUCAUCCUAUCAGUAAGAUCUGAAAAGAUUAUUCAUUUUGGCUGAAAAAAAGAAGAAGUGUGAUAUGGAAAGUGAAACUGUCUGCUGCUUUCCAAGCUUGUAAAGAUUUUGACUUGUGUUUGCUUAUGUAUUAUCUUUGUGUUUGGAAGCAUGGAUUUGAAAUUUGAAUCUUACUUCUGGUUUCUGUGUUUGCAGUACCAUCUCAGGUGAAUUGGGAGGAGCACCCUUUGGGUAAGAUUUUAUCUUUUAUAAUUUUGUGACUAUUGUCUAUGUUAUCCUAGUCCUCAUCGAUGAUGUGUAUGUGUUUCAGCUUGGCUCUUUUAGAUAAUAUUACUAGUUUUGGUGUCUUUUUUGUCACACAUUAAGUUCAAGUAUAGCUCAUAACUGAAUAGUAUUAGAACUGGAUUGAGCCCGAACCCUUCUUUCUUUGCGCUCCUUGAAAGAAAAUAUUGUCCAAAAAAUUCAGAUCACCAUUGACAAAUGACAAGACAGUGUCUGUGUGUGUUACACAUAUCGUUCUCUGAUUAACAGCUUCAUUCCUAUGCCUUGCUGGACAAUUGUUUUCUAUUUGCCUCAGAAUCUUGUAUCACUUGUUUAUUUGUUACUGCAACUCCUAUGAUGUUUCUGCAUCAAAUUGAUCAUCAAAUACAAUGCAGGAAUGUGGUUUCAUUUAGCGAUGGGGAACCUGGAAAAGGCAGCGGUAUCCCAUACUUCUACUUGACAACUCUUGAUCCGACUGCAAGAAAUGCAGGGAAAGACCAAAGGGCUUCAUUGACAAUUAGUGAGCAUCCUAUUGGAACCUGUGGCAAAGUUGACCCUGAGAAUCCCACCUGUGCAAAGAUUACACUUACAGGAAAGGUGUGUAGCAACUUUGAGUUGAUUCAUUACAUGCUAAAAUAACAGAUAUGUAAAAAGAGGUAUUACGCUAAGUUUACUGACCCAGAGUUUCUGAUUUUAGUUGAGGUAUGCCAAUGGAAGUCCCAAAGAAAAAGAAAUUGCUAAAAAGGCCUUGUUCUCAAAGCAUCCAGAGAUGAAAUGUAAGUACACACAAUAUGGGGUAGAAACACAAUAUUACAUCUUUUGUGUCUAUAACCACCUUCUCACCAUUUCAUUUGUUGCUCAUGAACUAUAUUGAUCUUUAUUAUUGUUGGAUGAUUAACAGACUGGCCCAAGGGUCACAACUUCCAGUUCUUCAAAUUAGACAUCGAGAAUAUCUUUUUGAUUGAUUGGUUUGGGGGUCCAAAACCUCUCACAGUGGACCAAUACCUUCAAGCCAAAUUGUAAGUGUCAAGAGGACAAAAUAGAGAAGAUAAUAUACAGUAGAACCAAAAACAUGAAUGUAAUCUGAUGAAUAAAUGAAGAAAUAAUACGGUUUAGUGUCUCAACUUUAAAGUGUUUAUCUUUAAUUUCCUUUUCUUAUCCUACUUCCUGAAAUUGAUUUUGGUCCUCUACAGGACAGAACAUGCCUUCAACCUGUGAUUGAUCAUCCGGCUGUGGUUCAGCUUGAAUUCGAAUUGUUAUGAGUUGGAUCAUUUGGAUUGUGUACAGUGAACCUGUGUAAAUGAAAAGAAACAAAUGUAUAUAAUCAUGUAUUUCUAUGAAUUGUCACAGAAAUCUGCUAUCCUAUAAUUUGAUAAAAUAACAGGAGGGAACAUUAUUUGUACAAGGGAGUUCAAUUUUCUGUGUUGUAAGCUGAAAAAAAGUGAUACAGUGGAAAUUGGCAAGCUCUUCAUUUGUGUUUGAUUCAUAUAUUCCACCUUAUAGAGAUUUUCUCAUGUAAGGACAUCCUUAUUUAUUCUUAUGAUGCGGAUUUUCACUUUAGUCUUUAGGUACUAAUGUGUAGAUCAUCUAUACAAAUUUUCAGUCAAUUUGAUAAUCAUUAAAACACUCAAACUCGAUUAAACCAAUAGACAAACUGAAUUCUGUUAAACUUGAGCCGUUCAUGUUUAAAACAGGAAAAUACAAUUUUGAGGGCCUUAACAAUUAUUAAAUUAGAAAUCUGCACCAUAUGAAUAAAUAAAGACAUCCUUAGUAGACACAAGACAAAGUGAAUAUUCAAGAACAAACAUCCUAUGUGGAAUCAGAAUUCCUUAUUCGACUAGCAUUACACCAAGACACACACAAAGUGAAUAUUCUAGAACAACAUUCUAUUAUCAUAAAUAUUUUUCACAAAUUUAUGUUCAAAUCAACGACAUUCUACUAUCAGAAGAGACCCAAGCCCCAACAUAACGUCUGUGUCACUCAUGUUCGAAUCAUAGACAUUCUAUUAUUACUAGAGCCCCAACAUGACCCAAUAUAACGUUCGUGUCACGUCCGCGCCACGCUGUAUGUUUCCGCUAGACCAACCCAACUAGAAUUCAUUGAAGUUGAUUAUGAGCUUCAUUUCAUUUUAUUUUGUUAGAAAUUCUUGCGUGCAUGACGUGUAUUUACACGACGCAAUUUUAACCGUUUAUAACAAUUCAUAUGUUUGACCACCAUAUUUCUAUAUUAUUUCAUCUAAUUCUGACCAUCCAUGUAUGUAUGUGAACUCAUGUGUGACAAUUCCACCCAGAAGGUUCCUUAUUUUAUACAUAUAUAUAUAUAUAUAUAUAUAUAUAUAUAUAUAUGAUGAUAUAUGAAGAUAUCACGAGCGAGUCACGUGAGUAAGGAUAGAGAUAGAUAGUCGUUACUGGAUUCGUUAACCAUAUCACCCGCCUGAACUUGAAGUCUUCACUCUUCACAAUCACCAACGAUGCACCUCUUCAUCUUCGUCUUCAAAUUCUAAGCUCCCCCUAAAAAUGUUGCACCCCCUAACUCACCUUCCCUCCUCUCUCCCGCCAAAAACCCUAACCGACCUCCACUCCUUCUCCCCCUUCUUCUCCUUCCCCAAACCCCCCAAACCCUCCCAAUUCACCAUCCGGAGCUCCGCCGCCGACUCCAAAACCCUCGCCGCCAAUUCCGCCAUCCAACGAAUCGCGGAGAAGCUCCGCAGCCUCGGGUUCACCGAAGACAACAAUAAACCCGACUCCAAACCCGGCCCAAGCUCCGCCGGCGAAAUCUUCGUCCCUCUGCCGGAGACUCUCCCCAAGUACCGCGUCGGCCACACUAUCGACCCGAGCUGGAGCACGCCGGAGAAGCCGGUCCCGGCGCCGGGGACCGGGAGGGCGAUUUCGAGGUUUCAUGAGAUGAGGAGGGAGCUGAAGAGGCUGGAGGAGGUGGAGGAGAUGGAGAGGAAGAAGGAGGGGAAGAAGAAGGAGGAGAAGGUGCCAACGUUGGCGGAGAUGAGCUUGUCUACGGCGGAGCUGAGGCGGUUGAGGACGGUUGGGAUUGAGCUGAAGAAGAAGGUGAGAGUUGGGAAGGCUGGGAUUACUGAGGGGAUUGUGAAUGGGAUUCAUGAGAAUUGGCGGCGGUCGGAGGUUGUGAAGCUUGUUUGUGAGGAUUUGUGUAGGUUGAACAUGAAGAGGACUCAUGACUUGUUGGAGGUAAGAAUCCGUUUUCGCUAUUUGAGUUGUACAUGACUUUUCGAUAUGGGGAUUGUUUGUUUGCAAUGUGUUUUUACUUGUUGCAGAUUUGAAUUAUAUCGGAAAUGUGAUAUAGUGUGAUUGUUUAUAUAACGGAGUUAGUUAAUUUUAGUUUUUGUUGGUGACAUUAUCAGAGGAAAACUGGAGGGUUGGUUGUUUGGAGGUCAGGAGCGAAGAUAAUUUUGUAUAGGGGGGUGAACUAUAAGUAUCCUUACUUUUUAAAGGGUAAAAAGCGUGAAGAUUCGACAAGUGAUGAUUCUGGUGAUGCGGUAGUUAAUGCUGGAGGAACCGAUGAAGCAAACUCUGUGACAGGACCAAGUCCAACUGAUGAAAAAACUCAGCCAGCCUUAAUACAAGGGGUUGGUUUGGCAAAUAGGUUUCGGUUUCAGCUUCCAGGCGAGGCAGAACUUGCUGAAGAAGCUGACCGCAUGUUAGAGGGACUUGGUCCGCGGUUUAAUGAUUGGUGGGGAUAUGAACCUCUACCGGUUGAUGGGGACCUUCUACCAGCUGUUGUACCUGGAUACAGGAAGCCUUUCCGACUUCUUCCGUAUGGCUUGCAACCUAAGCUAACAGAUGAUGAAAUGACCACAAUAAGGAGACUUGCCCGACCCUUGCCAACUCAUUUUGCAUUAGGUUAGUUUGGAUUAUGAUGUCGCUACUCUUACUCUCUUCAGCCAACAUUUGUGUUUACUAGCUUUUCUCCCUAUACAGGAAGAAACAGAAAGCUUCAAGGGUUGGCUACGUCCAUUGUCAAACUCUGGGAAAAAUGUGAGAUUGCCAAAGUAGCUGUUAAAAGAGGGGUUCAGAACACUAAUUGCGAGCUGAUGGCUGAAGAGUUGAAGGUGUGAAUAUUUCUUCAAUGUAUCUAUAUUCUAUUUAUUGGAACCAGAACGCAUUAUGGCUGUUGCUUAACUUAGAACAUGUUCUUUGGCAGAGGCUGACUGGAGGAACUCUGAUUGCUCGGGACAAGGAAUUUAUUGUUUUAUACAGGGGAAAGGAUUUUCUGCCUCCUGCAGUUUCCUCUGCCAUAGAAGAGCGGAGGAAGGCUGUAAUGUAUGCAGAUAAUCGGAGUAGGAAGUUGAGGAUUUCUGCCACAACGGCACAGGAUCAUGAAUCCAGGACUGAACUGGAAACCAAAGAUGAUCUGACCGGUGGUCUUCCAUCUGAAAAAAGAAAGCUAAAAUCUACUGAGGCAGCUGCCAGUAGGGCCAGCAUUAAAUUGUCCAUGGUAUGACUUUCUGUGAUGCUACAUUUACAACACUUUUGGUUCAGCUUUUUUGUCUUACAAAUGGCACAUAUGCAAUGAACAGGCUUUAGAAAAGAGGGAAAAAGCAGAGAAACUUCUAGCGGAGCUGGAGAAAGCAGAGAGUCCCCAGCAACCUGAAAUAGAUAAAGAAGGUAUAACUGAAGAGGAAAGAUAUAUGCUAAGGAAGGUUGGCUUGAAAAUGAAGCCUUUCCUACUAAUGGGUGAGUUAUACUAUCUUUUUUCUUGGACUCAGCAGCUGUUCUAUCAUUGAUUCCUAUUAUAGGACUGAAUCAUAGGCCAUAUUAAAAAUCCAUCAAACUAUGCGGCUCCUUCAGCAUGAUUGCCAAGAAAGAUUAAUAAAGUCUCUUAAAAUGUUCAGGUCGACGAGGAGUAUUUGAUGGGACAAUUGAAAACAUGCAUCUCCAUUGGAAAUAUAGGGAGCUCGUGAAGAUUAUUUGUAAUGAGAAAAGCAUUGAAUCUGCUCACCAAGUAGCACAAACUUUAGAGUCCGAAAGUGGUGGGAUUCUUGUGGCAGUGGAGAGAGUAAGUAAGGGUUACGCAAUCAUCGUGUACCGUGGAAAAAAUUAUAUCCGGCCUGCUAAUUUGAGACCUCAAACACUUCUGACUAAACGAGAAGCACUGAAGCGUUCUAUUGAGGCACAGCGUCGUGAGGUAGAAUUUGCGUUUUAUCUAUUUGUCAUUAUCAAUCUGCAUCCACUAACUUAAAAUGUUUAAGGAAAAAAGAAAGAUAGAAAGAAUCAUAUGAUGCAAGUCCAUUCAUAGAGGCCGGAUUAAUGGCCAAGUUGUCUAAUCCUAUCAAUUCUAAUUCCCCCCUCUAGAUUGAUUUUGGCUGAAACACUGCCUUUUGAUCUUAGAAUGACCUGAAAUGAAAGAUAACGGAUAUAGUUGCAUUGUCAUGUAAAAUCUAUAGGACAAGGAUCUUGGAACAAUCUUGACUGUUUUUGAUGUUGAAAGCUAUUUCAUAGUCUUUUGUAUUGUUCUUACUUUUAUCAUGUCUACUUCAACAUCUGAUUCUGUUUUCUUUUUUCCUGCUGUGAAAUGCAGUCCUUGAAACUUCAUGUUUUAAAGCUUAACAAGAACAUAGAUGAAUUGGAGGAAUUGGUGGUGAGCUUUCCUAUUAUUCUAUAAUUCAAUAUUUUUACUCUAUCCUUUUUGCUUUUUUGCACAUCAAAGAGACAAUUAUACAUUAUUUUCCUGAACCAGGUUAAAGGCAAGGACUCAAACAAUAUGCAUCCAGUUAAUGAAUCAAAGGAAUUGGUGAGCUAUCUGAUGACUAUAUACUUUGAUGUGCAUCAGAUAUUUAGCUGGAUUAUAGUUAACAGUUUUUUUGCGCCACAUAAAUCAGGUCAGGGAGGAGGUAAAUAAUGUUGAAUCAGAAGAAUGUAUGCAUGAAGAGAAUCUCAAGGUAAAGACUACAAAGUAUGAUAAUGUCUCAGACAUCUGUAUAAUAUUUGUAACUUAUAGUUUUGUUCUUCAAAAGUGAUAUCUGAUAAUCUGAUAUAGUGCAUAAAUGUUUUUCAAGGCUAGAGGCAAACAAGAAUCUCAUGUGACCAACAUGAAUUUAAAUGAUGGAAUGGUUGCUGUUGUGAAAGGCCACUUAGCCACACAACAGGGUGAGGGGUAUGGUCUCUCUUCAAGUUGUGAUGGAGAGGAGACUGAUGAAGUGGAAUCAAGGUCUUCGAAUGGAUCAGUUACGAUUGAAUCCCAGGAAAAUUUGUUCAAUAAUGUAAAAGGAGAAGUUGGAAUAUUGAACAAGGCUAGAGACAAACAAGAACUUGAUGGUAUAGAUGCGGAUGCGGAUUUAUUUGAUGGAAUGAGUCCUGUCAUAAAUGGCCAGUUAGCCACACAGCAAGGUAAGGAGAUUACUUUCUCUUUGGCCUACGAUGAGGAUGGGCCUGGUAAAGUUGAAUCAGUAUCUUCAGAUGAAUCUGUUACAAGUAAAACCCAAGUGGAUUUGUUCGAAGAUAUAAAAGAAGAAGCUGGAGUGUUUAUCAAUGCUAGAGAUAACCAAGAUUCGCAGGUGACUCAGAUGGAUUUAAAUGUUGGAACGGGUGCUGUAGUUAACAGCCAAUUAGCCACUCAACAGGAUAAGGAGAUUUUCUCUUUUAUCUGUGAUGAGAAUGAGAGUGGUAAAGUCGAUCCAGGAUCUUCGGUUACAAUUGAUUCCAAUGCAACUUUCUUCAAGGAUAGAAAUAGAGAAGUUGAAGGUUAUGUUUGCCGUGAAGAUGUUAUGGUAAUAUAAAGAUGUCGUAUGCUAGUUGAUAUUAGUUUAUCUUCUUUUCUUUGGCAACCUCUUAUGUUGUCUGGUUUUGUGGUGAUUCCAGUCAAAAGGUCCAAGCAGUUCUGCUAUUCUUGACAAUCAGCAUCGUGUUUUUGAUUAUGAGCUGGAAUCAUCAGGUAGAUCUGGUAAUACUAAAUCAAAAUCUCCAGUUCCAACAAUGGUAAGAAAGACAUUAAAUGAGAUGCCCUCGAGAGCUGUGCAUUUGUCCAACAGUGAGAGGCUUCUACUGCGAAAGCAAGCCCUGAAGAUGAAAAAACGCCCUGUGCUUGCCGUUGGUAAUUUGUUUUCCAUUUUGAGUUUUCUUAUUUCCCUCUUAUUGUUAAACUAUUCUUGCUAAAACAGUUGUUAUUUGAUAGGAAAUGUACUGCACUGAUUUCUAGUUUGUACCUGAACCUUACUUUCGCACCAUGGAUUUUCUUUUUCAUGCUUAUUUUGAAAAUGCUAACUAUCCCUGACAUUAUAUUGGUUCAUGAUUACAUGUCCUAGUAUAUAGAUUGCCAAAAUCCUAAUCUAUAUGCAACCUCAUUAUUUCUGAAGUGUGCUGUUGUUAUCACUUCUUAGGUAGGAACAAUAUUGUAACUGGUGUUGCGAAAGCAAUCAAAGCGCACUUCGAGAGGUAUCCUCUUGCCAUAGUAAAUGUCAAAGGCAGAGCAAAAGGAACUUCAGUAAGGGAAAUUGUUUUUAAGCUGGAGGUGCGCACAAAAAUUCCUCUCUUUUUCUCCCCUAGUUUAGGCUAUUCUGUGCUUCCAUUUAAACUUGUCUGAAUCUCUCUUGUUUAGGCUAUUCUGUGCUUCCAUUGUAACUUGUAUGAAUUUAUUGUUUCUCUUCCACAGCAAGCAACAGGUGCGGUUUUAGUCUCCCAGGAGCCAAGCAAAGUUAUUCUUUACAGGGGUUGGGGUGCAGGAGAUAGUCCUGGAAAUAAUGAUAAGAAGAACACAAUUGGGAAAAAGGUUGCUCCUGUGUCUCCUGAACUCUUGGCAGCAAUAAGACUCGAGUGUGGUUUACAGAACCACGAAAAGGAAGAUGCAACUGCUUAGGUUGGAUCCUAAGCUUGUACCAGAAGUUACCAACUGCAGAGACCAUGCACAUACAAUACCUAGUUAGCAAGAAUUCACAUUCAUUCACAUCAUCAACUUGAGCCUGAACAUAUCCGGAAACUCAUCUACCCCUUUUGGCAUCUCCAAUCCAGGAAUCUAUGAGAUCAUAUCUUCGGAAGAUUCAACAAGCAUCGGUAUGACUUGUAUGCUAAAUAGAUUGUACCCUAUCUGUAUAUAGAAUGCUGUCUUGACAUAUUCAGUGGCUGAUCUGCUACAUUGGAAAUCAGAGAGCUUUGUUUUGGGGUCAAAAUGAGGGUAAUUCACUAUGCACCCUUCUGUAUGUUAAUCUUGAACAUUUUUGUAAACAUACCUAGAGACUGAAAUAGAAGCACCUGUUCUCUCAUCCUAGAGUAAGGUUAGCCAAAAACUCCUGGUAAGGUCGGUCAGGUGCAUCAGACAAUGAGAUAGUUGUGUAGACCCAUCGACUACGACAUAAUAUUGGCCCAUACUCGCUGCAGGCAUGCCUUUCAUUCUUGUUGUCGAUUCUAGGACCAUGUCCCCAACCCCACUUUCUUCUUCCUUCAACAGUUGAACUCCUUUUUUGUCUUUUUACUUCCGUAUUCUUUGAAUCUUUUCUAGGUGGAGGAUUGUGUAAUUUUUGUUAUUCUAUGCCUUCUUCCUGUUGAUAGUUGAGACGAUACGAAGAGUUAAUUAGCGUAAUGAUAAUUCUCUCUAUGUUUAAAGUUGUAUCGGGCUAAAAAGGAGGUAUAAUCUUGUCUGGAAGACAUGUGAAUAUGAACUGCGACUAGUUGUUUUCUAUCAUUAGUCCUGUGUACGUCCAUCUUUUUCUACUAAUGUGUGAUGAACUACAUCCGUAAUUUAGUUGCAUACAACCGUAGCAAUGAAAGAAAAUGGUGAAAAUUACAUGGCUUCAGGCCUUGGUUUCUUUUGAUAUUGAUAAGACUCUGAAGUGUUUCAAUUAUACAGAUAAUAUGAUGACCUGAAAAAACUGAAGCAGCUGAAACCUGAAGCAGCUGGCAACCCCUGGCAUAACAAAUGGGCAUCAGCUAAACUUAAUGCAAGAUAAGUUCUCACAUAGAAGUUACGCAGUACAAUACACACAACAUUGUUAUUAGUAAAAGUGUUGGUAACAUAUUCAACCGUAAGGUGAAGGUGUUGAUUAUAACUAAAUUACGUAUUGAAAUAAAUAUAACCGUCUUCUUUUUUGUUAUAAAUAAACUACUAUAUCAUCGCUUUGCCUUCUUGUCAUUGUACUGGCUCNCCCUUUUUUUUUUUUUUUUUUUGAAUAUCAACGACCGUAUCAUCAAAGACUCACCAGGUCCAGAAACUAAUCCGCGUCGAGAAAUACUUCCUCAUUUAGUUUUACUUAUUUUCCGUCGAAGAAAAACUUUUGACAUAGGACAUUGAUUCUAAUCAAUUAAUUAAUCAUACUUGCAAGUUUAAGAUUGAUCAACCAAAACAUGCAUCUCAACUAAAUCAAACUGAAACUGCUGCUAGUGUAAUUUUCAAAGAGAAAUAUAACAGAUUAUGAGCUUAGUCGAAGCUGGCGCAUGAUAACAUGGACUUGGCGCAUGAUAACAUUGACUAUGACGCCGGAGCAAGAAGCUAGUCAAAUAUGUAACUGUACUGUGUAUGACAUUGGAGAAAAAAACACACUAAUUUUCUCAAUGGUAGAAGACGAAGUUUAACUUGCCCAAAAUCGCAAUAUUGUUUCACACGCGCUUGGAGUUCAGAUGAGACUGGUUAAGCCACACACUUUCUCUCUCUCUAUCAUAUGUCAGAUAGAGAGAGAGAAGAGAGAAAGAGAGAGGAGUCUUGGGCUUCAUAAAUGAAAAUCAUCAUCACACACACUUUUUCUCUCUCUAUCAUAUGUCAGAUAGAGAGAGAGAAGAGAGAAAGAGAGAGGAAGAGAGAGGUAGGCACAAAAAACCUAGAAAUUUAGCUGCCUUUCUUUCAACGCCAGAGGCCAAACGCAAUCAUGCUGUCUUCUCCUUACCUUCUUUAUCGCCAUCAUUGCUCCCACUCCAUCUUCUUCUGCUCCAACCCCUCCUCAACCACCCCACAAAGUCCAGACCAUCAUCAUUAUCACCAACAAAGGAGAAAGAAGAAGAAGAAGAAGAAGAAAGCUUUUCAAGGAAAACCAGAAAGAUCUACCCUAGCUGUUCUCAGCUUUCUCUUUGGUUGCCAGUGAUGAACAAGUGAAAAGUGUGUUUCUGAUCCGACUAUUUCAAAGAUUUUUUCAAGUCUUUGCUUUUGGGGAAUCAAGCAUCAUGGUCCGACUCUACUUCGAUUUGCUUGUGUAUGUUCCAUCAAAGCUGCAUCAGAUCGUUUCUCUAGUUCUUGUAUCGAUCGGUUUGUAGUUCUCUCUCUUGUUUAUGUGAUCCUUGUAGUUGGGAUCUUGUUGGAUAAGGGUUUCUGUCAUUAGGUUACUUAAGAACAAUUAAGUUACUAGCUAGCUAGCUAUUUGGUUACGAAGAAGGUCUUAUGCUCUAUCUCUCUGAUCUGUGUAUGGAUUCCUCUUGUUAAUCAUCAGAUUUGGCGUCUCUUCAACUCAACGUUAGCUUGAAGAUGAUUGAAUUUGUGUGGUUCGAAUUUCCUGGUGAAAUGAUAAUAAGAUAUAUAUUACUGUUGAAAUCCAAUAAUUCUAGAUAUGUAUAUAUGUGAAUGCGUGGUUUGGUACUCUGGUUAGUAUGAACUGUAUGAUUAGUUUCUACUUCAACUUCCUGAUGCAGAAAACUUGAUUAGCUAGUGUAUGAUUGAACCAAAGUAUCGUACUCGGUUAUGUUAAUUAAGUCAUGAGUUCCUUGAAAACUUUUCUUUCUAGCUAGAUCCACUCCAUAAUCCAUAGUAGGGUUUUCAUUUAGAGAUGUGUGAAUUGAUAUAUGUGAUUUCUUAUAUUGAUUAAUGGAGAUUCAGGUAUUGAGUACUGAGUACUGUCGUACUGACCUGAGUAUUUUUUGAAGAUUCUGUUAGCUUCAACAGGAUGAGAAGAAACAAGAACAUAAAACAAAUGUUUGGUACUCAUAAUUAUCUAUGUUCUACUUUAAAUAUCUUUAUAAACUUGAUUACUUUAUAAAGCACGCACCAUAUAUAUAUAAACAGUUAUUCAUGUAGAUACUUCUUCGUCUUCCUCUUCCAUACUGUAUUUAUUUCCCAACAGCAAACACAUGUGUAAGUUGGAUUCUUGAGUGUUCUUCGUCUGGGAAUUUACCAGAUGAUAUAUACUUGAUAGCGUUCCAUCUCUACCUAGGGUAGCCUCAUUUGUACGUUGCGGACUCAACUAUCCAUUUUUGGAGUCAAAACGAAGGUAAUACAAAAGGCUAUGAUCUCCGAUCGGUUCUUUUUGGCUAUCUGGCGGGUUUGGACUCUGGAUAAUGGUUAAACUUAAUCCAAAAGCAACCAACCUCAUGCAUGCAUUAUAUCUGAGUUCUUAGGGCCAAGUACUUCAAAUGAAUGAAAACAACGAGUUGGUAUUUGGUAUAACGUAGAUAGCCAGAGCUGAACUUGAAGCUUAAUUUAACUUGAGCUGAGGGAGUCUGGUAUUAUUCGUUUAUAGUUUCAAACUUGAAAUUUCAAGAUGUGUAUUUUCUUUCACAUGCAGGAUCAUGAUGAAGAGGAAGAAGAAGAAUAAUCAUGAUGAUAAUGCGCGCUAUAUGGUGCAGAAGCUGCUGCUGCUUUCGGCAGCAAUGGCAUUACGGAACGAUCGUGAUAAAAGUGGUGACAACUGACAAGUCCCACAUCGCUUAAUGAAUAGUAAUCAUGAUAAACAUAGCAAUACACGUGCUGUGUCUCCAGAGAUCUUAAUUAAGGACAUGGAUAAUUCAAAAGGAAUAAGAAAAACGAUGAUCCAUACUCGAAGCAAACCCUAAUACGUUCUCGUAUACAUAAUCGCUUCAGUCAAAUGUGUCUUACUACCUGUCCUUUCCAUUCCCCAGUGCUUUCUCUAUGUUGCUUUCUCAAAGACAAAAUUCACGGUUCAGACUCAUACGGAUGCACAUGAUUUUUAGAUGUUUGGUGACAAAAAUCAAAAUCAAAAGAUAUUGAAGAUGAUACAAUGUAAAGAAUAUAUGUACGUACUAUCUUGUACGUGUAAAACGUAUCUAUAUGAAUUGGAAUUUUAGCUUUGGAAAUGAAAAUGUAAUGGUGGAUAGUCUACACACUAGUAUCACGUGUGUGUGGUUUUGAUAUGCGCCCAUAUGUCUCAAAGAACCGCACUUACCUAUGUUAACUAUUGCCUCUAAAUAUUUCGAGAUGUUUAAGAAAUUUGGGGUUUAAGUUUUAUGUCUCACUUUGUAUUUUAUGGUUUUGUUAAUAGUCAAGACAUGAGGGCUGCCGUUUAACCCCUAUGCAUAUGAGUACUUGACAAGACAUCGAGUUUUGAACUUUGAAAUGAAAAUAUAAGGUGAUAAUACUUUCUUGUUUUUUUUUUAGGAAUGAUAAUACCAUUUUGGAGAAAGAUGGAAGUCAUGACUUGAAUGAGUGAGUGUCAACAAAAAAGAUUAAACGUACUGUUUAGCAACAAAAUAAAAAAGCGCUAGAAGGAGGGGUCGAACCUCCGACCUUGUGGUUAACAGCCACACGCUCUAACCAACUGAGCUAUUCCAGCUUCUUGCUGAUGUAAUUUGAUUAUUACUAUUUAACCCAGGAUGUGGUUGGGUUGUGAGUUGUGACCGUGGUUCCACUUAACCGCAAUUCAUUGGGCGCAGACCGAGUGGUUGGCGUCUUCCCUAAACCGAUAUUCACAACGAGUGGCACCAAACCAUUCCUCCUCCUCUCUGCCUUUUUCAAAUCCCAUCAAUUUCAGAUAAACAAUCCCCCCUUACUUUUCCUAAAUCCAAACCCCAAAAACUAUAUAAACAAAACCCCCUUUAUAAUUACCCACAAAUCAAAAACCAAAAUUAAUUUAAACUCCACAGCACUCAUCUCUCUCUCACUCCCACAAGCUCACCCUCAAAGCUCGCCGCCGGCCAUGACUCUCCAGCUCCAAGCUCCGUCGUUCGCCGCCACCAUUUCGUCUCUUGCUUCCCCUCUCAACCGCUCCACCCGCCGCUUCGUAAUUCGAGCUCAAGGUUCGGAAUUUAAUUGUGUUUUAUCAAUUCCCGAUUUAUUGGAGUUUCUGAUUUGUGUCUGAAAUCAUAUGUGUGUGUUUAUAUGUAUGAAUGUGGAUGAAGAAGUGAAAAAAGUGAAAACCUUGAGACUCUAUUUGAAGCAUUUUCCAGCUUGGAUUAGGAUAAUGUUUUCGAUUUAAUUUGCCAAAAAAGAUUGUGGCUUUUUGAUUUUAAUGUUGGAGUUACAUGUAUUGAUGUGGCAGUUGAGCCAACAGAGAAGUCUGUUGAGAUUAUGAGGAAGUUUUCGGAGCAGUAUGCUCGGAAGUCCGGGACAUACUUCUGUGUUGAUAAGGGAGUCACUUCUGUUGUUAUCAAGGUAAUGUGUUGUCCAUAAGCAUAGUUCUUUAGUUCUAAUUUUGCUAGAUGAUGUAUUAGCUUGGUUUGGCAUUUGAUUGUUGGUAAGAGAAACUCAUUUUGGAUUUGUCAACAGGGAUUGGCAGACCACAAAGAUUCAUUGGGUGCUCCACUUUGCCCUUGUCGGUAAACAUCUGUUCGUUCGUAUUGUUUUUGAAUUGGUUGUUUAGUUUUAUCAUGUACUUUUAACUCCUAUGAGGUGUUAGUGAUCAAACUAGCAUGUUCAUGGUUUCCAAGUCUCAAAUACGCUGGUGUUGCAGGCAUUACGAUGACAAACCGGCAGAGGCUGGCCAAGGCUUUUGGAACUGCCCCUGUGUUCCCAUGAGGGAAAGGUGAGUUUGACCUUUUCUUUUACGUUCUCUAUGUUCAGUAAGUUGUAGAUUCGAAUUCCUGGUUGAAAUUUAGCUGAAAACCUGGGAGAUACUGGUGUAUUGUGAUAUGUUAUUCUCCUUAUGAGCACGAGUUUGGUAGUCAGCCAUUGAAAUCAAAAGAUACAAAUCGGCAAUAGCCUUGUUCUAAAUUCGUUUAAGCGUAGAUGCUUGGGUUGCAACUACGUGUCCUAGUAAUGGGAAGAUGUGUUCUUUAUACCCAUUCUAUCAAAUAGUUACAAGGGUCGUACCAUAAUUAGCUAAUGUUCUGCUAUCAUAGGCUGUUUGCUGGUCCUAUUAUAAUGUUCUGCAAAAGGGUUGUAGAAAAUCCUACAUGUUGAUCAACAAAUUCUAUUCCAUAUCUGCUUCUUCCUUCAGAAUCCCUUAAACCAAUAAUGUCAGUCUUUCCUUCAUUCUCAUCCGAAACCUCUCUAUCAAACACACUUCGUCUCUCCACCCACAAUACACACUUGCAACUUACAAUCAUUUUCAGAUUGAAGUUAUUUGAUGUCAAGGUUUGAUAUAAGCUGUAGAUAUUGUUCUAAUGCAGGCAUCUAGGUCGAGAAUAACCAAACAAACUAAUCACAAUAGUUAGUUGCAAUAAAAAUCCCAAUAAAUAACGAAAGUUUACCACAACGUUGUUGCUCCUUUUGACUCUGAUGUCUAUACUAGUCCUGUUUUUAUAUGCCAGCUUAUAUACGCAUUUCCUCUUCUUGCUAAAAUUGUAAGACUGUCUUGGCAGGAAGGAGUGCCACUGCAUGCUCUUUCUCACCCCUGAAAAUGAUUUUGCUGGAAAAGAACAGGUAUUUAGACACGUUUCAUUUAGCUCAUCAAUUGUGAUGUCUAUAUCAAACGCUUUUUUGUUCAUGAUGUUCUCUUGCAAACUGUUUGCACAUUCAUGGCAUAUUACUUCACAUCUUUUUCCACAUAUAUCUAAUUAUUUGUCUCUGCAACUCUUGUGCAAUGCAGACAAUCACCUUAGAAGAGAUCAGAGAAUCCACGGCAAACAUGUAAUAAGCAUCAAUGUGUAUUGAGAAUUAUGUAUAAACUACCACUACUGUAUUUGUUACAAGGAAAAGAGUAAAGAGUUCAUGUUUUGAACGUCUCAAACCAGACUAUUUCUGAUCCUUCUUUUUUGUUCUUCAUUUUUAUCUGCAUGCAUUUUCAUUUGCUUCUCUCAUUGUAAUUUGAAGCACAUGUAAGGCAAAGCCAAAUCAUGCCAUCUGUACCCAAUAGAAACAGCCAAUUGUUUAGAGCACCACCCAGUUUGGUGCAAAGCCUUCAUUGGCUGUGGUGGUUCUUUACUUUGAGUGCAGGCUUUCAAGAUCUUGGUGAUUGCUUUAGAAAUAAGAAGCGACUAACAACUCGAAUUCCUUCUUCCAGUAGUAAAAUUCAUACUCUCCUAAACCCUAAUAGGAAUCCCCUGGCGAGAAGGAAACUCCUCAACUCUUUAAAUAUACCUUUAGCCCCCUACAAGCCUUUGAUUCCUUUGGUCAAUAUGUCUCUCCAAAAGUACCGGCGUUCCAAAAAACAUGAUCUUAAUCCGGGGAGCAAGUUGUGAAACAAGUCCCUGAUGAGAUUAUGGAAUUGAUUCUGCAGAGGCUAAACAUAUUCGAGUACCUAGCGUUUCGCCAAGUAUGCCAUCCUUGGCGUGCCCUAAGCAAGCGUUGCCCUCCUGCUCCUCACCUUCCAUGGCUUCUGUUUAAUUCUCAUCCCUACUACAUCCAAGACCAAUGCUUUGUAAGCUGUCUCAGCGAUCCCAGGAUUCACACUCUAGACUCCCCAAUGUUGUUUCUUGAGUCGAGAUGUCUCGGACCAGAUGAAGGAUGGUUGAUCAUGGCUGCUCUCGUUCGUAGACUUUCCCCUGUCGUCAACUACUUACUGAAUCCAAUAACAGGUUCCCGAGUCGAGCUCCCACCUAGUCCACCAUUUCAGGCCUCCAUAGCAACAGUGUCGACUUCAUAAAGAAGGCAGUGGCCUCUUUCGAACAAACAAGUCUAGAACACUGUGUUGUGGCUUGCCUUCGUGCCACUGAUGAUCAUUUGGCUUUCUGUAGACCCUUUGAUGAAUCAUGGACCCUGAUUGAAGCCAGAGAGGGGAACAAGAUUCGCAGAUUUACAGACGUAGAAAUAAUUGAUGGGAAACUAUAUGCUGUAACGUACAGCAAGACCUUAAUGGUGUUUACCUAUACGGCUGAAAUGUUGUUUGAGCUUCCCCUUAUGUCGCUUCCAUUCCAUCUAGCAAAAGAUGUUGCAUCAAAGGACCUCUUUAUCGUUUAUAGAGAACGCAUUUGCAGCAAUGUAAGCUUUCAUGUGAUGAAGUUACAGUGCAACAAGUGUGAUGAUCCUCACUGUGUACUGGUUUACGAUCUCGGUGACCGGACACUAUUCCUAAGCGAUCUUGACACCAAGAUUAUUUCUUCUUCAAGCAGCAACCUUAGUGGUUCCGUCGAUAACAGACUCAGAAACUGUAUCUAUUAUUCUUUCGGAUACGGGAGAAAAUUUGGUGCAUUUUCCUUGUUUUCCUUGACAAAUAAGAGCAUCAAACUCUUGACUCUCCCAGGUUAUGUCUCCCCGUUUGCAGAACAGAGAUUCUCCAAAGAAAGUUUUGUUUGGUUCAAACCAAAUCCUUGGUAAUUAUAUGAAAUCAUUGUAUUUCGGAUCGUGGUAUAGGAUAUUGUUUUCAGUCCUCAGCAAUCAGAUUGAAGCAGUCAAGCAGAGCGGGAAUAUCUGUGCAAGAAAUAUGUCUAAGAUGAUUGAAAGUGCUAACAACACCCCCUCGCAGCUUAUCCAAAUAGAACACUGGUUUAAAAUUGUUUCUUAUAUAUAUUAUUUGCCAACAACAAUGUGUCAUGGUAUAGACCGUGUCUCAAAAUAUCGGUUGUGAACUUGUGAUCAUUUCAUAUUAUAUAAUAACAAGAUAAGAUUUGCAAACAUGGUGAUACACAAUCAAACACAUUUGUGUAUGCAUCUUAGACUAUUGUUUAUCGAGGACUUUCAUUCGGAGUUACCAUGCCUCAAGUGCAUCUAUAGAAGUAGAAAUUGGUAGCUGCAUGAUAUCCACCCAUUUCCGGCCGUUUCCGGUAAUAUCAGCGUGUUGCUUGUACCCGGUGCUUUUUGGGUUAAACAUUUAUUAUCGGAAACAGCCGGAAACGUGGCGGAAACGUAGUCGUAAAUAAAUCGGAAACAUGGAGCAAGACUGACUUUUGAUCUCAAAAGAAAGAAAAAAAAAGAAGAAAAAAGGGAAAGAAAAAGAACUUGGGCUUUAGAAGUGAGGGACGGUUGUGGCCCAAAAGAUAUAUGAGCUGACCCGGGGCGCCAAUUUCUGGAGGUCAAGGCGGACUCACACAAACAUCACAACGACACAACCCCUUUCCUUUCCUGCUAAGAGAGAGAGAGAGAGAGAGAGCUAAGAUCAGAUACAUUAGCCAAUGCCCACCAAAUUUGAUUCCUUUCUCUAAAAUCACUGCUGUUAGAUUCUAGGGUUUCUACUUCCCUUUCCCUCUUCUCCAAUCAGAUCUCCAGAACCCAACUUUCCGCAUUUGGCUCGCGGCUAUGUCGAAGCCCAGGGUCACCAUCACCCUCGGCCGCUCUGGUCAGGUAAGUCAAUUAGAGCUUUUUAUUCGAUCAAAGGAAGUUUUGUUUUGUUUUGUUUGCAUAGUCGUUGUGGUCGAUUUUGUAUAUUUCAAUUAUUUUUUUUGUGUUUCCGAUUAUAAUUGAGCUUGAAUUUGUUGUAAUUUAACUACUUUUUUGUGUGAUACGAGGCUGAGGUAGUUGAUAUGGUUGUGGUCGGAUUGUUGAGGUUGGAUUUUGUUAGGUUGGAUUGUGGCUGUGUUUUGUGUGUGGCGGAAAGUUUAUUUGGUUACUUAUUGUGGAAAGUUUUUUUUUAGGUUGUGGAGAGGGGAGGAACAUCAGGCUCUGCACAAAUGCGUGGCGAAAGAGGUAUGGUUUCGGGAGGGAAACGAUCGAUGGGAGACAGGCUUGGGAGUAAUGCUCAUGGCAAGCGGUACUUUGUUCCGUCUCUCUUGAGUUCUACAUGGCACUUAUCUGCUUAAGUUUGAUCAGGCAGUUUUGUGAUGCUUUAGGUUGAGAGUAGUUGUGGUUUUGCUCUAGUUUGGUUCCUAUGGUUUUAAUGGCAUGCUCACCACUCUAGUAUAGUUUAAUCCACCAUCACCGCCACUGUCGAUCUUGAAGCGUUUUCGUUUUCAAUAUGGAAAAAUUGUUAAUUUUAGCGUUACCCAAAAAGGAUUGGAUUCGGGAGUAGGGUAGUGGGUUUUGUUUCCUUAAUCAGGUGCAUAAUAUAAAAAAGGUAAAAGCAAUCUGUGUCGUCUUUUCUUUUCUUUGAACAUGUUUUAGAAGCUAAGGAGAGAAAUGUGUUUCUCCAAUUUGUAAAAUUCAUUGUUUGUCUGCAAAGGCGGCAGCAUGUUUAUUUGAUGAUGGGCUGCUGUUUGCAUUGUUAUGUUAUUUGUGUCUGUAGUGAUGUGUUGAAUCUCAAUUUCCAGGCAACGAGGAGAUGGAAUAAAAUGGAGAGGGGGUGACAAUACAUUACAUGGUAAACCAUCUUUUCUGAAUUCUGAUACUACCAACUUUAUGUAUGAUUUAUUAUUUUUUUAUAUGGUUUCCUUGUAUUGACUCUUGCUCAUUAAAACAAGUGAAGAUUCACGAAUCAGUCGAAAUGACCUCAGAUUGACACUGUUGCGCAAAAGAUCAUUAAAGCAAAAUGGGGGAGGUAUUGCAGAACACAAGCAGAUGGUCCAGCGCCCAAAGCUGUCAAAACCUGCUCAUUCUGCAGUGAGCUAUCAGAUGUCACAGCAUGAGUCAGAAACAAAUGAGAAUAGCUUCCUGAGAAAAAUUCCUCCCAGGGAAAGUGCAGCUGAUUUGUACCAUGUAAAUUCACAGAGGAACUUCAACUCUUCUCAAAGUAGAGAAGGAUUCCGAGCUAGAUCCCCUGAUAGCUUUCAGAACACUUCUUAUGGGCCUUCAUCACAAAGAAACUUUGGUGAGCUGCAGUCAGCAUCAUCAUUCAGGCCAGUUGACGCUCCUAGAGCUGGCCAGUUCCUCAGAAAUGGUAUGGUUGGUUCGUCUCAGCCAACAGACUUUAUUUUCAGAACGAAGUCUAACCCUCAAACUGCCAAGCCAGUUGGACAGCUUGUGCCAACAAAUUACAGCAUGCAAAAAGUCUCUUAUAUGGUACUACUUUCUGGCUGUUGCUCCACUUUAGCUUCCUUUCAAAUAUCACUUCGAUCACUUUAGUAAGUUGUAUAAUAUCGCUCUCUCUGCAUUGUACAGGGGGAAGAACCUCUAAGUGUUGCUAGUUUAUUGCAUAGACUUGGUUUGGGAAAAUAUGCUAUUAUUUUCCAGGCUGAAGAAGUAAGUAACCUAAUCUUAAGCUUAUUUUUCAUUCCAUAGACAGAUUUUUGGAGGUGUGCCUUUCUUUCACUGGCCUUUUGAUUUUUGAGACAGCAGAAAGAAUUUCAUGUCUUAGAAUGUAAAGUUCUGAUGAUUUCAAGAAGCAAAAUCUUAAAUUUUAAUAAUCAAUUCUUUUCUCUUUUCGUUUUGGGGUUUUGGCCUUAAUGCUUUGAUUGUCUGAUUCGCAGGUAGACAUGAGUGCUUUGAAGCAGAUGGGCGAUAAGGACCUCAAGGAGCUGGGUAUACCAAUGGUAAAUAUUUUAAUGCACCAAUUCGUUAUAUAUGUUCUGAUUUAUAUCUUUAUCCUAACUUAUCUGUAUCAUCAAGCAUGUGAUUUGAAACUUGUGUUAUGUUCUGCUAGCUCAUUUGUGUAGUGCCAUUUUUCUUGUACUUCCCAUUGGUAGUUCAUCGAACUGUUCUCACACUUAAGGUUGUUUGAUUUGCAGGGGCCAAGGAAAAAGAUUCUCCUUGCAGUUCUGGCCCGUGGUAAACGACCACCGCCACCGUAAUUUUUACUUUGAAUGCUGCACUGUGUAAACAGCAUAUCUCUUGUUUGUACCUCUCACAUGUUGUAUCAGAAAUAUUUGAGUUUAGGGGUGAGGUUUGAGUAGGGGCGUUCAGUUGAUUCAUUUCCUUCCAGGUCUUGUUGGUUUGAACAUGAUUAGUAUACCAUUUUGUUUUACAUAUAGAAGCAGGACAUGAGCAAACGUUUGUAUUUAAAUGUAAUGUUGAACAUGCUAAUCGGUCAUUUUGUAUAUUGACACGAGUUUAUAGUAGUUUGUGUGUUUGCACAUACUUGAUUCAUGGAAAUUUGAGACUUUAGCAUACUGAAGAAUUUCAAUUAGCAUAACACAAAUGCAUAAUUUGAUUGUUUACAAGCAGUAUUAUACUUUGAAUGAAAAGAACAAAAACUCAAAACGCUCCAACUGAUGGAGUACUGGGAGGAGACUUGGAACCCCUCUCACUCUUUCCACAAUCUUUCCCAUUCCUUGAAGCAAAAGCAGCCAAGAACUUCCCAUUCCAGGCUCCUUCAUUCACCGCCACGGCCACCGCCGCCCUUGCUUGCUUGUUGCAUUCAUGGUCUGCCGGAAACCGAUGCUUGAGGCAGACCUUGAGAUGGCAAGUCUUGCAAGUACUACAAUUCGAAAAGGUCAGAAUCUGCUUGCACCUCGUAACAGGACAUCUAGGCUUCUUCUUCUUUCUCGGGUCACAAUUCCCGGACUUGCUGUGCCUCUCCAGCAACACCUUCUGGCUCUCCUCGCCGUCGUGGCCAGUGGUCUCUAUGGAGGUGGAGCAUACCUCGCAAACAAUCACUUUCCGGCUGUUGUGAUCGGAUUUGGGACAAUCAUGUGACUUGUACGAGCGGUGAUCGAGGCAGAACACGUCAUGGCAGCCGGCGCAUUUGAAAGGCAGGAAAUCGAGUUGGUGGCAAUCAGGGUGCUGGCAAUGACUUCCUAAAUCUGGAAAAGCUUCUGUUCCUCCUGACAUGUUUGGUUUUCUUGUUCAACAACAAUGAGAUUUCAAUUUUGGGGCAAAACUUAACGAGGGUUGGGGGGUUGGUGAUAUAUUUAUAGAGGGUUUGGGUGGUUCUGGGGUUGGCUUGGAGGAAAAGCCAAACCCAAACCCAGGUUGAUUGGGAAGGAAGGAAGAUUCUAGUUUUCACACGUUUCUUUUCUUUCCUGGAAAGGGAUUGGAUUAUUGUUUUGUUUUUGUUUACCGCGCUUUAUAAUGAGACGUGUUUUUUUUAUGGCGUCAUCACAAACGCACACGCCCAACUGAAAAACCCAAAUCUUAUCAUGAUAAAAUUAGAAACAAGGGACAACAAAUUUGUGGCGAAACAAAAACAAACAUGCAUUUGAGGAAACCAUGUGAUCUUGAUGAAUAAGAAACUCGAGACAAAACAUGUUUAUUUCGUUGGAGUAGAGGGUUUUGAUCACAGUUUUAUAGGCCAAGGAGUUGUUCUAUAGAUCAUUUCCGGUAGUGAAUUUACGUCGCUAGGUGACUAACAAGAAUAAGAAAGUGAAAUAGAUUUUCGGAAGGGGCAUUUGGCAGACCAGAAUCAAUAGAAUCUGUAAUCAAAGAGUUGGAACACCAGAAUGGCAAGCUAAAGUAAGGACCGCCCCCCAUCCCGUAAGGGGAUGAAGCACGUCAACAAUAAUUGGGGUUUAUCAUACAGUUGGUGAGAUGGUGACCUAGCCAUGGAUGGGGAUCACAAGGGCCAUGCACUAUUAUCAGCAAACAAAAAGCUCAUAGCAAUUUGUAAAGGUAGAAUACACUUUCAUAAAGUUUUAACAGUGAGAUAUAUAACAAAGAUGAUCAAACAACCAAAAUUCUUGAUGUCUAAUACUCUAACAUAGUGCAAACAAUUAAAUUGCUUUCAUUGGGUGUUAGCUAGUGGAAGAUUAGAGCAAAUCAAAAGACAAAGAUACAAUAGUCCAUGCUUAAUUAUUGGGUGCUGCUAGCUUGUGGCAUGGCAUUCACACUCAUAUGCAAUGUCAAUUUCAUUCGGCCUUUAUCAGAUCAUACAAGAAAAGUUUAUUAACCUUGGACCCUCUCGAGCCUUCUGAAAAUAUUGAAAAAAUCCCACCCGUGAAAAAUGCAGGUAAUAUUUGGUGAAUGCAACCAAAGCAUAAUUAAUCAUUUGGGUUAUUUUACACCUAAUUUGGAGAUCAAUUAGGCCAAGGUUGUUGCCAUGGAUUCUCCCUGCCUUUCUUUCUUUGAAAGCAAAAGAAAAAAGAAUUAGAAAGAGAUACCAAAUGAUCAGAUAGAAUAUCAGAUAUUAGAUUUUAUUUUUCUCUACUCGUUUCACAGAAAAACCAAUAAUGGCUCUCUUCCUCCUACAAAAUGAGAAGCUGUGUUCAUCUGUAAAAAUGAACUCGGACUUAUAAACUAGUCCAGAAAAGCUUCAAAUUAAGGAGGAAAAGAAGGAACAGAAUCCAGUUUAAUUAUGUCAAGAAUGGACCCGUUGGCAUGGGUAUAGAGAAAAGGAAUCAAAUUACUUUGGUAAAAGAAAGGGGGAUAUUGUCCAGCCUAGAACACUGAUAUAAAGUAAAGCAAAAAUAUGAAUGGCUUCAGAAACUUAACAAUUAAGUAUGGACAAUCAUGAUGAGAGUUGUGCUGUUCUAGUUGGAGAUCUCUCUAAAGCAUGCAAAUUAGUCAGACAUACAAAUAUUCCCAUACAAAUAAAUACAAUUUUGAAGAAAAGGGAGAGAGCACCUUUCUCUUUCUCUAAACUUUGAGAAUGGUGGGAUCAAUCAAGCAGCUUGUCUGCAGAAGAGGCUAAAAGAGAAGCUUAAUCCGUGAGUUUAGUCACGGAUUAAAACACUGAAAAAGUUUACCAACACAUAAUUUAUAGCAUAAAAGUUGAGAAUAAUUGAGAUCGAUUUAGCGAUUUUAGCCUCAGCAACAAAGGUAAAAGGUGCUUCAUCUUUCGGGCUUUUUAUGUAAUGAAGUUGAUGGCUUGGAAACUGGAAUAGUAUGAACAAACUUGUUAUAUAUGCUUGGUAUUGGUAACAGAUCAUAGAACAAAACCUAAUUCUGAUAAAUCAUUCCAAGAAUAAACCUCAAGGAUAUUCUUCCUUCCAGUUCUACAUACUCUUUUAUAAAAUCAAAUACAAUUUACAUGAAAGAAAGUGCUUUGACUCCUAGCUACUAGUUUCAGGUCAUUGGGGCUAACAGAGACACAACCAAUGCAUUACUUCAAACCCAAGUAAAUUAGUAACACCAAGAUUUCUUUUUCCAUGGCAGGAAACAGUAAAGAUUCAAACUUUUUGUUUUGGUAAAUGGUAAAGAUUCAAUCUUGUGUCGACCCAAGUUAACAAAACACAGAAAGAUAAUCGUAAAAAGCAGAGAAAGCGCUUUUGGAUUCAUAUGCUUGGUGUCACAUACUCACAUUCAUAUAAAACAGUGUCCAAAUAUAGUAGACUAGUCCCACACUCCUACACUUCAAUCAAUAGAGCACUCCUGAGUUCCUGACAUGGUAAGCACAUUUCACUUUCAGACAGCAAAAACCAAAGAUGAACGGGGAGAAUUACUUCCGUAAAUACCUGAAGCUCUGGCCUUGUUAUUAUUAUAGAGCACAGGAACCUGGAAUCCCAUUCACAUCAAAACUAUUAUCCCUAAACUUUCAAACACUCUCCUUCUCCCGAGUGAUCUUAGCAACCCAAGAAUUUCAGCUUAUCCAAACCACUUCAAUGGGGCUUGAUCAUGAACCUCACUUCUUUCAUUUCAUACUGAACCAAUAAACCAAUCAUUUCCUAUAUGGAGUUCAAAGAGGGUCUGUUGAGAUUAGUUGUCCAGAAAUCCAAAGAAACCAAUACCAUUUACGUCGCCGGAGAUAGAUUAAAUGAGAUUACAACCACUGCCCGGAGUCCAAGCCGGAGAUGGAAGCUCUUCCACAGAUCCUCAUCAGCAAUCCCAUCAAAACCUAUUUCAAAGCCACAAAUCCCAACAGAGUUCAUUUGCCCCAUUUCCGGGUCGCUAAUGUCCGACCCGGUUAUAGUCUCCUCGGGUCACACCUUCGAACGCGUCUGCGUCCAACUCUGCAAAGCCCUCGACUUCACUCCUCAUCUCGUGGACUCUCCCCCACCUGAUUUCACCUCCAUCAUCCCAAACCUCGCCUUGAAAUCCACCAUCAUCAACUGGUGUCGAAAUUACUCUAUUGCCCCUCCGACGCCGCCCGAUCCCGUCUCCGCCGAGAAGCUAGUCCGCGCAUCCUGCGAUCGCCGGAAAGUGUCAGUUUCCGAUAACGAGUCGCUGAUCCGAGGCGUGGAGGAGACGCCGAAGGUGAACUUCAACCACGCCGCGACGGAGGUGACUCGCCGGAAAACUCACUUCCACUCCAGCUCCGACGAGUCUGUCAGCGCUGCCGCGUUGACCCCGCCGCUUCCGUUCUCGACUCAGCCGAGCUGCUACUCGUCGCGGUCGUCUUCCUCUUCGGAAAUCGAAACCCUAACGAAUCCGAACGAGGAAGAAGACGGAAUCUUGGCCGGACUGAGAAGCACGCACGUGUCGGAGAUCGAGGCGGCGCUGACGUCACUGAGGAGGAUCACACGGACGAGAGAAGACGCGCGGGCCCACCUCUGCAGCCCACGGCUCCUCUCCGCCUUGAAAACCAUCGUUGUUUCCAGGUACAUUAAUAUUCAGGUGAACUCAGUAGCGGCGCUGGUCAACCUUUCUCUCGAAAAGUCAAACAAGAUCAAGAUCGUACGCUCAGGAAUUCUCCCGCCUUUAAUUGAUGUGCUGAAGGGGGGAUCGGCUGAGGCGCAGGAGCACGCUUCCGGGGUGGUCUUCAGCUUGGCGCUGGAUGACGACUGCAAGACGGCUAUAGGUGUACUAGGGGCUCUCCCGCCUUUGCUUAACUUGCUCAACUCGGAGAGCGAGCGGACUCGGCACGACUCGGCGCUUGGUUUGUAUCAUUUGACAUUGGUGCAGAGCAACCGGUCCAAGUUGGUUAAGCUCGGGGCGGUUCCGGUUCUUUUGAGGAUGGUGAAGUCGGGUCAUAUGGUGGGUCGGGUUUUGCUCAUAUUGGGGAAUUUGAGUUGGUGUGGGGAUGGGCGGGCGGCGAUGUUGGAUUCGGGUGGGGUGGAGUGUUUGGUAGGGGUGUUGAGGGGGAAUGAGAUGGAUUCCCGGUCGAGUCAGGAAAGUUGUGUGGCUGCAUUGUAUGGGUUGAGUCAUGGGGGUUUGAGGUUUAAGGGGUUGGCGAAGGCGGCUGGGGCGGUGGAGGUGUUGAGGGAGGUGGAGAAGAGUGGGAGUGAGAGGGGGAGGGAGAAGGCGAGGAGGAUGUUGGAGAUGAUGAGAGGGAGGGAGAAGGAGGAAGAGGAGGAGGUGGAUUGGGAGGAGUUGCUUGAUUCCGGGUUGGGAAGUCGAACUAGGUUUCAGCUCGGUUGUGGUGGAUUGAGUGGAUCUUGUGUCAACUCGUCGGAGUUUUGAGUACAUAAUUUGAGGUUUUUUUGAGGUAAACUUUUCAACAUUGUUUGUUUUUGAUAGUUUUGCAAGCUCUCUUGUUGUAAUUAUUGAAGCUCUACACAAGUUAUUUUGUGAUUUUGUGACUUUUACCAUUGAUUUCUUCCGCUCAAAAUCUAGUAAAACUAAUAGGUUUUGGGAAGCUAUAUAACGAGUUCAAACAAGCAAAAAGCUCUACAAGUAAGUCAUGAUUAUCUUUCUCAACAAAGAAAGGAAAAACCAUGAAUAUAGAAUCCUACAGUUCCAUUACCAGAACUCGCCCUACCGCGCCACGAUGUGAAGGUUUUUGAGAGUGGGUAACAAGGGUGUCCAUAGAUGUUCUGCGUCCCAGUCUUCGCAUAUCACUUCCUCUAACUGCUCAAGAUCUGAAACUGAUUCAGGCAAUUUUCUCAAUGCAUAACAAUCAACCAUUUUCAGCUUCGUUAAACUCUUCAAUUCACCAAUAUGUUCAGGCAACUCCAUCAUUUUGCAGCAAGCGUGGAUGUCAAGAAUGUUCAACUUUUUAAGAUUUCUGAUCGACUGCGGCAGCUCUGACAACUCAAAACAGUACCUUAGACUCAGUACUUCUAAAUUGAUCAGAUUUCCAAUCGUUUCAGGCAAGGCAGAUAGAAAAUGGCAACAGUUUAAGCCGAGAUGUGUUAGACACUUGAGCUCACCCAUGUGUUCAGGCAACUUUUCAAUUACCGAACAAAAAAUCUUCAGAGAUUUUAAUUUCUUAAGAUUCCCGAUUGAGUCAGGAAGCUCUGAAAGAGGACAGGCUUCAAGCUCCAACACUUCUAAACUGACCAAAUUCCCAAUCGCUUCAGGCAAGUCUGAUAAAUCGGGACAUUUAAUGAUUUUGAGCUUUGUUAGAUGAAUCAACUCGCAGAACUCUUCAGGCCAUUCACUCAUACCGUAGGAGUCAAUGACCAUUUCCUUCAGAUUCGGAAAUACAUAUGAUAAUUUGACAGGAUCUUCACCGAGAUAGCUACCAUUCCUCAAAUAUAACUUGUGUAGAUUUUUCAUUUGUACUGGGCUCUUGGUUAUGCAACGAAUAUCGAUGCCGUCUAAUCUGACACAGGUAAGAUUUGUUAAGGAGCCCAGUAGUUGAAAAUUAUCCAAUUCAUCACAAUAUAGAGAAUAAUUUAGGACAAGAAGCAUCUUUAGUUUAUCCAUUCUCUCCACAAAUUCGGGCAAGGCAUACGUGUCGGAUUGAAAAUUCAAGACUAGGACCUCUGCCUCUGGUAAUUGCAUGUUGGGCAAUUUCACUGAGAACUCUUCAUCUGCAAACAACAUAUAUAUAAUUUGAUGUGAAUAUCACAAGUGAAAUGUAACUAUUACUACAAAGAUAUAAUUAAUUGAUGGGAAACCAUAUAUAUACCAGUUGUGAUUGAAACAAGGCGAGCAUUCAUGUAUGGAUAUUUUUGUUCUCUCCACCAUUUUGGAAAAUUGUUUCCACAUAUCUCUAUAAUCAGUCUUUCUCUAUGCUCAAUCGGAUCCCGCUUCGAGUUGUAUAUAGCAAGUUCUCUGAGCAAAUCAUGCUGCUUAACAACGUACUUACUGUAAUCUAUUGACUCCUGUGCCAAUUCCCAAUCCGCAGACCUAUAUAAUUCAUGAUUUAAAAAAAAAUACUAAUUUUUCUGUUUCUAACAUAGAGAACAGUUUUCAGAAUAAAUAGUAUUAUGCAAAUAAAUGAAAAUCUCGUACAAAUAUAUAGGAGAAACAUAUAAGCUUGUAUUUCAUCUAUUGCAUACCAUUCUGAUUCUUGUAAAAGAGCUAGACUGCGAUUGUUGAGUUCACAGAGUUUGGCAAUGCAUGACGUCUCUUUCUUUAGAUCAUACAACUCUGCCCACAUAUCAAUGAGAGCGGCAACUGGGAUUUCAACAUCUUCAGGAAAAGCACCUAGGUCUAAAAAACAUUCUUUGACCUUAGGCAUUGCAUUAUCCAAGACAUCUAUGCUGCUUUGGAGCUGAAGAAGCAGUUCCGUCUCGAAAUCAAGAAUGGAAGAACCAUCCGACCAUUCAUCUACUCUACUUCGCCACAUUUGUUCAGGUUGCCCACAAAGUGAUCUUCCAGCCACUGUAAUGGCCAGUGGAAAUCCAUUACAAUGUUUUACUAUCUGCAUCAUUUGGAGUUUCAAUAGAUAAAUUAAAAUGGAGAUACUGAUUAAUGAGAAUUUUUAGAAAGUCAAUUAAGUUUAUGUAUAUGCAAGGAAUCAACUCACCUCUUCUAAAAGAUCUUUUGGAAUAUAAGAGCUCUUGUCUCCCAAGGAUGCUGUAUGACAAAAAAGUUCCAUAGCAUUGUCACUAUCCAGUAGUUUUAGAUGAUAUGAGGAACCAAAUCUCGGAAAUUCAGACCUCGAUGUCACUAAAAUCUUGUAAUUUGACAUGCUAUACUCAAACUUCUCAAGAAGAGAUUCUGAUCCUGACCAAACAUCAUCCAAGACCAACAAUAAAGGAUCAUCACCUUUUUCCAUCUCAACUUUUUUCAGCCAUUUGACUGGAGUUGCUUCAUUCUGGAGAGUAGGUACCUCAAAACCCUUUUGUUCAUACAACCCUUUCAUAAUAAGCUCCAGGCUGGGCUUUUUAGAAAAAGUGACGAAGAAGAUGUUCUUCUGGAAUUUAUCUAAUCAAACACAGCAAGAAAAACGUUAGUCGACAUUGCUCAUGCCAAGUAAACUAUUGUGUAUAAUUUGUGUCAGACUAUCAGGUAAAUAAUAAUAAUUGUCUAUAACCGUGCAAGUGAAAACAUAUAUAGAAAACAAGAAAAAAGUACUGAUGCAUUUUUCUUAACAAAUUAAAGCCUAUAGAUUCCUGCAUUCAUGGGGUUGAACAUUAAAUAUAUAAAACAGAUGCUUCCUUAAUUGCCCUUAAUAUAUAUAUAUAUCAUCAGGCCUUCUUGACUGCGGACGUUCGCACCGAAACCUUCGGUGCAGAUUUCUACUUUUGCACCACUUUCUGAUCGAAUUUCCUUAUCUCCACCAUCUAGUAUCUAGAUAAUAUUGUGUAGAUCAUCUCUGCAAAAUUUCAGCCAAUUUGGUGAUCGUUAAAGCCCUCAAACUUGAGUUUUUCUGGUAUGAACACAACCGGACAGAAUUCAGUCCGUCCAUUUAUUUUUCGAGUUUGAGGGCCUUAACGAUUAGCAAAUUAGCUGAAAUUUUGCAGAGAUGAUCUGCACAAUAUUAUCUAGAUACUAGACGGUGGAGAUGAGAAAAUUCGAUCGAAAAGUGGUGCAAAAAUAGAAAUCCGCAUCAAAACUUUGGUGCGGACGUCCGCACCUGAGAAUUCCUAUAUAUAUCAUCAACUAUAGAGUUUCUAGAUGUAUAUAUAAUAUAUACCUAUGAUGUCUUGAUCUUGAAAAAACUUUGUUGCCAAAGUUGUCUUGCCACAUCCUCCAGGAGCAGUCACGAUGAGAAUGGAUACCUCAUCCUUAAGAAGCUGCACCUUCAAUUCUUCUAUAGGAACUUCCAAUCCGACUAUUAGCGCUGGAAGUUCAGGUAGUACUGCACUUAAAGCUUUGAUUUCUACGGAUCCAUUUUGCUUCACAAGCAUAGAAACCUCCUCCUGUAUGUUUUGAACCACGACCUGGAUAUUCUCUACGCCAACUUCAGUCUUCUUCACAUCUCUUGCUACCUGCACCUUGAGCACAUCUAACUCGUUUUGGAGUGAUUCUUUGAAUUCAAGAAACUCGCUGGCGUACUUCCACUUCUUGUAGAUGUUCCACUUACGAAGCUUAGAGCAUUUGCCGACGAGCUCUAUGCCCCGCUUUAUGAGUCUUUCUAAAGCUUCCAACUCCUUUGUGCGAUCCAAUUUUUGAUUAUAUUUCGCCAUCUCGUCAAUCAGUGGUGCUAAACAGUCGAGCCUGUAUUUGAUGUCCUUGCAGAGUUCUGAGAAUAUCCGAUUCUUGCGAAUAACCUCUUCAACACCGGCAUAGAGUGCCUCGAAUGCUUUCCCUGCCACUAAAUCCACAGCCAUUUUCAGUAGUACAGUGCUAGCUCUCUUUAACCUAGACUUGGAAGAGACAAGAAGAAAGGCACUACCCAAAACUCAAUGUGAUACGAACUGAUACUCAAAGCUCAAUUUAUACAAACUACAAGCUUAAUUAUUGGACUGACCUGGUAUAUAUGUAUGGUCUUUCUUCCUUCUUUAAACUUGUGCAUCUAUCGAGCUUCGGGGAGACUUCCAUUGCAAGGAACACAACCCACAUGGCAUCAGCUGCCAGUGACUUCCAUGCACAUGGAAUUAAUCUUAGUGAAUAUGAUAUUUCUGUCAUGAGCUAGCUAGCUCCAUCGAUCAAAUGAAUUAACUAUAUUUUUCAGACAUUGUAAACUAAUUAAGCUUUGGUUGACUAAUAAUGAUCAAUCCGCAAUAGUAGGUUAUUAGCUAUAUAUGAUUACUCUUAAUAAAAUGCAUCCCAGAUCACAUUCACACAUCAAAAAUGCAAGUUGGCUAAAGUUUAUUAGCCACAUGAUGCAUUCACCUUCAUCGUUAUAUAUUCUUUUCUGAUACAGAACACUUAUGAAUCAAAAAUCGAUGUUUAUCAUUGAUCGUUGGUCUUUCAAUUUCUAUUCUACUCUUAUUCGGUCUUUCUUUUUUAAUUACAGUAUUAAUGAUCGAACUGAUCUUGAGGAAGCAGUAUGCUACGGCUCAUUUUAGAAAUAGUGUUUCUACAUUCGAACUGAUUAAGAAGUAAAGAACUAUUGAUGGACCUCCAAAACCACAAAACAACAUAUCAUAGUUGAUGACAUGGCGGCCUCAUGUUGUUCACAAUAUCCAAUAGUUAUAAGUGAUCCAAGCAUAUCCAAGGGACAUUAAUUUAGACAGAUGAGCCAAAUUUUCUACAAUAUAGUUAAGAAAUAUUCAAAAGUAUACAGCGAAAUUAAAAAAGAAAAACAAAUUAACCCCCUAUGUUGGCACAACAACCUUCUAAAAAAAAAAACAAUGACAAGAAAAAACCCUGCGCAAAUUCUAUGGUACCUACUUGUAUAUGAUACAUACAUACAUUUACAAAUGUAACAACAUAUUUGUAGUCAAAGUGGUAAUGCUGAGUCGUAUUGUUUGUAAUCUUGUUCUAAUAAUUGUAAUUACAAAAUGUUCAACCAUUUUACAACUUUUUGAACAAAUUGUUCUCUUAGUUAUAAUUUUGUUUAACUUCAUGUAAAUAAUGUAAAUAAAUUUGGUAAAUUUGUUCUCAAUGUUGUAAUUUGAUUCAUAACAUUAUAAUUUUUUUCAAGUACAAAGUAGGAUAUACAUCCCAGUACCAUAGCUUGUCACAAAACCCUGAGUCAGCAUGUGUUAAGAGGCAAUACAGAUUCAAACGCAUAUACCAAUAGUUCAAAUUUGUCAGUUUUAUCUAUAAAUUUUUAGCUAUUAUGUUGGAGCUCAUAUUUGCCUAAAAAAAUUAACAAAUUUCAAUUUUAUUUUGAAAUAUCAUUUUCAAUCUAACAGUUAAGAAACAUUCAAAAAUAUGCAACAUAAUUGAAAAAAACAAAAAAAAACAAAAACAACAACAAAUUAACCCCCAAGUCAGCGUGUGUUAAUUGGAAAAUUCUACCUAUUCACUCCCAAUUGGAAAAUUCUACCUAUUCUCAAUAGAGUGAAGUUUCUGUUGCCUGCCUUUGAUGAGGUGUUAUGGAACUGGGUUCCUCGUGAAGCUAACCAGGUUACUGACGCAGCGGCGAAGCUUGCCAUGGUGAGGUUGUGCUCUUUGGACUGGGCUAAUACGCCUCCAACCUCCCUCCUUCAUAUUCUUAGGAGCGAUGGCCCUCCUGACUGAGACUUGUUGUUGAUUACAGCAGCUCUUGCUCUUUUAUCUGCUUUUGUCUUUCUUUGCUUUUUGUCUGUAGUGGUUUGUAGCAGUGUUUAGUUUCCCUCUUGCUCUUUCAGCUUUGUUAGCUUUCUUUUUGUUGUGUUUUGCUCGACCUUUGUGGUCUGUUCCAAUGAAGUUCUAUUCUUGACAAAAAAAAAAAAGUCAGCGUGUGUUAAAGAGAGACAAUACAGUUUCAAACGCAUUUACCAAUUGUUUAACUCUACUAACUCGAGGGGAAGUUGGGCAAAAAGGGACAAAGGAUUUGCUGCCUUCCCGCACGACGAUGCGAAGGUUUUGAGAGUGGGCAACAAGGGUGUCCAUAGAUGUGUUGCAUCCCAAUCUACACAUAUCACUUGCUCUAANNNNNNNNNNNNNNNNNNNNGCAUAACAACCAACCAUUUGCAGCUUCAUUAAACUCUUCAAUUCACCAAAAUGUUCAGGCAACUCCUCGAUCUCUAUGCAUCUAUACAUGUCAAGAAAGUUUAACUUUUGGAGAUUUCUGAUCGACUCCGGCAGCUCUGACAAGAGGGUACAAUACCUUAGACUCAAUACUUCUAGAUUCACCAAAUUUCCAAUUGAUUCAGGCAACGCAGAUAGCCUACUACAACCCUCGAUGAUGAGAUGUCUCAGACACUUAAGCAUACCCAUCUGUUCCGGCAACUUCUCUAAAUCCCGAUCGUUAUAAAUCUUAAGAAGUUUUAAUUUCCUGAGAUUCCCAAUCGAUUCAAGAAUCCCUGCAACUAAGCCGACGUCGUCUAGCGUCAACGCUUCUAAACUGACCAGAUUUGCAAUGGCUUCAGACAACUCGCAGUAUAACCGGCGUCUUCUAGUGAUUUUGAGCUUUGUUAAAUGAAUCAGCUGGCAGAAAACUCCUGUCAAUUUCCAGAAAGAGCAGCUUUCUAAAACAAUUUCCUUCAGAUUUGGAAAUAUAAUAUGUGAUAGUUUCAGAUCUCUGCUCUCAUCUCGACAUGCUCUCAAAUAUAACUUGUGUAGAUUCUUCAACUGUACUGGGCUCUUGGUUAUGCUAGAAAGAUUGAUGCCGUCUAAUCUGAGACUCCUGAGAUUUGAUAAGGAGCCCAGUAGUUGAAAAUUCUCCAAUUUUGCCCAGCUGGUAUAAUUUAUGACAAGCAGCAUCUUUAGUUUAUGCAUUCUCUCCACAAAUUCGGGUAUGGCAUAGGACGUUUCUGAUUGAGAAUUCAAGACUAGAACCUCUGCCUUUGGUAAUUCCAUGUCGGGCAGUUUCACUGAGAACUCUCCAUCUGCAAACAACAUAUAAUUUGAUUUGAAUAUCGAAAGUGAAUGUAAUACAUUUGCAGAAAUAAUGGAAAACCAUAUAUAUGUAUAUACCAGUUGAGAUAGAUACAAGGCGAGCAUUUAUGUAUGGAUAUUUUUGUUCUCUCCACCAUUUGGGAACAUUGUUUCCACAUAUCUCUAUGAUCAGUCUUUCUCUAUGCUCCAUCGGAUCACGUUUUGAGUUGUAGAUAGCCAGUUCUCUGAGCAAAUCAUGCUGCCUAACAACGUAUCUAUUAUAUUCUAUUGCCUCCUGUACAACUUCCAACCGCAUAUCCCUAUAUAUAUGGUCCAUGAUUAAAAAGAAAAAGAGUGCUACAUUUAGUUUCUCUUAUGUAAAUAACACUUUUCAGAAUCAAUUUGUAACUAAAAGAAAAGUUUCGUACAUAUACGAGAGACAUAUAAGCUUGUUGCAUACCCUUGUAGAAGAGCUAGACUGCGAUUGUUGAGUUCAUAGAGUUCGGCAAUGCAUGACAUCUCUUCAUCUAGAUCAUACAACUCCGCCCACAUAUCAAUGAGAGCUGUAACUUGGAUUUCAGAAUCUUCUGGAAACGCACCUAGGUCUAACAAACAAUCCUUGACCUUAGGCGUUGCAUUAUCCAAGGCAUCAAAGCUGCUUUGGAGGCAUUGAAACAAUUCCAUCUCACAGUCGAGUACUGAAGCACCUUUUGACCAUUCAUUUACCCUACUUCGCCACGUUUGUAUAGGUUGACUGCAAAGUGAUCUUCCUACCACUGUAAUAGCCAGUGGAAAUCCAUUACAGUGUUUUACUAUCUGCAUAAUUGGAGGUUGAACAAGAUAAAAAAUGGUGAGAUACGUACUUGUAACUAUUGUAUAUGCAAGAAAUUAAUCACUCAAUCAUCGAUCCCACCUUUUUUGCAAGUUCGUUUGGGAUAUGAGAGCUCUUGUCUCCUAAGAAUGCUGUGUGAUGAAAAAGUUGCAUUGCAUUAUCAUCAUCUAAUAGUUGGAGAUGAUAUGAAGGGCCAAAUCUCGGAAACUCAGACCUUGAUGUCACUAAAAUCUUGUAAUUUGACAUCGUAAAUUCAAAUUUCUGAAUAAGAGAUUCUGAUCCGGACCAAACGUCAUCCAACACCAACAAUAAAGGAAUAUCACCUUCUUUCUCCACAAUUUGUUGUAGCCAUUUCACUGGAAAUACUCCAUUCUGGAAAGUAGGUACCUUAUAAUCCUUUUGUUUGUAUAGCUCUGUCAUAAUAAGCUCCAGCUUAGGCUUUUUAGAAACAGUGGCGAAGAAGAUGUUGUCCUUGAACUUAUCUAAUCAAAUUCAGUAAAAACACAUUAGUUUGUCAUCGAUCUCCUUUAUUUUACAUAUAUAAGUAAUUAAUAGUUAUCUAUAACUGCACGAGAAAAAUGUACAGAAUGUUGAUCUAGAAAGGACUUGUUUGGCAUAGAAAGUAACAAUAUGAUCAGUAAUACCUUUGACGUCUUGAUCUUGACAGAACUUUGUUGCCAGAGUAGUUUUCCCACAUCCUCCUGGAGCAGUCAAUACAAGCAGUGAUACUUCAUCCUUAAAAAACUCCGUCUUCAAUUCCUUCAGUGGAAUAUCCAAUCCAACUAUAAGUGACGGUAGUUCAGGUAGUGCACAACCUGCUUCAAUUCCUGCAGAUUUGUUUUGAUUCGCAAUAUCUAAGAGCUCAUGCAGCAUGCCAUUGCUCUCGUCUGUAACAACUGCUACACGCACAUUCAGUAAACUCAGCUGCUUCUCAAGAGCUUCAUUCAGCUUGAGAAGCUUGUUGGUGUACUUGUACUUCUUAUAGAAGUUCCAAAUACGAAUCUUAGAGCAGCAGUUGGAGACGACAACUGCACCUUCCUCCAUUAAUACUCGUAAAUCUCUUAGGACUGGAUCCUCUGGACCAUCCGGUCGCUGAUGAUUACGUUGUACCAUCUUUUGGAUCAUCGGUCUCAAAGCAUCUAGCUUGGCCUUGAUGUCGGUGGAGAGAGCUUCAAAGAGUAGAUUAUUGGCAAUCAACGUUUCGACACCACCAUACAGUAACUCGAGUGCUUUCCCUACAAGAAAAUCCCCCACAACCGCCAUGAUAUAUACAAUGUGAGCUAGGCAGCUAGCUAGCUCUUUCGAUCUAUAUACUUCAAAUAUUAGAAGAAAAAAUUGGCCAAAAGAAAGAAAGAACCAAAGUAAGAAGACUAGAGAGGAAAGCAAUCAAAGAGUUUUCCCUUGCUUGAUUUGCUUGUGAUUUUAUAUAGGCAUCCUGGCGAGAUCAAGAAGAUUAGGUUAGGUUUAAGGGCUAAUAUUAUUGGCUUUGUCUUAUGGACUGACCCAAGUAUAUAUGCUCUUUCUUUAAACUUGCGCACAUAUCAAGCUUACUGCAUUUUCGGGAGACUUUGAUGGCAAGGGAACAUAACCCUCAUGGCAUCAGCACUAGACUUCCCUGCACAGGACAUGAAAAUUAAUCUCUGUUAAUUGUAUGAUAUAGCUGUCAUGAAUGUAAACUAAUUUAUCAGAUUAGUUAACUAUAUUUAUCAGACAUUGUAAAACUAAUUAAGCUUUAGUUGACUUAUAAUGAUCGAGCCACAUUAUCAGGUUAUCAGCUAUGAUUAGAUUAAGUAAUCCAUUCCAAGUCACAUUCAUACAUGGCUAAUGUUUAUUAGCGACAUGAUGCACACACCUUGAUUGAUAUAUAUAUUUUAUGACACAGGAUUGAUAUAUAUUUUAUGACACAGGAGACUUCAGAAUCAAUAAUGGAUGUUUAUCGUCCGUGGUCUUUCACUUUUAUUUUAUUUUAUUAUACUCUUUGGUCUUAAUUUCUCCGAGUUUUGAAUACAUAAUUUGAUGUUUUUUAGGUAAGUUCUCCAGCAUUAUUGGAGUUUUGAUGAGUACAUAAUUUGAGGUUUUCUUGAGGACGAUCUUUCAACAUAGUUUGUUAUUGAUAGUUUUGCAAUUGUUGUCAUUAUUGAAGUUCAUGAAAGUCAUUAAGUGACUUUGAACUGGUAAUUUUUUUUCACCCAAAUGCCAACAAAACUUUGCCAGUUUGAGCAAAAGAAUGAACUCAAAAAAUGAGAAAACCUCUAUGAUAAUUAGAUGUUCAAUAUUCUAAACUUAAUGAUUUUCAUUCACUGCCAUUAAUUAGCUGUUUUUUGAUUCCACAAACAUACUCUUGUGAAAGCAGCCCUAAAUUAAUCAAUUGCUCAAAUCAGUUGCAUAAAAUAGCCAUGAAUACAGAAAUGAACACUUGGCCAUUAACGGAAAUUGCCCUUCCACACCACAAUGCUAAGGUUUUUGAGAGUCGGUAAACAAGGGUGUCCAUAGAUCUCUUGCAUGCCAAUCGUCGCAUAUCACUUCCUCUAAUUGCUCUAGAUCUCUGAAACUUACUGAGGCAGUUUUUUCACCUCCUUGCAACAACUCAUUUUCAGCUAUAGCUAUUCAAGUCCCCCUCUCUUGAUGUUUCUCUAUUUCUUUUUUAAUGCAUAAGAGUGUUAGGGGGUCACUCAUCUUUCAACCAAAAAAAAAACCCUUCAAGUCGCCAAUUUGUUCACCCAACUUGAUUUUGCUGCAGUUAUGGAUAUCAAGAUACUUUAACCUUUUGAGACUCCUAAUCGACUCGGGAAACUCCAACAACCCUCUACAAUACCUUAGACGCAAUACUCUUUAAGCUGUACACAAUUCUCAAUGGCUUUAGGCAAGAAAGAUAUCAAACCGCACCCCAUGAUGCGCUGAUAUUUGUUAAAUACUUAAGCUCACCUAUGUGCUUACGUAUCUUGCCUUAGAGCAACCACAAAUCUAACUAUGCUACUAGAUCAAAUGGUACGGGUAAAAUAAUAAUAAUUUGUUGAGAUUUCCCAUUGAGUCGUUAUUCCAUAAAAAUGUCAUGAAUAUCUUUCUUUUUUCAAAACAAAAAAAACCACGAAGCGUACAGUUGGACGUUAACUGGAAUCGAGCGUCCACACCACGAAGCGAAGGUUCUUGAGAGAGGGUAACAAGGGUGUCCAUAGAUGUGUCACAGCCCAUUUUUCGCAUCUCAGUUCCUCUAACUGCUCAAGAUCUGAAACUGAAUGAGGCAAUUUUCUCAACGCUCUACAAUUAAACAUUCGCAGGUUGCUUAAUCUCUUCAAUUCACCGAUAUGUUCAGGUAACUCCUUGAGGUUGACGCACAUAUCGAUGUCAAGAAUGUUUAACUUUUGGAGAUUUCUAAUCGACUCCGGCAACUCUGACAAGCGGGUGCAUUCGCUUAGGCUCAAUACUUCUAAAUUGACCAAAUUUCCAAUCGAUUCAGGCCAGGCAGACAGCCAACACUUAUUGACGAUGAGAUGUGUCAGACACUUGAGCUGAUCCAUGUGUUCAGGCAAUUUCUUUAACCUGUAAUUCAAAGAAAUCUUAAGAAAUUUUAGUUUCUUGAGAUUCCCAAUUGAGUCUGGAACCUUUGAAAUCUGUAAACAGCCCUCAAGCUUCAACACUUCUAAACUGAUCAGAUUUUCAAUCGCUUCAGGUGAACCAAAGAAGCAGCGGCAAUUAGUGAUUUUGAGCUUUGUUAGAUGAAUCAGCUCGUAGAACACUUCAGGCAAUUCCCAAAUUUCGCAGGAAUCAAUGACCAUCUCCUUCAGAUUUGGAAAUACAUGUGGUAUUUUGAGAUCAUUGCCAUCAAAAUAUGUACAUUUCCUCAAGCAUAACUUGUGUAGAUUCUUCAAUUCUGCUGGGCUCUUGCCUCUUGGUUAUGUAAGAAAAUUCGACGCCGUCUAAUUUGAGACUCCUAAGAUUUGAUAAGGAGCCCAGUAGUUGAAAAUUAUCCAACUCUGGCAACUCAUCACAAAUUAAUGCUAGCAUAAUUUAUGACAUGCAGCGUCUUGAGUUUAUCCAUUCUCUCCAUAAAUUCGGGCAAGGCAUAUGACCUGCUUGAUAGAAAAUUUAAGAUCAGAACCUCAUCUUUUUUUGGAAAUUGCAUGUUUGGCAAUUUCACUGAGAAUUCUCCAUCUGCAAACAACGUAUAAUUUGAUGUGAAUAUCAAAGUGGAAAAAAUUAAUUACUACAGUGUUAUAUAUAUAUAUGACCGUUCUGAAGCGCACGUGCGUACUUUAAAGUGCGCACGUCACUUCGUUCGCCACCGUCCGGCGCAGACGACGGCGUGCCUCCACCCCAGAAGACUCCAGCAGCGUCCCCGAUCACUUUCUCUCCCCGAUGAGUCCGUUCUUUUCCAGUUUUUAGGCGAGAUCACCCAAGAUUGACUUUAUUUGAAGUUUUAGGUGAUCUCACUGGAAAACUGGAAAAGAACAGACUCGCCGGGGAGGAAAAGUGGUCGGGAACAUUACUGGAGUCUUCUAGGGUGGAGGUACGCUGUCGUCGGCGCCGGACUGUGGCGAACGGAGGGACGUGCGCAAUUUAAGAAAAGUGUGCACGUACGCUUCAGAACGUUUCUGUAUAUAUAUAUACACACACACACACACACAAUCGUUAUCAGGUGCGGACGUCCGCACGGCUCUUAAAGUGCCGGCGUUCCUCUUUUCGCCACCGUACGGNACCCGGUGAGGGCGCACCUCCACCCCAGCGGACUCUAGCAGUUUUCCCGACCACGUUCUAUCCCCUGCGAGUCCGCCGAAUUCCAGUUUUCUGACCAGAUUGACUUUGUUUGAAGUUUUGGGUGAUCUGGCCGGAAAACUAAAAUUCGGCGGACUUGCUGGGAAGGGAAAGUGGUCGGGGACGCUGCUGGAGUCCGCUAGGGUGGAGGCGCGCCUUUGCCGGCGCCGUACGGUGGCGAACGGAGGGACGUCCUCACUUUAAGGCGGUGCGGUCGUCUGUAUCUGAAACGAACUAUAUAUAUAUAUAUAUAUAUAUAUUACAUAGAUGAUCCUAUGAAGUAGUCAUAGCAACAAGAUCACAGAGUAUAUAUGUAGCUAGCUAAUUUGCAGAGAGGCUUGUUUCAAUGUCGUUUCCCUUUCUCUCCUAUUUGGUUUGCGCAUUGAUAACAACCGAAACCGGGCGUUUCAAUUAAAAACCCUUUUGUGUCAAUUGUAGUAUAUAGCAAAUAAGGGUAUUUGUGAAACCCCAAACUUAAAAUAUAUAUAUAUAUAUAUAUAAAUUAUUUUUGGAUUGCUGCUUUGUUUUAUUUGAAAUGCUGAUUCACCUACUUGCUAGAUAACUUAUGCCUAACACAUGACUACAUGCAGCCAAUCACAAGUGAAAGUCUGAAAACCUCAAUCAAACUUGUGGAUUGCAAAUACCUGAUGUGUGAGCAGCUUAAACUUGGGCAUCAAGUUUAAAAACAACUGCUGGCACUUGAAGAUAAACUUCAAGUGUUUUUACAUUAAUAGGUGGCAGCAAAUUAAGAGUUAGAAGGAUAAGUGUCCAACUAAGAUAGACUAGGGAAGCUACAUGUGGCUGAUUACUUCUCCUAGUAUAAAUAGAGGUAUUCACCUGAGGAAAUAAAAAAAAGUAGAGUUCAGAAAACAUAAAGAAAAGUUAGAAGAAGAAAGAAACUAAUGGAGUUCUGAAGCAAAGUACAAGUAUCUAAUAGUGAAAUUUCAGUUUGGUAAAACAGGUUUGAGGUAAGGGAAGUUAUGAGGAAUCUCUUUGUUCUAUAAUCUUGUUAUCUUGUUUUGGAAUUGUACAUGUUGUUUGUUAAAAAUGGUUAUUAUGUUUAGCUUUUUAUCAUAUUAUUACAUGAUCUUAUGUCAACAACAUAUUACUAUUUGAUCUUAUGUUGAAUAAGAAAUAAAUGAAGUUAUGAGGUUGAGGCUAUUACUUGAAAGGGACCAACAAUUGUCUGCCUUUGUAUACUUAUAGGGAGAGAAGCCCUUUCAAUGUUAUAUUGAUAAAAUGAUCUCAUGACAAGAAGACACUGGUGACCAAGGAUAGUACAAGAGUACCAAUUUGAAAACUUAACUUAUAUAUGUGCAUACAUUAUUUGUUUAUUGAAAUGACAUGAGAUUUGCUUUACUGAGUUUAUAGCUCACGCCUUUAUGAAUUUGUGCAAAUGUUACUCUUUGAGGGAUAAAAACUUAAUAUCUAGAAGGGAUGAAGUCUAGGAGAAGUAAACUAUGGCUUGCUGUUUUUAAAUUUCUAUUUGUGUAAUAAGGCUUAGUUUAUAAGCUUUCUUUCAUGUUUGUUGUAAGAACAAUAUUUAUGAAAUAAAGUUUUACUCCUUCAUUAAGUUACCUCUGAUUCAAGGUUUCUCAUCUAACUUUUACUUGUCCAAGGUUUUCUUAUCCUUGACAAGUUGAAGUUAUUCACAUCCUUAUUUGGAAAAGAACCUUAUUUUUAAAAAAAAAAUUCCAAGUUGGGGUGUGACAGUAUCGUAAUAAAAGCUGGGGAUUGAGGGUACCUUUACAAUUUACGUUAAUUACAAAACAAGAGAAAACAAAAGAUGAUAGUACUAGAGAUAUGAGGUUUUGUGAUUAUAAACCAGAGAAAAUAAAGAAACAAAAUAAAACAGAAAAUAUCAGAUGAUGAGACGUUAGAGACUUGGAAAUCCACCACUAAGUAUGUUUCAAGACAUGUUAACAACCAAAGCUUCAAUCAUUAAGUCACAAAUUGGUAUCGAUUAAGAACAAACCGUGAACGCACUGCGUAAGUCUUUAUUACUUCUCUUAAUUACUUAAGCAAGAUGAAUGCACCAUUACCAAGCUUUUAGAAUAACCAAUCAAGGUAUAGACGAUAACCUAUCAACAAAUUAUUCUAAGCAUUAAGAUCUAUAUAUAUAUAUAUAUAUAUAUAUAUAUAUAUAUAUAUAUAUAUAUAUAUAUAUAUAGAUGAUCCUGUGAAAUAGUCAUAGCAACAAGAUCACAGAGUAUAUAUGUAGCUAGCUAAUUUGCAGAGAGGCUUGUUCUAAUGUCGUUUCUCUUUCUCUCCUAUUUGGUUUGCGCAUUGAUAGCGACCAAAACCAAGCAUUUCAAUUAAAAAUCAUUUUGUGUCAAUUGUAGUAUAUAGCAAAUAAGGGUAUCGUUAUAAAAGCUGGGGAUUGAGAAUACCUUUACAAUUUACGUUAAUUACAAAAGAGAAAACAAAAAAUGAUAGUACUAGAGAUAUGAGGUUUUGUGAUUAUAAACCAAAGAAAAUAAAGAAACAAAAUAAAGCAGAAAAUAUUAGAUGAUGAGACGUUAGAGACUUGGAAAUCCACCACCAAGUAUGUUUCAAGACAUGUUAACAACCAAAGCUUCAAUCAUUAAGUCACAAAUUGGUAUCAAUUAAGAACAAACCGUGAACGCACUGCGUAAGUCUUUAUUACUUCUCUUAAUUACUUAAGCAAAAUGAAUGCACCAUUACCAAGUUUUUAGAAUAACCAAUCAAGGUAUAGACACUAUCCUAUCAACAAAUUAUUCUAAGCAUUAAGAUCAAUGAAAGUUUGAUUGAACAAGUAUGCAACACUAGUGUGGAACGCCUACCUAACAUGCAAUCCUUUUUAUUUGGUUUCACCUAUGGUCCUAUAGGUUUUACUACUUUGAAACAAGUCUUUUAACCGUUUAGGAGAUUAAUCAACCUAUUUCUAGCCCCACUCACAAGUUCAUAAUGUUCUAUGUUGCGCAUACAUGAAUAUAAAAAAGCAAGAGUUUCCCAUAAACCAAAACCAAAUAAAUAAUUUGAAAGACUCAAUAAUUCGAAAUCAAGGUUCAAAACAAUAUCUAAAACAUUCUUGGGGCUUCAAACCUUGCCCCUAAUUAAGAGAAAUCAGCCACACAUGGCUGCAAAAUCACACAAGGAGAAUAAAAGAUAACAAAGGAAACGUAAACCGUGGAUGAUGGAGAAAUCAAUGAUGGUUUGACGGCUUCCUUGUGCGAGUCCGCAACUAUGGAGGUUCUGAUGAUGUGAGAUCGCUGGCCUCCUUUAAUCUUCAUGUCCUCCUCUUCUUUUCUGCUGUAAUUAGGAUUAUGAAACCCUCAAAACUCGUCCAUGGGCUUGCCAAUAUGGUCUAGGCCUCAAAAUAGAAGUUUUGGUCCAGAUCAGAAAUUCAGGCAGACUGACCUUUGACCACUCAAAUGGUCAUAACUUCUUCUCCAAAAUUGGUAUUGAUGAUCCGUAAAAGGUUCUAGAAAGUAGACUCUUGUAGCUUUCCAUUGAUAUAUAGCACAUCUCCUGGAUCAUCGUGAGAUGAUCACAAUCUUCUGUCGAAGUUGACUGACUAUUUCUGACAGAUUUUCUGAUUUCUUUCCUUGCACAACAAUUGAUUCAUUUUCCUUUAAGAUUUCUCCUCUUUUGUCUCUUUUGGGCUCCUCGGCUUUAUUUAAGACCUAAAACACAAACUUAGUUAAUAUGAAUAUUGUUAAAGGAAUUACAUAACUAAAUAGGGUCGGAAAUACAUUAUAAACGUAUCACUUUGUGCUCCUAUCACGCAUCCAAAUUUCUUGGUGCUCAAAGAACCUUGUUCAUUAUGGCUUAGAGGGACAUAUAACAAUAUAAGCUUGUUGCAUACCCUUGUAGAAGAGCUAGACUGCGAUUGUUGAGUUCAUAGAGUUUGGCAAUGCAUGACAUCUCUUCAUCUAGAUCAUACAACUCCGCCCACAUAUCAAUGAGACCUGUAACUUGAAUUUCAGCAUCUUCUGGAAACGCACCUAGGUCUAACAAACAAUCCUUGACCUUAGGCGUUGCAUUAUCCAAGGCAUCGAAGCUGCUUUGGAGGCAUUGAAACAAAUCCAUCUCACAGUCGAGUACAGAAGCACCUUUUGACCAUUCAAUAUCCCUACUUCGCCACGCUUCUAUAGGUUGCCCGCAAAGUGAUCUUCCUACCACUGUAAUAGCCAGUGGAAAUCCAUUACAGUGUUUUACUAUCUGCAUAAUUGGAAUUUGAACAAGAUAAAAAAUGGUGAGAUACUUGUAACUAUUUUUCUUUGCAUAAAUCGAUCAAUGGGAUUUCUAUAGUAAGUCAAGUAUCUUAAAUAUAUGCAAGAAAUGAAUCACUCAAUCAUCUCACCUUUUUUGCAAUAUCUUUUGGGAUAUGAGAGCUCUUGUCUCCUAAUAAUGCUGUGUGAUGAAAAAGUUGCAUUGCAUUGCCAUCAUCUAAUAGUUGCAGAUGAUAUGAAGGGCCAAAUCUCAGAAACUCAGACAUUGAUGUCACUAAAAUCUUGUAAUUUGACAUCUUAAAUUCAAAUUUCUGAAGAAGAGAUUCUGAUCCGGACCAAACAUCAUCCAAGACCAACAAUAAAGGAUUAUCACCUUCUUUCUCCACAAUUUUUUGUAGCCAUUUCACUGGAAAUACUCCAUUCUGGAAAGUAGUGUUUUACUACAUCCAAACCAUUUUUUGUAGUGUUUUAUAUAUUUCUUUUUCAUGCUUGCUGUUUUUGGAGAAGGAAAAUAUUCGUUUAGAGUUUGAGAUGAUAGAUCUUAUAUGAUUUGAACAGUCUGAGAGAACAUUGAUAUAAUGCAUGAUAAGGAGUAAUAUUACUAUCUCUAUGAACAUUAUUGGUAGUUCAGUAGAUACAAACAAGUGUUUAGGCGCACCACCAACCUCAACUCUGAAUAUUAAUCAGCAAAUCAACAAAACAGGAAUGCUAUAGACAACUCAGCCGACCUUCUAUUCAAAUCCAAGAGCUGACCCCCCUAUGAAAGCAUGCCAAUUCUUAGCUUGUGUGCAAUCCUUUACCAAUCUGUUGCUGUGAAGUUGUGCACCUAUAAGCAUUUAUGAAUAUCAUAGUUUAGAGAUUAUCUAGCUUUGGACAAUUCAAAGUCGGAUUACUCGCAAUUAAGCUAAACACUUGAUAUAAAUUUAUACCUAGUAUAUCAUAUAUAAACUUUGUCGAACAUAAUCUGUAUAGAUUGAGACAUGUAUAUAUGAACUCCACAUUCAUAAAGAUAAAUAGUUGGUUGAAGCUAAUCUAUGAUCUUACAUCAAUACUAACUUACAUACAUCACAAACACCGAUUUAAUUUUUAAAUAAUGCAUGGCAAGUCAUUCUCAAAAUUAUUUUCCUCUCAAACAGUAUGGGGUUUCUCUGCAGUUUGAUUUAUAAUCCAAUCCCUCAAUCAGUAUGUCCUACCCAUCUAAUCAAUAAGACAAAUUAUAGGAUUUUUUUUUUGAAAUACAAAAUCUUUUCAAUGGAAGAAUUUUCUGUACAAACAAUGGAAGUCUAUAAAUACACAAACCUAAAAUAUAAAAACCUGUUGAAUUCAAUUCCAGAAUUCCCAAACAAGACAAACCUAACUAACCGCUGAAUGAAAUACAAACACAAAAAGUUCUAAUCAGAAUUAGAAGCAGCAGCCGUGCAUAAAAGAAUCAAAGGAGAACCCUGUCACAAGACAAAGCAUCAAAUUCACAUAACAAAUAAGAUACAAGCUCCAACCAUCAUCAUCAUCAAUAAAUCCCAAACGAGAACAGCAACAAAGAGCAAAAUCAGAAUGAGGGAAAGUACCUUUGUUAUCAGAAAACAAAGGAACGUUAAGAUUGUGGUUGUCAAGGCCAGUUCAUCUUCGAUGCUGUUGACGUUUCAUCUUUAGUACCAGAGAUGCAGAAUGCUUGAAAAUCUCUUGUGUAGGGGUCAGAUUUCUCAAGGGGUUUGGUAUUUAUACCAAGCACUAAAGAAUCCUACAAAGUCGAUGAAAUAAUAGAAUGCUUCAAAAAAAAUCCUAUAGACUCUUAAUUGAAUACCUAUGCCAAAGAGUGGCGGGGUUGAAUUUGAGGGACUUGUUAUGGUGUAGGAAACCGGAGGAGCAAUAGAAUUGGCCGACCCAUGAAUUGGGCACCACCGCCAUGGCUUCCAAGCCUCACCAUCUUGAGCCCCUGCCGCUCCACCUCCAAGCACAGCCUCUCCUUCAUGUCCUGAUUUUUAACUUGUUUACGGAUUCAAAAUGAGGUCUCAGCCACAAGGAAGACGAGAGAGAGGAAGAUGAGAUCAUGAUUCAUGAGAGAGAGAGAGAGAGAGAGAGAGAGAGAAGAAGAAGAAAAGAAGAGAAAAGACUAAAACAAGGACCGGCCGACUUAACAUCGCGUUGUUUGCACGUGCUCUUUAGCAUCCGGGUGCGCCGCGCACCCGGGGUUUUCUGAAGAGUCUCUCAAACGCAAUUAGAAAUUUUUCAACCAUAUCAACUGGAGGGGAAGUUGGGCAACAAGGGACAAAGGAUUUGCUGCCCUCCCGCACGACGAUGCGAAGGUUUUUGAGAGUGGGCAACAAGGGUGUCCAUAGAUGUGUUGCAUCCCAAUCUACACAUAUCACUUGCUCUAACUGCUCAAGAUCUGAAACUGAUUCAGGCAGUUUUCUCAAUGCAUAACAACCAACCAUUUGCAGCUUCAUUAAACUCUUCAAUUCACCAAAAUGUUCAGGCAACUCCUCGAUCUCUAUGCAUCUAUACAUGUCAAGAAAGUUUAACUUUUGGAGAUUUCUGAUCGACUCCGGCAGCUCUGACAAGUGGGUACAAUACCUUAGACUCAAUACUUCUAGAUUCACCAAAUUUCCAAUUGAUUCAGGCAACGCAGAUAGCCUACUACAACCCUCGAUGAUGAGAUGUCUCAGACACUUAAGCAUACCCAUCUGUUCCGGCAACUUCUCUAAAUCCCGAUCGUUAUUAAUCUUAAGAAGUUUUAAUUUCCUGAGAUUCCCAAUCGAUUCAGGAAUCCCUGCAACUAAGCCGACGUCUAGCGUCAACGCUUCUAAAUUGACCAGAUUUGCAAUGGCUUCAGACAAGUUUGAUAACCGGAAUCUACUAGUGAUUUUGAGCUUUGUUAAAUGAAUCAGCUCGCAGAGAACUCCUGUGAAUUCCAGGAGAAGGCAGCUUUCGAAAACAAUUUCCUUCAGAUUUGGAAAUAUAAUAUGUGAUAAUUUCAGAUCUCUGCUAUUAUAUCCACAUGCUCUCAAAUACAACUUGUGUAGAUUCUUCAACUGUACUGGGCUCUUGGUUAAGCAAGAAAGAUCGAUGCCGUCUAAUCUGAGAGUCCUGAGAUUUGAUAAGGAGCCCAGUAGUUGAAAAUUAUCCAAUUUUGCCCUUCUGGUAUAAUUUAUGACAAGCAGCAUCCUUAGUUUAUGCAUUCUCUCCACAAAUUCCGGUAAGGCAUAGGACCUUUCUGAUUGAGAAUUCAAGACUAGAACCUCUGCCUUUGGUAAUUCCAUGUCGGGCAGUUUCACUGAGAACUCUCCAUCUGCAAACAACAUAUAAUUUGAUUUGAAUAUCGAAAGUGAAUGUAAUACAUUUGCAGAAAUAAUGGAAAACCAUAUAUAUGUAUAUACCAGUUGAGAUAGAUACAAGGCGAGCAUUUAUGUAUGGAUAUUUUUGUUCUCUCCACCAUUUGGGAACAUUGUUUCCACAUAUCUCUAUGAUCAGUCUUUCUCUAUGCUCCAUCGGAUCACGUUUUGAGUUGUAGAUAGCCAGUUCUCUGAGCAAAUCAUGCUGCCUAACAACGUAUCUAUUGUAUUCUAUUGCCUCCUGUACAACUUCCAACCGCAUAUCCCUAUAUGGGUCCAUGAUUAAAAAGAAAAAUAGUGCUACAUUUAGUUUCUCUUAUGUAAAUAAGACUUCUCAGAAUCAAUUUGUAACUAAAAGAAAAUUUUCGUACAUAUAGGAGAGACAUAUAACAAUAUAUAUAAGCUUGUUGCAUACCCUUGUAGAAGAGCUAGACUGCGAUUGUUGAGUUCAUAGAGUUUGGCAAUGCAUGACAUCUCUUCAUCUAGAUCAUACAACUCCGCCCACAUAUCAAUGAGAGCUGUAACUUGAAUUUCAGAAUCUUCGGGAAACGCACCUAGGUCUAACAAACAAUCCUUGACCUUAGGCGUUGCAUUAUCCAAGGCAUCGAAGCUGCUUUGGAGGCAUUGAAACAAUUCCAUCUCACAGUCGAGUACUGAAGCACCUUUUGACCAUUCAUUUACCCUACUUCGCCACGUUUGUAUAGGUUGACUGCAAAGUGAUCUUCCUACCACUGUAAUAGCCAGUGGAAAUCCAUUACAGUGUUUUACUAUCUGCAUAAUUGGAGUUUGAACAAGAUAAAAAAUGGUGAGAUACUUACUUGUAACUAUUGUAUAUGCAAGAAAUGAAUCACUCAAUCAUCGAUCUCACCUUUUUUGCAAGAUCGUUUGGGAUAUGAGAGCUCUUGUCUCCUAAGAAUGCUGUGUGAUGAAAAAGUUGCAUUGCAUUAUCAUCAUCUAAUAGUUGCAGGUGAUAUGAAGGGCCAAAUCUCGGAAACUCAGACCUUGAUGUCACUAAAAUCUUGUAAUUUGACAUCUUAAAUUCAAAUUUCUGAAGAAUAGAUUCUGAUCCAGACCAAACAUCAUCCAAGACCAAUAACAAAGGAUUAUCACCUUCAUCCUUCACAAUUUGUUGUAGCCACUUCACUGGAAAUACUCCAUUCUGGAAAGUAGGUACCUUAUAAUCCUUUUGUUUGUAUAGCUCUGUCAUGAUAAGCUCCAACUUAGGCUUUUUAGAAACAGUGACGAAGAAGAUGUUGUCCUUGAACUUAUCUAAACAAAUUCAGUAAAAACACAUUAGUUUGUCAUUGAACUUAUGUAAUCGAUCUCCUUUAUUUUACAUAUAUAAGUAAUUAAUAGUCGUCUAUAACUGCACGAGAAAAUGUACAUGGAAAUGUAUGAAGCGAUUAAGACUAAUAAUAAAUAGUAAAUACUAUCAAAAAGAAUGUUGAUCUAGAAAGGAUUUGUUUGGCAUAGUAAGUAACAAUAUGAUCAGUAAUACCUUUGACGUCUUGAUCUUGACAGAACUUUGUUGCCAGAGUAGUUUUCCCACAUCCUCCUGGAGCAGUCAAUACAAGCAGUGAUACUUCAUCCUUAAAAAACUCCAUCUUCAAUUCCUUCAGUGGAAUAUCCAAUCCAACUAUAAGUGACGGUAGUUCAGGUAGUGCACAACCUGCUUCAAUUGCUGCAGAUUUGUUUUGAUUCGCAAUAUCUAAGAGCUCAUGUAGUAUACCAUUGUUCUCGUCUGUGACAACUGCUACACGCACAUUCAGUAAACUUAACUGCUUCUCAAGAGCUUCAUUCAACUUGAGAAGUUUGUUGGUGUACUUGUACUUCUUAUAGAAGUUCCAAAUACGAAUCUUAGAGAAGCACUUACAGACGACCACUGCUCCUUCCUCCAUUAAUACUCGUAAAUCUCUUAAAACUGGAUCCUCAGGACAAUCCGGUUGGUGAUUACGUUGUACCAUCUUCUGGAUCAUCGGUCUCAAAGCGUCUAGCUUGGCCUUGAUGUCGGUGGAGAGUGAUUCAAAGAGUAGAUUAUUGGCAAUCAACGUUUCAACACCACCAUACAGUAACUCGAGCGCUUUCCCUACAAGAAAAUCCCCGACAACCGCCAUGAUCACAGCGCGAGCUAGCUCUUCCGAUCUAUAUGGUUCAAAGGGGGAAGAACAAAUUGGCCAAAAGAAAGAGAGAAACAAGAAAGAAGACUAGAGAGGAAAGCAAUAAAAGGGUUCGUCCCUUGCUUGAUUUGUUUGUAAUAUAUAGGCGUCAUGGCGAGAUUAAGAAGAAUAGGUUCGGAAUGGGAACAUAACCCUCAUGGCCGUAGCACUUGGCUUCCAUACACAUGGAAAUUAAUCUUUGUUGAUUGUAUGAUAUUAUGAUAAAGCUGUCAUAACCUAGCUCUAUAGAGCGCUCUAGCUCGAUCAAAUGAGUUAAUUAUGUUUAUCAGAAGUUGUAAACUAAUUAAGCUUUAGUUGACUUGCGAGAAAUUAAUGAUCGAUCCACAUUAUUAGGUUGUCAGCUAUGAUUACUCUUAAUUUAAUCCAUCCCAGAUCACAUUCACACGUCAAAAAUGCAAGCUGGCUAAACCUUGAUCGUUAUAUAUCAUUUUAUGAUACAGAAGACUUCUAAAUCAAUAAUUGAUGUCUACUAUCUUUGGUCUUUCACUUCUAUUUUAUUUUAUUAUACUCUUUGGUCUUUCUCCGUGUUUUGUGUAUAAAAUUUGUUGUUUUUUCUUUUGAGAUAAGUUUUUCAACAUUAUUGGAGUUUUGAGUAGAUAAUUUGUUGUUUGUUCUUUUGAGGUAAGUUUUUCAACACUGUUGGAGUUUUGAGUACAUAAUCUGAGGUUUUCUUGAGGAAAAUCUUUCAACAUUGUUUGUUUGUUUAUGGUUUUAAUUUGAAGGAAAAACAUAAAGUCUUUUAUUGAUCACAUGAAUUGUAAGAAUACAGCUUGGAUAAACAUCAUGAUCAAUCGGUAGCUGUUAGAGUCAUCUGACUUAUCAGAGUCAUCAACUUAUUUGAAGCAGAUAUGAAACCCCUAGACAUUUAACCUAGCCCGUCUGGCAAGAAUAGACCAGAACAAACUAGGCCCAACCCUCAAAAGAAAAGCCUCAACAUAAUGAGUUCAGGCCCAACUGCAAAGGGCACCCAAGUUGCAAGCUUGUAGCCGCCGCCGUCACCUCUAGCAGGCGACCUUGAUCCCAAAGUAUCGCCAUCGGCCCACCAACCAGACCGAAAAUCCAGAAAGGAGAACGCCGUCGGUAGAGAUUCUCGAUAAAUAUAUCAGGACUUGAUUAAUUGUAAGAAGGUGUUCAAGUUUUAUUUCUAUCUUUGUAUUUGACAUUUUUAUCGAUGAUGAUCAGAGAGCAGCCGACCAGUCACAUCAGGGCACCAGGCUUUAUUAAAACAAAUGAAUAUAGAACUUAGACCCAAAAAAAAACAAAUUUUUUUUUUUUUUGAAAAGACAAAAAAAAUAGUAGAAACGUACACUUUACCCGAAAAAAGAAAAAGAAAANAAAAAAAACAAACAAACAAACAUACACUUCGGCCAUCAACUGGAAUUACUUGGGCUUCCAGAGCACGAUGCUAAGGUUUUUGAGAGUGGGUAAAAAGGGUGUCCAUAACUCUCUUGCCUGCCAAUCUUCGCAUAUCACUUCCUCUAACUGCUCAAGAUGUGAAACUGAUUCAGGCAGUUUUCUCAAUACAUUACAGAAAACCAUCUGCAGCUUUCUUAAACUCUUCAAUUCACCAACAUGCUCAGGCAACUCCUCUAUUCUGCAGCAUGCAUCGAUGUCAAGAAAGUUUAACUUUUGGAGAUUUCUAAUCGACUUAGGCAACUCCGACAAUAUGUAACAGUACCUUAGACUCAAUACUUCUAAAUUGAUCAAUUUUCCAAUCGAUUCAGGCAACUUAUAUAGCCGAUCACAGCGGUCGAUGAUGAGAUGUCUCAGACACUUGAGCUUGCCCAUUUGUUCAGGCAAAAACUGAAAUGCAUUAUUGUUAGAAAUUUUAAGAAAUUUUAAUUUCUUGAGAUUGCAAAUCGAGUCUGGAACGGCUGAAAGAUUUUUGCAGUCCUCAACCCUCAACACUUUUAAACUGACCAGACUUCCAAUCGAUUCAGGCAAGGCAUCUUUCGAAUAAAAGCGGCUGAUGAUGAGCAAUUUUAAUUUCUUGAGAUUUCCAAUCGAGUCAGGAAGCACUCCAAAGUUCUCAAGCUUCAAAACUUCUAAUCUGACCAGAUUUCCAAUGGCUUCAGGCAACUCAAAUGAACUGCGACCAGAAGAAAUGAUUUUGAGCUUUGUUAGAUGAACCAGCUCGCAGAGCCCUGCAGGACAUUCCCAGAAAUCGAAGGCCUCAAUGACCAUUUCGUUAAUAUUUGGAAAUACAUGUGACAAUUCAACAGGAUCUUCGUCGUCAUAGCUCCAUUCAUCUUCCUCUUCAACUUCGUAGCUCCCUGCUCUCAAAUACAACUUGUGUAGAUUCUUCAACUGUACUGGGCUCUUGGUUAUGCAAGAAAAAUUGAUGCCGUCUAAUCUGAGACUCCUAAGAUUAGAUAAGGAGCCUAGUAGCUCAAAAUUAUCCAUUUCAACAUAACAGCCAGAGUAAUUUAGGACCAGCAGCAUCUUGAGUUUAUGCAUUCUCUCCACAAAUUCGGGUAAGGCAAAGAGCGUUUCUGAUUGAAAAUUCAAGAUUAGAACCUCUGCCUCUGGAAAUUCCAUGUUGGGCAGUUUCACUGAGAACUCUCUAUCUGCAAAAAACAUAUAAUAAGGGUUUGCAUGUAAUAUUAGUAUUUGCAUAUGUAAUGGAAACCAUAUAUAUACGUACCAGUUGAGAUAGAUACAAGUCGCGCAUUGAUGUAUGGAUAUUUUUGUUCUCUCCACCAUUUGGGAAAAUUGUUUCCACAUAUCUCUAUUAUUAGUCUUUUUCUAUCCUCCACCGGAUCCCCUUUCAAGUUGUAGAUAGCCAGUUUUCGAAGCAAAUCAUGUUGUCUAACGACGUAUUCACUGAAAUCUUUUGCCUCCUGUACCGCUCCGAAACGUUUAUCCCUAUAUAGUGUUCAUGAUUAGAAAACAAUAAUGCUAAUUUUAGUGCUGAUAAAUUUGUUAACCUAUGUAUCAAGUAUUAUUAUGCAACAAAACGAAAAUAUUGUACAUAUAUAUGGAGAAACAUAUGAGCUUGUAUUGCAUACCCUUCUGGUUCUUGUAAAAGAGCCAGACCGCGAUUGUUGAGUUCAUAGAGUUUGCCAAUGCAUGACGUCUCUUUCUUUAGAUCAUACAACUCUGCCCACAUAUCAAAGAGAGCUGUAACUUGGAUUUCAACAUCUCCCGGAAAAGCACAUAGGUCGAAAAAACAUUUUUUGACCUUAGGCGGAGCAUUUUCUAAGACAUCUAUGCUGGUUUGGAGCUGAAGAAGCAGACCCGUCUCAAAAUCAAGAAUGGAAGAACUUUCCGACCAAUCAUCUACUCUACUUCGCCACAUUUCUUCAGGCUGCCCGCAAAGUGAUCUUCCGGCCACUGUAAUGGUCAAUGGAAACCCAUUGCAAUAUUUUACUAUCUGCAUAAUUAGAAUUUCAAGAAGUUAAAAAAUGGUGAGAUACCUGGUACCUACUUUACCGUAUAUUGAUGAGAUUUGUUUAGUAAGACAAGUAAAGCUUAAAUAUGUGCAAGAAAAGAAUCACCUCACCUCUUUCGAAAGAUGUUCUGGAAUAUGAGAGCUCUUGUCUCCCAAGGAUGCUGUAUGAUGAAAUACUUGCAUUGCAUUUUCAUAAUCUAAUAGUUGUAGAUGAUAUGAAGGACCAAAUUUCGGAAAUUCAGACCUCGAUGUCACUAAAAUCUUGUAAUUUGACAUGUUGUACUCAAACUUCUCAAGAAGAGAUUUUGAUCCAGACCAAACAUCAUCCAAGACCAACAAUAAAGGAUCUUCACCUUUUUCCAUCUCAACCCUUUCAAGCCAUUUCACUGGAGUUGCUUCAUUAUGGGAAGCAGGUCCUUUAUAACCCUUUUGUUCAUAUAACCCUUUCAUAAUACGCUCCAAGUUGGGCUUUUUAGUAAAAGUGACGAAGAAGAUGUUUUCCUGGAAUUUAUCUAACCAAAUACAGCAUAAAAACAUCAGUCUGGUCCUUAGGUAAUGGCCAUGCUAGGUAAAUUAUUGUGUAUAAUUUGUACAUAUAUGGCAGUAACUGUGGAUCAAGGAGGCAAUAAUUAGAAAUGAAUGAUGAAUUAGUAUAUCUGGUGGUACCUUUGAUGUCUUGAUCUUGACAAAACUUUGCUGCCAAAGUAGUCUUGCCGCAUCCUGCAGGACCAGUCAGGGUGAGCAUGGAUCUCUCAUCCUUAAGAAUCUUCCCCUUCAGUUGCUCCAAAGGAACUUCCAAUCCGACUAUCAGCUCUGGGAGUUCAGGCAGUGCUGCACUUAAAGCUUCAAUUUCUAAAUCCUCAUUCUUCUUCAAAAGCAAUGAAACACCCCUUUCUAUGUUUUGAAGCACAACCUGGAUAUUCUCCGCGGCAACUCCAGUCUUCUUCACUUCUAUUGCCAUACUCUCCACGGCAACUCCAGUCUUCUUCACAUCUCUUGCCACCUGCACCUUGAGUACCUCUAACUCCUUUUGGAGAGACUCUUUGAAUUCAAGAAAUUCCUUCGAGUACUUCUGCUUCUUGUAGAUGUUCCGGACGCUCCACUUACCAAGCUUAGAGCAUUUGCUGACGAGCUCUGUCCCCCGCUUUAUGAGUCCUUCUAAAGCUUCCAACUCCUUUGUAAGAUCCAAUUGUUGGUUAUAUUUCCCCAUCUCGUGGAUCAGUGGUGCUAAACAGUCGAGCCUGUCUUUGAUGUCCUUGCAGAGAUCGGAGAAUAUCAGAUUAUUCCGAAUGACCUCUUCAACGCCCGCAUAGAGUGCCUCGAAUGCUUUUCCCACAACGAAAUCCACAGCCAUUGCCAUAGUACAGUGCUAGCUCUUUUAAUCUAAACUUGGAAGACGAGAGAGCCAGUACUCAAAACUCAAUUAAUCAAUAUUCUCGAUCUCACUUGCUUUGGUUGUGACAUGAACUGAUACUCAAAUUAAGCUCAAUUUAUACAACUACAACCUUCUUUCUUUUUGCUGAUCAAAGAACUACAAGCUUAAUUAUUGGAUGAAUUUUUAUUCAAAAAAACAACCGAUGGAAAGCUCGAGUUUGACUUUGCCAUAGUCUGGUCUUUCUCUAAACUUGUGCACCUAUCGAGCCUUCUGUCUCCGGAGACUUUGAUGGCAAGGAACACAACCCACAUGGCAUCACUUGUGACUUUCAUCAUGCACAUGGAAUAAUCUUUGUUAAUUAUAUUUUUAUUUUUUGGUAAAAGAAAUUAAGCUUUAUUAAAUAAAAAAAAGAAUCAAACAACAGGGGUAUAAAUGUAAAUGAUGCACGAGACAUUAAACAAAGGGGGUUAAAAUUUACACAUCAUUUUUUACAAUUCAUACACCCUUACCCUAUUUUUUAUAAAGAAAUGUCUAAAAUGUCUCUAUCCUUAACAACUUGAAGAGAUUAAAACAUGGAUAGUUUAGACAUUUUCUUAUAAAAAGUGGGGUAGGGGUGUGUAAAUAUCAAUCACCUAAACAAACCAUGAAAAUGUUUGGAAUCGAAUGGAUCAAACUCCACUAAAGGUUCAGAAGCAUUGUAGGUAUUUGAUUGGGUGCAGGAUACCUUUGAGUCGAUCGACAUGGUUUUUUUCUUAGAAUUCUUUUGUUUUGGGAGAGCACGGAGAUAAUUAAGCUAAUUAAGAACUAUUUAUAUCCUUGUUAAUUAGGAUUUAGUUGACUAAUAAUGAUCGAUUCACAUUAUUAGGUUACUAGCUACGAUAAUAAUCUUUGUUUUAAUCUAGUCUGUGAUCACACAUUAAAAAUGCAAGCUGGCCAUUGUUUAUUAGCGACAUGGUGCACACACCUUGAUUAUUAUACACCCUUCUUCUUCUUCUUCUUCUUCUUCUUGUUUUUUUUUUUUUUUUUAAGUGUUAUAUAGUUCCAGUCUCCUCAAUUUGCGCCUGUGCGGCCCAAUCUUCAAGCUAAGCCCAGAUUUCUUUUAAUUAUAGUAUACGUUUGCUUGAUUAAAUAAGAUUCUCAGAUAUACUGUUUCCAAGUGAGCUUGAAGCCUUGAACUAAAAUUUAUGUUUCUGUGCUGUAGCUAAGAAAUCUUCACGGUAUUUCAGCAAUCAAGCUAAGUCGGACUACGCUUCACUGAUUUGUUUAAGGUUAGACAGAUGAUCUAUUUGUACUUUAAAUAAGACUAUUAGUUACUUUACUAUAUUUGAGUAUGUGAGAUAUGAACGUUUUACUUCACUACACCAACUUUACUAGACUACUCGCAUCGAAAAUAAACACCACAGACUACUAUUAACUCCAGCAAGCCAGACAUGAUUAUUUAUGUCAAUGAUUUGCUGAACUGAUAUCGACUCUGAUAGCUUCUGAAAUUGGAUGGGAUACCUCAUAUAGGAAAGAAGUUCAAUUUGACAGCCAAAAAAGAAGGAUCAGUGUGAAGAAAAAAGUACCCAAGAAAAUGAAGUUUCCUUAUUAUUGAGACAUUGUUUUUUUUUUUUAAUUCGAUAAGAGCUAGGUAAAGCAGAGUGCUCUCCCACCUCAAAUUUAUUAAUAAAAAAGAAAGAUUACAAAUAAGUUGGAUGGCACUAAAGCCAGUAUCCUAAAACACCAAACAAGAGACAUCAAACUACACUAUAAAACAAGUCAAUGAAAACGAAAGUUUGGGAGACCGAACUUAUCUCGUUGAUACAUGCCCUGAAUGAAGUGGGGAGGUUCAUCCCACCAAGAUAAUGCAGACAUCGACAAACUCAUAUUGGCAAGAGCAUCGGCCACCUGAUUACCUUCCCUGAAGAUAUGAGAAGAUCGAAAAUUCAUCUGAGAAAUGCGGUGCAAACAAUUACCCCAUGCUACUCGUAAAUGCCAAGGAACAAGAUGAGGAUCACGUAAGAAAUUAAGCACAAUUGUUGAAUCCACCUCAAGCCAAAUAUGCUUCCAAUCCCUAACCCAAGCUAGCUCAAUAGCUUGAAUAACCGCCAUAACCUCUGCAUCCACCGAGUUAGGAAUUUCAAGGUUUGAAGCAAAAGCACCAAGGAAAGAGCCGUGAAAAUCCCUAAAAAUUCCACCAUAACCAGAUUUCCCUGUAGUCUUUUGCCAUGCACCAUUAGUAUUGACUUUAAACCAACCAAAGAGAGGCGGAUGCCAAUUAACCUCUGUAAUCCUAGGAGCCCGACGGGGCCGACAUAAAAGACCAAACUUCUUCAAAACCCAGAGCUCUGUUAAAGAAUUAGACAUGCAACCUGAGGCGAAUUUGCUAGCUGCUUUCACGUGACCCAUAAUUAACUGACUUACUGCAUCUACAAUAAUGGUACAAUUAUCAUGCCUCAUUUUAUUCCUUGCUUUCCAGAUAAACCACAAGGUAGUGGUGUAGCAUAUUAACCAAAUCUCCUUGAGCUGAUGACUACGCCCAACACACCCCCAUAGUAUAAUAGAUCAACCAAAUUUUGAGGUAGACGCACAGGGUUGAGACAUUGUGCCCAUAGUAUAAUAACCCCCAUAGUUAUUAUUGAGACAUUGUUAGAAUAGUCGCAAUAUUCCAAUAGAAAACGCACAGGGUUGCCAUAAGAUCCCUGCUGGAGUUGUCUGUACACUGCAGGGAAGCUCCCUAUAGCUUCAGUGGCCGUCUUAGCAAAUUUUAGUUCUGCAUAUAAACUAGGCAAAACACAUGCAACCCAGAAAAAUAAGGACUAAUUUAACUUAUAAUUGAAAAAAUAUAACACUACAGGUUCUGAGAAGAGAAACUCAGAAACUUGAGAAGAUCAAGACACAAGCAAGAGACAAAGCAAACUCUGAACUUCAACAAACAGAGCCAUUUAUGAACGAUUUCUUCAAAAUCAAAAACCUCUAGUUUAUUCAAUCUCUUCACUAUUGUAAUCUUCAAAGCAAACUAUGAACUUCAACAAACAGAGACAUUUAUAAACGCUUCCUUCAAAAUCAGAAACCUUUAGUUUAUUCAAUCUCUUCACUAUUGUAAUCUUAAUUGUAUUCUACGUACCAACAAUGCCACCAACUAACAGCUAGCACUCGUUUCUCCACAAACACACUCCCCUAAACCAAAUCUGCAUUCCACAGAAUCACCUGAAACAAUUAACAAACCAUUUCCACCACAAUGCUCAUCUCAAAGACUCAAACCCAGCACUCAAUCAAGCAAAAGAACCAAACCCAGAAACAGAGACUCACAGAAUAAUGAACAUAUAUGUGUAUAUAUAUUUGAAGCUCAACAAAUCAUGAUCACCUUCAUAGUACAAAAAACAUGUAUACAAAGCUCAAUUUACCAUACCCAAUUGAACAGCUUCCGAAAAAACAACAAUGCAAGUUAACCCAAGCUCACUCCUUUAAUCAAUUAAACUCAUCGCAUCUUCGCCUAAUCUCUCCCUUCCUCCCAGUCUGAAUCCCAUACACACUCAGCUUCUCCAUCGCUCUCGCAAAAGCAUAGAAGAACUUGCCCUGAUCCUUCGCAUAGAGCUCCACAAACGGCCUCGUCCUCGGGUCGUUAAACAGAGCAUGAUCCGACUUCAGCAGCCCCAGUCCCUUCGGAAGGUUCUGGAAAUACGCAUUGUCGAACUUGUUCGGCGUCAUGAUAUCAUUAAACACCGACAAAGUCGGGUUCUUCUGGAAAUCCGCGCAUGCAUUCCGCAACCCGGCCGCGUAUCUCGGGUUGUACUCCGGGUCGGACUGCGCCGCGCUGCUGUAGUUGUAGAUCGCGGCGGUGAACUCCUUACAGUGGGAGAAUCCAAUGGUGUGGGCCCCGGUGAGGGCCACCAUUUCUUGAGCGGAGAAGCCUCUGGAUCCGAAGAGCUCGAUGAGCUGGGAGAUGGUCAUGGUGGGCAAGGGGAGGGUUCCGUCGACGGCGGCGGCGUGUGAGGAUUUCCCGUCGCGGCGGCCGAGGGGGACGUUGUAGUAAGGGCCACCCAUCAUGGUGACGAGGUCGCGGGCGGCGACGGCGAGGAUGUCGGCGCAGGAGACGGUGCCGGGGCAGGCGAGCUCGACGGCGGUCUUGGCGCGGACGACGACGUCGAAGGCGUCGCCGGGGAGGGAGAGGUUGAUGUCGGCGUCGCGCUCGGCUUUGUUGAAAUGGGUGGAGGAGAUUAGGACGGAGGCGUCGCAGCCGUUGUGGAGGCAGUCGUGGAAGAAGAGGCGGAGGGUGGCGGCGGCGGUGGUGGGGGUGGAGAUCUGUUUGUUGGUGACAAUGUCCUGAACAAUCUGCGUGAAUCUCGGGCAAGACUUAGAGUAGUAGUUUGUGUAAAGCCUUGAUUCUAUAGAAGCAGAGCUUGACAGGAGUACGAGGAAGAGAAUGAGAAGCACCGCCAUGGCUGAGCUUCUGGUUUGGUUUCUUGCUUCCUUUCUGAGCUGAAAGAGUUGAAGCUAGUUUUAGAGUGAGGGGGUUUUACUGGGAUGAGGGAGCGUGUAGAGUAAUGUCUACAGGCGCCACCAAUCACGGGAGGGGUAGGAAAUGACGGGGGUGCCCUUUUGGUUGGUGUUGGGAUGUGAGCCUGGGGUGGUGUUUUGUGUAAUUGGAGGGAUGCGGGGGACGGAGACAGGGUUAUGAGUAAGCGGGAAUUAGUGGAGGGAUAAUUAAUUUUGAUUAGUGAUAAGUGGAGUGGAGUUAAUUAGGGAGCGUCGGUUCUAGGGUUUAGAAUUGGGGAGGUGAGACAACGGUGUGUUUAGCGCAUGUUGCGUUCGAAUCACACGAGAGAAAUAUUGUUUAAAACAGAGCUUAAAAAUCUUUAGUUUUAUGAUACGUGAUAGGAAGAUCGAGAGUUUCGUGUCUAUUGUAAUUUUUAUAAAAAAUAUUUUUGUAAUUUGUAGUACAACAUAAGUGAGUGAAACUAAAAUUAACAUACUGAAUAGCUAAAGGAUGUAAUGAUUGAUUUCCAAAUUGAGAGAAUGAAUGAAAUAGUAAUCACAAGCUUACAAUCGGCAAGAAAGCCUCCAAAUUCUUCUUAGUUACAUGGAUAGCAUGCAUAUCUGCACUUCAGACGAACCAAGUUAUCAAGUUAUCAUUAAGAGAUCAAAAGUUCCACACGGCUGUGUGAUGGUCCCCGCCGCAUCUGAUCCCAUGGAUGCCAUCUCAUGCCACUCUUUAAAUGUUCUCAAAUCCAAAAGAGCGGUGAUCUAGUUUGGAAUUUAUGAGCGAACUAUGGGCUGGACCAAGUCAACUCGACUCACCUAAUGGCAUGUUCAUUACAUGCUAGGCCAAAAUUAUUCACUUUGCAUCAACUCCUACAAAGACAAAAGUGUCAAUCAAAGCUUGAAUGGUUUCAACUUUUCUACACUGUAUCCAGCAGUGAAAUCCUAAAGUGCAAAAAAAAAAAACUCGCUUUGAAUUGAGAUCAGUAUACGACCUAACACAUCAAAUCUCAAGAGUUUCAGUAGUCCGGAGCAUUAUUGAUAAAAAAAAAGGUGCUGAGAUUAGAGAGUUAGAAGAGGUUGGGUUGAUGAGUUGAUGUAGAGAGAAAUGCAGAUGCAUGUGCAAAGCUGGUCCCAUAUAAGCUGGGUUUGUUCCUAUGUUGAGUUACAUUCCUUAUUGCUGAUGGUGUUGCCCAUUUCUAAGCUAACACCUCAUUCCUACUGAUCUGACAUGGAUAUGAAUACAGCUACAUCUUUACUAAGCUUUCCACCCCAAUUCAUGGACCAAAUUUUUGAUCCCACAAAUUAUCAAAAAUGUAGUCUUUAUCAAGAUGGAACUCAUAUGCAAGAAUUGAACUUUAUUUCUGCAUACACAAAGCAAACUAGAACAAACACCAAAUACAGAAAGCAUUACAACAACCAAAAAAAAAAAAAACAGCAGUACCACACAAGAUGUUACAUGUUAUCAUGUUUUAUUGGCAAACAAGCACAUCAUAUUUUGGAUCAUGGAAAGAUGAAUGUCCCUUCCUUGUACGCUUGGUCAUUGCGCUCUUUCAUGAAGUCCAGCAGCAAAGAGGAGUAGGGUUGCUCAACAACUCCCUUGUACUCCUUCAACCACUGCAUGAAGCUGCUCUUCUCUAAGAAAAUCUCCGGCGACAAUGCAUAAUUCUUGAGGGAACCAUACACAUAGGCCUCAAACUUUUUCAAUUCUUGCAAUGCACAUUCUUUCUCUUCAAUUGAUCCGUUCUUCACCAGAUUGCAUAACAUGCGAGCUUCUUCAACGUGUGCCCAAAAACAAGAAUCCUCAUUCAAACUAGAUCCCACUGACUGUCUUUUCGAUUUGCUUGGGACUUCUUGAGGUUUGUCUACUUUCUUCAACCAUUCUUCCAACAGAAUAAAAUGUUUAGGCCUUUUCCCAUCAGUUUUGUAGCUCUUUCCACCAUCUUUGUAGUAGUCUGCAAUGUGAAGUGGCUCAACCAUCCUUCUGUAGUUGGUGCCUGCCCAUAGCCAACGAACCCGAAAAUGAGCUCCUUCUAACUGGGGCUUGUUUUCUACUUCUGUGACAGAGUCCUCCCAAUAAUUCAUGAGUUUUUUCUUAAACUCAUUAACAUUUACGUCGCUUAUAUGCCCCUGGUUUCUGUACUUGUCAUAAUAUCCACCUACUUUGGGUUGUCUGGAUUCUUUCUUAUACCACUCCAAAAAGGCCAUGUGAACUUUCAUUUCAUUCAACUUCUUGUCCGAAUCCGAGUUCUUCUUCUUCUGAAUUAAUAACUUUGUUUCAUGCUUCUUCAUCCUUACAAUCAGACUGUCAAUCUCCUUACUUGGCUGUUGCUGUUGCAAUGAUUCAAUUUAGAUAUAAGGUCCUACAUAUAAUGUGAGGAACGAGCAGCAAGCAAACUGUUUAGUCAUAUAAUCAAUAAGUGUAAAUUUAGCUACCUGCGAGAGAAUUCCAAUGGCUUGAAGUUGUGUGAUAAGGCAUGCUUGAAGUGAAGAAUCUAAUUUAGCUUCAAUAGACUUGGAAAAAUUACACAAUGCCUUGCACUUGAGAUCACUCAAAAUGUUUCCAUAAUGGCACUCUUGAUUUUGGGCGUGGGUUUUCACCAACUGUUCCAAAAUGAUAUCCGGAUCCUCAAGACAAGCACAACCUAAAGCCGAGCAUAGUAGGAAUGUCCCAAAUGGCUUGUAAGCACCAGGAUUACGCGAUAUAAAUAGUUGAGGUGUAGGGUCUUGGUUAGAGACAAUAUGCAAGAAGCAGGACUUCCAUGUUGAGAACUUUAACACACAUUGUCGGAGUUGUUCAUCUCCAACAAGAGGAGAACCAAAAGUAACGCAAAGGGGGCGUUUGACUUUCGACAAGUUGAGGCCUUGUAGCAGCCACAGUGUGAAGAGUGUAGCCACACUACCUCCCACAGAUUGUCCAGUGAUGAUUACUAAUGAAGGGGUUUUGCUCUUGCUAUUCUCUACCAACUGAAACAUUAUAAGAAGUUACAAGCUAAGCUAGUGAUAAUGAUCGAUAAUGACGAGGUGCAAACAAGUCAUGUGUAAUCUUACAGAAACUAAUUAAAUCUAAUUAUCAUAACUAAUUUACUUGUUAGCUUCUUAUAACUAACCUUCUCUUUCAGCUGAAGUAGCUCAUCGUAUUGUGACUUAAAAAGUUGGAUUGCUGCUUGGUUGAGGGAGAAAUUUGGGUUGGUUUUGUUGCACAGAAACUCAAAGUGAGCAAAGUUGUCUUCUUUCAGGCUUGAUGAUGAAACCAAAGCUUCUUGUCCUUGCAGAGAGCUAGGUGGAGUUCCAAAAGCUAUGAUGGUAGGAUUUUCUGGUUGGAUUUCAUUAAACAAACAUGGCUCUGCAUUCGGAUUGAUCUGUUUCUGUUUCUCGAUUGCGUUCCAAGCCUGGUGAACCGGAUCAGAGGUCAAGAGAAAGUUCGCCGAUUCCAAACCGCUGCUGAAUCUAGCAUCAUCAAGAACCAAAGUCAACGCAAGUAAACAAAACAGAAUCACAAAAAACCAGGGAUGAACAGGAGGUGGACUCUACUUACUGGUUGCUGGUCAUCUUCAAGCUCCUUUCUCUUCAAUUUACUUUGAAACCCAAGGAUCGUAAGUUAAAUUUUGUAACAAGAACAGAUGGCUGUCAUUUAAAGGGGAUCAAAUGCUCUGCUACUUUUCUUCCCCACCAACCAGGAACUUGCUCGAAAUUCACCAAGUCUUCGUCCAGACCCAAAAAUAAUAAACAAAGUCUUCGUCUUUUGUCCAAAGACACGUCAAGAAAAUUACUUGGAAAACGUUUGCCUGUUGCUAAGAAGAAGAGGGAAAGAGGACGUCUACAUUUCUGAGUUAUGCUAUUGAACUUCCCCGGUAAUAUUGUCACGGGAUGAGAACUUCGCUCCUCUACCAACCGUGCGGCCUUAGAGUUGUUCACCUCCUUGAACUCUCUAAGUCAGUCUCGUCUUCAGGCAACGGAAACAAGAGCAACACAAGAGAACAAGAAUGCUAGAAGUAGACUAAGUGUGCAAGACUAAGCAAAGUAAACACUUAGACAAUGUGGGAGAAAUGAACUUUGUAUUAAGUUAUGAACACUUACAAGACUUUCCAAGAUGGUUUGGCAAAGAGCCUUCACCACCUAUUUAUAGCCUAGCACCUCCUUAAUGGAUGGCUAGGAUUCAUUUGAUCCUAUGGCUAUAAUUACAUGUUCUAAAAUAUACAUGAAGUAUCUACAAGAAAAUACCUAAGCUAGGGAAUUCUAAAGUGUCCUAGAAUUCUCUAGAUAGAUCCACCAUGUUCUUGAAUGUUGAAGUGCCUCCCCUUCCAUGAUGGACUUGGGCUUGUGUCAUGGACUUGCUUCACUCAAACUUGGUCCAUGACAUUCUCCCUCACUCAAGUCGGCGACGUCCUCGUUGCCCUUGCGAUCUCCUCUUGCUCGAACUCGGCAAUCUUGUCCUUGAAUUGCCACAAGGACUCCUCUUUCUCCCAACUAGCCUCGGACACGGGCAACCCCUUCCAUUUGACAAAGUAUUCGGUAUACCUUGGUACCCGCUUCUUCCGCACCUCGCGCUUGGCCUCAAUGCUAUCAACUUCUUUGUCAAAUGAAGUGAUCAUAUAAGCGGGAGCUCGAUGAGUCUUACCUCGUUCGGGUGCUUCAGCAUCUUCAUGAUAAGGCUUCAAGUGACUUACAUGAAACACCGGAUGAAGCUUGGUGUUAAAAGGUAGUUCCACUAGAUAUGCCGCUUUGCCUACCUUCUUGAGGAUCGGAAAGAGACCUUCAUACUUCCGUAGAAAACUCUUGUGAAGUCCCUUGUUCGCCUUGUGUUGUGUUGGAAUAACCUUCACGAACACUAAGUCGCCGGUUUAGAACUCCAAGUGUCGCCUUUGCCGGUCCGCAUACUUCUUCAUCUUCUUUGAAGCCUUCUCUAAUUGCGAACGAGCGAGCUCAUUGGCUUGUUGCCACUCCUUGGCUGUUUUAUAUGCAGCGGGGCUACUUCCCGUGUAGCCGGUCACCAACGUGCUUGGAGUCAAGGGUUGUUGUCCGGUUGCUAGCUCAAACGGACUUGCUCCCGUCGACUCGGACCGCUACAAGUUAUAAGAGAAUUGGGCGACAUCAAGCAACUUUGCCCAAUCCUUUUGGUUGGCACUCACGUAAUGCCUUAAGUAUAGCUCCAACAAUGCAUUCACGCGCUCCGUUUGCCCAUCGGUUUGCGGAUGAAAGGCCGUGGAGAAGUUUAACUUUGCCCCAAGUAACUUGAAGAGUUCCCUCCAAAACCUUCCGGUGAAUCGAGCAUCUCGAUCGCUAACUAUGCUCCUUGGAACUCCCCAAUACUUCACCACAUGCUUGAGAAAUAGGCAUGCCGCUAUCUCCGCGGUACACUCCACGGGUGCCGGGAUGAAUGUGGCAUACUUGGUGAAUCGAUCUACCACAACAAAGAUGGAUCCACAACCAUCGAACUUGGGUAGAUUUGUCACAUCCCGGGACCCGCUCCGCCGUAACACGAUAUUGUCCGCUUUGGGCCCCCGACCCUCACGGUUUUGUUUCCGGCAGCUCAGGAGCAGCUUCCCAGGAGGUCACCCAUCCUGGGAUUGCUCUAGCAUCAACAUGCUUAACCUCGGAGUACCCAUCCCCUCCGAAGCCGCUGAGCCACCAAAAGGCCUCGUGUUAGAUUGGAGGUGGGCAUGUACAUAUACAGCACAUAACCCCUCUCCGUUUGGCCGAUGUGGGAUAUUACAAUAUUGGUGAUGAAGUCCAUACUUAAACUUUCCCACGAUCUUGAUGGAAUGGGAAGGGGUUCCAACAACCCUCCCGGAUGCUUUUGCUCCACCUUGUCUUGUUGGCACACAAGGCAAGUCUUCACAUAUACAUCCACAUCGUCCCGCAUAUGUGGCCAAUAGUAGGUAUCGCUAAGCAAUGCCAACGUGCAAUGAGUGCCGGGGUGUCCCACCCACUUUGAGUCGUGGCAUUCUUUCAAUAUCUCCCUCCUCAAGUUGUCCCAUUUUGGAACAUAAAGCCGCUUCCCUGUUGUGUAAAGCAACUCGUCCUCAAGCCAAAAUCGCCUUGUCGUUCCACUCUUGACAAGCUCUACCAAGUUCUUGGCUUGAGAGUCAUGGGAUAGUCCCUCCUUGAUUCUUCCCAUGAGAUUGCUUUGAGGUGUAAGCACGACGAGUGCUAGCUCGGCUUUCCGGCUUAAGGCAUCCGCUACCACGUUCUCUUUGCCUUGCUUGUAUUCCAACUUAUAGUCGAACUCGGCAAGGAACUCUUGCCAUCUUGGUUGCUUCGGGGUAAGCUUUUGCUGCGUUUGAAAGUAGCUUGUGGCCACAUUGUCGGUUCAGAUUAUGAAAUGGGAACCAAGCAAGUAGUGCCUCCAAGUGCGCAAGCAAUGAACUACGGCCGUCAUCUCCUUCUCAUGCACCGAAUAUCGUCUCUCGGUGUCAUUGAGCUUGCGGCUUUCAAAGGCUAUCGGAUGUCCCUCUUGCAUAAGUACACCACCAAUGGCAAAGUCCGAUGCAUCGGUGUGUACCUCAAAUGGCUUGCUAAGGUCCGGCAGCCUUAGCACGGGUUCCUCCAUCAAAGCCUUCUUUAAGUCUUCAAAGGCUUAUUGGCAUCGAUCCGUCCACUCCCAUGUCUUGUUUUUCUUCAAAAGGUCCGUUAAGGGUGCCGCAAUGGCGGAGUAUCCCUUGAUAAACAUUCGAUAAUAAUUAACCAAGCCAAGGAAUGAUCGAAGUGCGGGUACCUUGGUUGGCGGCUCCCAAUCUUGGAUGGCCUUCACCUUGCUUUCCUCCAUCAAGAGCUUUCCAUCCUUGAUCUUGUGGCCUAGGAAGUCCACUUCCUCCUUGGCAAAGGAACAUUUCUCCUUCUUCACAUAGAGUUCGUUCUCCCUAAGGGUUUGGAACACUAUGCGAAGGUGCUCGACAUACUCCUCCAAGGUUUUGCUAUAGACCACAAUGUCAUCGAUAUAAACUACCACGAACUUAUCAAGGUAAGGAUUGAAUACCUUGUUCAUUAAGGUGUAAAAAGUUGCCGGGGCAUUGGUGAGACCGAAUGACAUGACUAAGAACUCGAACGAUCCGUAUCUUGUUACACAUGCGGUCUUCGGUUCAUCUCCGGGUGCAAUCCUUACUUGAUAGUAUCCUGAGCGAAGAUCUAGCUUGGUGAAAUAUCUUGCUCCUCCCAAUUGAUCGAAUAGGUCGGCAAUCAAAGGGAUGUGAUACUUGUUCUUGAUGGUGAUCUUGUUAAGCGCCCGGUAGUCGAUGCACAUCCUUAAUGAGCCUUCCUUCUUCCUUUGGAACAAGACGGGGGCACCGUAUGGGCUCUUGGACAGUUGAAUGUAGCCGGCAUCAAGCAACUCCUUAAGUUGCUUCCGGAGCUCCUCUAGCUCGGGUGGCGCCAUUCUAUAGGGAGACCUUGAUGGUGGCUUUGCUCCGGGUUCCAACUCGAUGGCAUGAUCCACCUCCCUCAUUGGUGGCAACCUCUUCGGCAACUCCUUGGGCAUUACAUCUCCAAACUCCUCAAGGAUUGCCUCUAUUGCUUUUGUCAAUGGUUCGGACUUUCCUCCAACCUCCUCAUCCAUCUUGAGGGUUGCUAGGAAUGUCGGCUCGCCCUUCUUCCAAGCUUUAGCGAGUUGCAUGGCGGAUAGAGCCUUUGUCUUCUCCCUUGCUUGCCUUGCCACGAGCACCACGCAAGACAAUUCUCUAUCCGCAACAAUGCAAAAGAUGUUAUAGAAUGGAAUGGAAAAUGCUCGUACAUUGUCCAUGAAUUCAAGGCCGAUUACCACGCCAGAGUCAUCCAUCUUGACCAUGGUGAAGUCGACUUUCCCCUUCCAAGCGUCAAUGUGAACCUCCACAUCGCGUGCUACCCAAACAAUAGGUGUGGCAGGUGUAUUCACUGUCUUCACACUGCCUGACUCCUUCGUGACUCGGAGGCCAAGUUUCCUUGCUUCUUCCGACGUCAUGAAGUUAUGAGUUGCUCCGCAAUCCACCAAGGCACGAAUCAUCGUGUCUUUUGCCUUGACAUCGAUGUAAAGCGAUCCACCUUCCGCUUGUCACCUUGGUUGAGGGAUGCUAGCCUUCACGGCAUUGAGCAGCCGGAUGCAUCCCAUCCUUGCUGCAUCAUCUUCCUCCGCCUCGAUCCUAUGCUCUUGCAAGGUCAUGGCUUUGAGUGCUUUCUUUUGAGGGCAAUCGCGCAUCAUGUGAGGGUCGUCGCAUAAGUAGCACUUCACUUCCCAAGUCUUGUUUGCGGACUUGUCGUGCUUCUCGAACCUCUUCACCUUCGGCUUGUAGCUUGACUCGGGCUUCUCCUUCGGCUAUGGCACAUCUCCCCCACUUUUCUCAUAGUUAACCUUCUUCCCCUUGAACUUGGUGUCGCCUUGGUAGCUAGUCUUGAAUUCAAUAAGGGACUCGGCAGCGGCAAUGGCUUGAGACAAAGUUUGCACUUGUCUUCUUUGCAACUCAAGCUUUGCCCAACUUUGUAAACCACUUAUGAAGUAGAUGAGCUUGUCCUCCUCCGUCAUGUUGGACACUUCGAAUAGUAAGUUAACAAAUGUAUUGACAUAGUCCUUGACGCUACUCGUUUGCUUUAGCCACCUAAGCUUCUCCUUGGCUUCAUAUUGAGCAUUUUGGGGAUAGAAAUGUAACUUGAUAUCAUUCUUGAAUUCUUUCCAAGUAUCAAGAGAGAACGUACCUUGCUCGAUUUCCAUGCUCCUUCGACGCCACCACAUAAGGGCAUUGUCGGCUAGGAACAUGGUAGCCGUUGAAAUUUUGGACUCGUCAUCCUCAAGCUUUAGAUACUUGAAGUACCUUUCCAUGUUCCAUAGAAAGGUGUCAAGCUCUUUAGCUUCCCUCUUCCCACUAAAGGAUUUGGGUUUGAAAGAGUCUAAUGCCUUCGUCUCCUUUGGCCCUUGCGACUUGUUAAGUGCAGCCUCUUUGCUUAGCGCCCAAUCUCCCUUGACCUCCUUCACUUCCUCUCGGAGGGCUGUGAGCUCAGCGGACAUUUGAUCAAACUUGUCUCGGACCUCCCCUCGGAUCCUAUCUGCCAUAAUGUUAAGAGCGCCGUGCAUUUGCUCUCGCAACUCUUCCACCAUGGCUGCGAAAUCCCCCUUUGUCACGACGUCAUCUUCAAGUCGAGUGUCAAACUCGACCACGGCCGAUUCCACCUUUCCGAGCCGUGCAUCAAAGGCAGCAAGUACUUCCUUGUGGCUCCUCUUGGCGCCAACGACAGCUUGCUCCACCGAAACUCCUUCUCCGGACAUCUUCCUUCUCUUUGUGUUGUACGCGAGCAAUUAGACUCUGAUACCACUUGUCACGGGAUGAGAACUUCGCUCCUCUACCAACCGUGCGGCCUUAGAGUUGUUCACCUCCUUGAACUCUCUAAGUCAGCCUCGCCUUCACGCAACGGAAACAAGUGCAACACAAGAGAGCAAGAAUGUUAGAAGUAGACUAAGUGUGCAAGACUAAGCAAAAUAAACACUUAGACAAUGUGGGAGAAAUGAACUUUGUAUUAAGUUAUGAACACUUACAAGACUUUCCAAGAUGGUUUGGCAAAGAGCCUUCACCACCUAUUUAUAGCCUAGCACCUCCUCAAUGGAUGGCUAGGAUUCAUUUGAUCCUAUGGCUAUAAUUACAUGUUCUAGAAUAUACAUGAAGUAUCUACAAGAAAAUACCUAAGCUAGGGAAUUCUAAAGUGUCCUAGAAUUCUCUAGAUAGAUCCACCAUGUUCUUGAAUGUUGAAGUGCCUCCCCUUGCAUGAUGGACUUGGGCUUGUGUCAUGGACUUGCUUCACUCAAACUUGGUCCAUGACAAUAUACCCUCUGCCUCUAGUUUGGAACUUUGGCUCGUUCCUACGCACACAGCCAUUGACCAUUGUUCAAAAUUGUUAAAGAGAGAAUUUUUCAAAUGGUGCCCCAAGUUAAGCCCAUUCAUUAUUUUGACAUCUUAAUCUUGAAAACUAUAAUAAUGGUACCUCAACACUUAAACUCAGCCCAACAUUAGUUCCUUCCGUGAUUGACACCACCGUUACGUUGGAUUUUGUCCAUGGGCAAAAUUGUCUCUUCAUGUUUUCCCUCCACAAACUUUGUCAGUUGAAUUAGAGUUUCUUGACUUGAAGAUAUCAACUAUGAAUGUGAGUCAUAUUAGCUAGUUAUCUUUGAUUGUUAUAUUAAGUAUGUAUGUUUCAUGAACUUCAGUACUUAAAUGCAUUUUAAUCAAUGUUGAUUCUUUCUCUCACCGGUGGGUUGCAAAAGCUACUUUUAAUGAUGGAUAUUAAUGACCAAUGAUGUAUUAUAAUUUCUAAAUGUCUCUAAUUUUUGUAUGCAGACAACACAUGACUCACCACAAAUUCUGAUACUGAUGGAAAAAUGGACAUUAUUCUUGAGGGAAAUGUUUGUGAAAGAAAAAGAUUUAGGGAGGGAAAACAUGAAAAUACAAUUUUGCCCAUGGAUAAAGUCCAACUUAAUGGUGUCAAUCACGGAGGAAACUAAUGUUAGAUUGAGUUUAAGUGUUGAGGUACCAUUAUCAUAGUUUUCAAAAUUGAGAUGUCAAAAUGAUAAAUGAGCUUAACUUGGGGCAUCAUUUGAAAAAUUUCCUCUUGUUCAAAAGCAAAGCCACGACCAAGCCAGAUGACCCAGAUCAAGGUGUUUUUACUGCAAGUCCAUUAUACAAAAUGGAAAAAAUAUAAUAUUUUCAAAAAAUUAGGAAGCCCAUGAUCAAGGUGUUUGCACUUCACCAAGACCCCAAUACAUGGACAAAUGUUCUGUAGUUUUACUUGCGCUUGUAAAUGGUGUUGCAUUAUUCAUGUGCAACUCACCAUUCACUAUUCCUCAUGUAUAUUAUUGCUCAUCUCAUAUGAAGGGUAAAGAAAAUUAAGUAGCUGAUGCUCUUGCUGUCUUUCAAGUUUUGGCUCUUCUUCUGGUGAUAUGACUUUAAGAGAUACACUACCGGAUUUUGUUGAUUUUUUAGUUCACUUUUAUGACAGUGAGAGGUUGAAACUUCCUUAUUUCCGAUUUCACGUUUGUUAUUUUCUUUGAGAGGUGUGAGUGUUUGUCCCCCUUUUUUGUUUAUCACCUUUAGUAAAUAAUCUCACUCUUAUUAGUCUUAAUAAAAUAAAAUAAAAUAAAAUAAAGGACUACUGCUCUAGUUCUCACGCACGACCAGCAAUACAAAUGAUUCUCUUCCUGCUUUCUAUUGUUUUCGAAGUACUUUCAUCUAUAGCAAACUAUAAUUAAGUUACUGCCAAAAUAUCACUUAACAAUUAGAUUUUUUCAAAGAGUUUCUAAACAUACAAGGAUAAAAUUUUACAAAUAAGGACAAGUUGUUAUAUUCUUGUCAUGUGGCAAUAACACAUUUAUAAUUUUGUCCUUAAUUAAAACAUACUUCACUGCUACUACCUCCGACCGGAAGUCUGCAGCUACUAUCGCCGACCGGAAGUCUGCUGCUACUGCCGCCGACCGAAAAUCUGUUGCUACUGUGCAGAUCAGAAAAUUUAUUGCUACUGCAGUCGACCGGAAAUCUGCUGCUGCUGCUGCGUCGACCGAAAAUUUACUGCUACUGCCGUCGGCCGGAAAUUCAUUGCUACUAUCGCUGAUCGGAAAUUUAUUGCUCCUGUCGCCGACCAAAAAUUUACUGCUACUGCCGUUGAUCGGAACCUACUGCUACUACCGACUAAAUAGCUACUGCUACUACCAAAUUCACCCAAAAAAAAAACUUCUACUACUACCAAAUCUACAGUAGCAGAACUCUUACACAUCCAAAACCUGAUGAUCUGCAAUAGCAACAAGACCUGAUGAUCUGCAACAACAGUAGUAGCAAGACUUGACAAUCUGCAACAAUAGUAACACCAAAACUUGACCUUUGUGGCAGCGCAGUAGCAGCAAAACUUGAUGAUCAGCAACAACACAAUAGUAGUAGCAAGAUCUGAUGAUCUGCUACAGUAGCAGUAAGACUUGAGAAUCUACAACAACAGUAGCAACAAAACUUGACCUUUGUGGCAGCUGUAGCAGUAACACUUGACAAUCUACAACAACAGUAGCAGCAAAACUUGACCUUUGUUGCAGCUGUAGCAGCAAGACUUGAACAUAGCCUUUAGAAGGUACCAACUCAUUAUCAAUGAGAUCGACUCCUCAGCCGCCACACCUCUCCGGGACGUCAAGCUCCUAGCCCUCUACUUCUCCAUCUCCGAUUACAAGGUUUGUCGAGAUCUAAGGUUUUGAAUUGUGACAUUAGAUUUGGAAUUAGCAAUGUUGAAUUGAAAUUGUGCGUUCAAGAAUUUGUGAUCUCUAAUUACUCAACGUCAAAGUCGGCCUUAGCUUGCUCGGAGCUAUUGGACGAUGACGAGAACCUAAUCUUCCAAAGAGGUCGACAGUGAGAAUUGGUUGGGUGACAAGGUAGUUGGAGAGAGAGAGAGAGAGAGAGAGAGAGAGAGAGAGAGAGAGAGAGAGAGAGAGAGAGAGAGAGAGAGAGAGAGAGAGAGAGAGAAUAGGUAAGGGAAAAAAAAGAAAAGAAAAAAGAAAAGGAAGAGAGUGAGAAGAAAGUUUAGGAUGUCAGAGUAUUAUGGUCAUUUGAUAGGUUAAAUUUGGAUCAGACCUAAUGCUAUUAGUUUUGGGUUGGGCUCAUGUGUAUAAAAAUUAAUGAAAGUGAGUUUUUUGUGUUUUUAAAUUUGAUUAUGUACUACUAUGUAAUUUUCUCUUUCAUCUACUCUUUUACUGUUCGGGAGUAAUAAUUAACGAGUUAAGUUCUUUUUUUUACUAUAAUUAGAGAGAUAAGUUUCUGGUCAUAUUAGCCUACUUUUUAUGAUCAAGUAAAAACCGGGAAGAAUGCAAGUGUGACGAUAUACAGUAAUCAAAGUGCAUUAAACAUUCCUAUCUGUGGUAGGACGUAGGAGAACUCCAAUUGCUAGUGUAUGAUAAUGCCAGUUUGAAGUGGCUAUUUCGAGUACCUAGAUAAACUUGAGUCAGGAUGAGAUCGGUUGCUAUAGAGAAUUGCAGAUGCAUAUGUAAAGCAGCUGGUUCCAUAUAAGCUAGGUUUGUUCCUACGUUUACCUACAUUCCUAAUUGCUGAUGGUGAUGACACAUUUACUUACUUAGAAUGAAAUUUAUUAUGAAUGAAAGAUAGAAGGAAUAGGAGAUGGAAUAGAACAGUAUAUGGAGAUUUCAAUUCUAUUGAGCUGUUUACUUACCACAUGAAAUUAGAACAUGAAUAUAAUUAAUUAUUAUUUUAAUUACUAAAAUACUUAUGAAAAAAAUAAAGCUACACAUUUCGAUCACUCUCAACACAAUUUUUUCUUAUAUGUUGAUCUAAUUUUGUUUGUCGUUUUGAUUGUCUCAGUUGAUAAAUUAUGUAUAAUCAACAAACCAAAGGGACUAUUUCUAUUCAGUGUAUUAAUUAUAAUCAUGUGGUUACAUAUUAAUAAUAUAAUACAUAGACUACGUGUGCACUUGUGUAUAUUGCAAUCUCGUUCUUACAUAAACUCUCUUCUAUCAUGAUUUAUCAAAUCAUUUGGACCUAAUACUAGCAUUUUGGGUGUAUCUCAAACCGCGAGUUGCAAGGAUUGAACAACAAAAUUAAGACAUCAUACGUUUAUACAUUUUAGUAAUAUUAUAUUUAAAUCAAGUAAGCAAUUUUAUAAAUAUAAAAAAAAAAUUUAAACAACUUCCAUGUAACACCUCGAUUUGCACCUCAUCAAAUCAAGUACAUUACAAUGCCGCGUUCUCUUAGAACCUAAACUAGGGCCCAUCACUCAAGCCCUGAGAACCCGCAAGGCAUUUUAAUUAAACUAACUAAAACUUUUAUAAAUUGAAAAUCAAAGUUAAAGUCGGAAGCGUUACAUAAAUGAGGUGUAAAACAUUAUAGUAAAACAGAUUUACUUCCUUCGGAUCAAGCUAUAAAGCACAAAACUAAUACGAAAUAACAACUUCAAUAAAACAUCUCCAAGGUUAACAAAAACAUAGUUCCUUGGUAGCACGGAUAACAAUGACAGGAAAAUAAAAUAAAGUAGCUGACAGACAAAAAACUUCAAACAAGGUUUCCAAAUAAAACACAAGGAAAUGUAUCCAGUAAUCAUGAUACAAAAUGGAGACCUUACGUACGAUAACAAAUUUAAAAAAAGACAUUUAACUUUAACCAAAUAUGCACACCCAUCUCAAUCCAGCUCAAUCCCAUUCUUGUGCACAGAACCUGCAUCGAAAACUGUUGUAGGGGUGAGCUUUCGUCCUCGCUGCUCAAUAAGACUCAACCAACUAGGUUUGAAAACUAUUUAAUUUAUUGGCCAGUAUGUGAAAACAAAUAUAAAUAUAAAUGAUGAUCAAAUCAUAAAGUAAGUUUCAUUUUGAAAACUAUCUGCGGGCCCAGAAUACACAAACCUGAUGACCGGUCCUCUUAUGCCAACUACAACCUUACCGCAAUUAAUAUCGUCCAUACCGGCAAGGUGUAGCGAGAGUGUCCAUUUACGCUAUACCGCCUAGGAGUGACGCCACACCUCAAAGGAUGUCAGACGUCCUCGAGUCCGUACAGCCCCUCCGAAGGUUUAGGGGAUCGAAACCCAAGGAAGUCACUAUGCCCCGCUCACUCUCAAGUCAUCACACAAUAUCGAAAACAUUGAAAACAAGCAUGGCAAUAGAAAUAUUAAAUCUUCAUAAUAAACCAAUCACAGCCAUGCGAUCAUUUUUCAUAUAUAAUAUACGAAAAACCACUAGCCAAGAAGAGUCUAGAAUCCCCUACCUGGUAUUCCUGGAGUCCAAGUCUUUGCUCCACAACACUCGGCAAACACCACCAUACUCGAAAACUCAAGAACCGGAGCUCUGUCCGACAUUUCAAAUAUUAGUUCCUUAAACAUCAAUUAGGAACUCUUUUCAAAAACUUAACAAGAUCACAUGUACUACAUAAUGAUCAUAUGAGGUGAUAGCUAAUAGUAGCUAGUUAUAAAGACCGAGCUUAGUUCAACACACUAAGCCAACUAAUAAUGGCUCAUACUUAACUCAUUCUUUAUCUCUAGCUCAAAUGAGCAUCUGAACCCAAUUCGUUUCUCAUUCAAAUGCUUUAACCCUUCCAACUUAUCAUGAACUAUUGCCAAGUAAUUUGAUUCACCACUUCAUAAUUAUUGUUUUCAAUAAACACGCUGGAAGUAUAUAGUAAGAGUGUUCCAUUCAAAGAAGCUUCAUGACAUCAAUAUUUCAAAAAUGUCCAGCACCUUAUGUUUCAUUAGCUUUCUAUCCGUAUCAUGAUUCAAACCAAACCAAUAUCCCCUUGAGCACAUCGAAUAGCAACAAAUCCUAGAUACCAUUGAUAUAUCAAUUACACUCUUCAAAAUAAACUAGUUUCCAACUUUAUCAUUCUUGUAAAUAUGAUGCAGCAUAUUACCAAUAGAUCAAAACCAUAUCGUUCAUAGCAAGGGAUCAGUGCAUACUUACAGUAGCCUAAUAAUUCUUUCCAAAGUAUAUUCAUAGCAAACACAAUUAAGUCAACUAUAUGUAUCCAAAGUGAUCACCCACUUACCAUGUAAUUUCUUUAUUUUGAUCUCUUUCUUCCUGAUGCGUUGUUGGACCAAAGCAACUGAACCUCAUAUACUCUGUUUUCAUUGAAUAGGCAUACAAACCAUCAAUGCCAUCAUAAUCCAAUAUAAACAAAAUUUUAUACUUGGAAGAACAUGAAACAAGAGUUCCCUUGUUUACCCAGGCUCUCACCUUAAUUUUCAAGAGGAUGUCCAUUACGUCCAAGCAUGUAGUCUUGUCCUAGAUGGAGAACUUGAACCCUUCUUCUUCUUCUAUUCUCAUUAAAAACAAAGUAAUUAAUAAUUGAUCAAUUGCUUAUGGAACCAAAUCCAAUCAAAGAUACGGUCUUACCAUCUUUAUGGUCUCUCUAAAUUUCCAUUCACCCAUCAAUUUCCAACUUCUGCAUUAUUUGACAUGUUCAGGAGUCAUUAACUUGCUUCUUAACUCCAAAAACUCAUCACCCAAUAAAUCUUAGUUCGCAUCAUCACAUAGAACCAAAAGACAAAAUUAAGAACUCAAAUUCAAAUCAGUGGCAGAAUCUUACUUGUGAUUUUCAGUUUCAUCACCUCUUCCCUUCACAGCUUAAUUAUUCUCCAUGGUCUUCCUGCUUUGUUACUUGGAACCUAAUUCAACUUCAGUUUGUCAUCACCAGCAAUCAAACCAUCAAAAAUAAUCAAAACCCAAUCUGUGUUAAAAUCUGAAAUCCCAAAUCUAUGGGUUCUUGGGACUUUACCUCAAAACGCCAAGAGAAGAAGAAUAACGUUCAUGCAUGUGGCUUUCUACAACUUGAAUCGAUGGCGACGGUACAUAGCCGAACGACCCAAACUCCAUCUCUGUUGUAUCCUUGAACUGAAGAUUAACAUCCCACCAUGAAUAUUUAGCAGCUUUGCCUUCUUGAACAUGAACAGAGAGACACAGAGAAAGAAAGAGAGUGAUCAAGAUCGAGAGCGUUCGUAAGAGAGGGAGAGAAAACGGGAGAAGCUUCUGGUCAUUCUCUGAUCAAAGCUUAUCAAUUUGUAGCUCAUAUAUAUAAAAUUACAAUGUUGCCCUCCUUAGUCCCCGGGUUAUUCCAAGACUACAUUAUAGGCCCAAUUUAAAAAUGAAACCUCUCGAACCCAACUAAACCGAGCAAUGUCCGUCCACUACAGAAAUCGUUUACUAAAAUCAUUCGUGACCGCAAUACAUAUAGCUAUAACUUUACGGGGUCUCACAUUCCACAAAUAAUAUAUUAUUAGCAUAUAAAAAGAAGCCUUUAAGAAAAAAAAAUUGAAAUUAUUAGCAUCUUAAACAAAUUUCUCAAUAUAUUAUUAGCAUAAUAAAAUUAAAGAGGGCAUUUUUAGAAUAAAAGUUUAUUCCUGAUGAUAUCAUUCAUUAUCCCACCUCCCCCUUUAGUAUUACAAUUUAGGGUUGUUAAGGAAUCGAUUCCUUAUUAGGAGGUGGGAGUCACACCCAUUCCAAUUUCAUUAUGUGUAAGUAAACGCUAGAAUUCUCUUCUGCCGGAAUCAUUCCCUCAUUUUUCAAUUUCAUUCCAUGUAAGUAAAUGUGUCAGCAAUUCAUUCCUAUACGGAUCUGAACAUGAAUUAAAUACAGCUACAUUUUCACUAAGUAAGCAUUCAAUCCCAAUUAAUGGAUCCAUGUUUGUGCCACAAACUAUCAACAAGGAAGAGGCUUAAUCAAGAUUGAACUCAUCGUUGAACUUUAUUUUUGCAUACACAAAGCAAACUACGUGGAAGAAACACCAAGCACAGAAAAUAUUACAAUAAAGAAAAGCACCACACUAGAUAAAUCGUAUGUUUAUUGGCAUAUAACUCAAUUUUUGGAUCAUGGAAAGAUGAACUCUCCUUUCUGAUAUGCCUCGUGAUUGCGCUCUUUCAUGAAGUCCAGAAGCAAGGAGGAGUAGGGUUGCUCAACAACUCCCUUGUACUCCUUCAACCACUGCAUGAAGCUGCUCUUCUCCAAGAAAAUUUCCGGAGACAAUGCAUAAUUCUUAAGGGAACCAUACACAUACGCCUCGAAAAUUUUCAAUUCUUGCGGUGCACGUUCUUUCUCUUCAACUGAUCCAUUCUUCACCAGAGUGCAUAGGAUGCGAGCUUCUUCAACAUGCGCCCAAAAACAAGAAUCCUCAUUCAAACUAGCCCCCACUGACUCUCUUUUCGCUUUGCUUGGGACUUCUUGAGGUUUGUCUUUUUUCUUCAACCAUUCCUCCAACAGUAUGAAAUGUUUAGGCCUUUUCCCAUCAGAUAUGUAGUUCUUUCCACCAUCCUUGUAGUAGUCUGCUAUGUGAAGUGGCUCAACCAUCCUUCUGUAGUUUGUGCCUCCCCAUAGCCAACGAACCCGAAAAUGCGCUCCUUCCAUCUGGGGCUUGUUCUCUACUUCAGUGACAGAGUCCUCCCAGUAAUUCAUGAGCUUCUUCUUAUACCCGUUAACAUUGAUGUCAGAUUCAUUGCCCUUCUCUCUGUACCUGUCAUAGUAUCCAAUAUUUUGCCGUUUCGAGUCCUUCUUGUACCACUCCAAGUUGGCCAUGCAAAUUUUCAUGUCAUUCAGUCUCUUGUCGUUGUCCGAGUUCUUCAUCUUCUGAAUUAACAACUUUGUUUCAUGUUUUUUCAUCUUCCCAACCAGAUUGUUAGUAUCAGGGGACUGUUGCUGUUGCAAUGAUAACAUUUUGGUAAUAAGUUAAAUAAAAAGUAUGGAAAAAUGAUACCAUACUCUUAUCAUAAAUUAGUUUGAUUUUUUUCUUUUUCCACACUUCACAACAAAUAUAGAAACGCACAGAAUAAUGAUAAUUUCCUUAUUUUUCUGUGAGAUCAUUUGUUACCUGUGAGACUACUCCGACAGCUAGGAGUUGUGUGAUUAUGCUAGCUUCAAGUGGAUCUCUUUCCCCUCCAAUGGACUUGUAAACAUUACAUAAUGCCUUGCGCUUGAGAUCCUCCAAAAUAUGUCCAUAAGGGAACCCCAAAUUAGGAUCUUGAGUUUGAGCACUAAGAGAAUUGGCUGUCACGAAUUGUUCUGAAAUGAAAUCCGGGUCCUCAGAGGUAGCACUACCCGAGGUCGAGCAUAAUAAGAAUGUCCCAAAUGGCUUAUAAGCACCAAAUGUAUUUCGAGACAUAAAGAGUUUAGGUGUAUGAUCUUGGUCAGAGACUACAUGCAAGAAACAAGAUUUCCAAGUCGAAAAUUCUAACACACAUUUUCGAAGGUGUUCAUCACCAACAAAGGGAGAACUGAAAGUAACGCAAAGAGGGCGUUUGGUUUUGAGCACGUUGAAGCCUUCUAGCAACCAUAAGGUGAAGAGUGUAGCCACAAUGCCUCCCACAUAUUGUCCGGUGAUGAUUAUCAAUGGUGGGGUUUUGCUCUUGCUAUUCUCUACCAGCUGAAACAAUGUAAAAUGUUAUUUACUCAUCAGAAUGAUAAUGAAGCAGAACAAGAGACAAGCAUGUUAUGUCAAUCUUAUGUUUUACAAAUACUUGUGAAACUAACUAAGAUGACAACUUCAAUGUAUAGCUUCUUAAAACCAACCUUAUUUUUCAGAAGGAGGAGGUCAUCAUAAUGCGACUGAAAUAGUGUGAUUGCUGCUUCAUUGAUGUAGAAGACUGGAUUGCUUUUGUUGCACAAAAACUCAAAGUGAGGAAAAUAUUUUGAUGAAACCAAGCCUUCUUGUCCCUCAAGAGAGCUGGGCGGAGUGCCAAAAGCUAUGAUGAUCUGAUUUUCUGGUUGGAUUAUUUCAUUGUACAAGGGCUCUGCAUUUGGAUUAAUCUGUCUUUGUUGCUCAACCGCACACCAUGCCCGGUUUACCGGAUCAGAGUUCAGCACAAAAUUCCCCGAUUCUAAGCCGCUGCUAAACCUGACAUCAUCAGGAACAAAAAUCAAACCCAGAGUAAAAAUGGGAAGAAUAAACAAAAUAACAGGACCCAGUAAAGAACAGAUACAUUUCUGAAAAUGACACUCAGACAUGGUGAACUUACAAUCAUAAAAACAAGCUUGGCAAAUAACAAGGAAAAAAGAGAGAACAAAAAUCUUAGGAAGAGACUACAUACUUGUUUUGGCUGACCAUCUUCAAGCUUUCUGGUAUAUGCUUAGAGAAACAACAAUGAUCGUAUAUAUAUAGUCAGUGAGAUCAUUCACCAGCAAUCUCCAGGAAACUUACCGAUAAGCAUAUAAAAACUUCUUCCUGUCCAAAAACUAGAAAACCAAGUCUUCGUCUUCGUCAAGCACGUCAACAUCAACUCAAACCGAGCAACUUCAUGAAAGCUUAAUAGGAAGACCUUUAGCUAGAUACAAGAUGCCUUAUCUCUUUCCCUUUUAACUUAACGUGUUGCGAUUCCUCGUAGUCUUUGCAUGUUCAUACGCAAAUCACUGGAGUUAUUAUAUACCGGACUAUAUUUUCCCUGGUGGUUUCGGUUCUUAAGCUACAUUUUCCCGGCCAUAAUCUAAUUUAAUUACAGAUUGAUCAAUGAUCUAUAGAGAAUAUAACUGGUUAAACUAAUUAAUCAACUUGUAUUAAAAGGUGUGACAAAGUUAACGUCAAUUUUGUACAACCUCUGGGGAACACUUGGAAAAUCCCCUUGCUAUGAAUCUCACAGUUAGCAAAGCAAUCGCCAAAUAUCAGAAGAAAUAAGAAGCUGCUGUUAGAGCUGUCAGCUGUAGAAGGUCUGGUUCGAACAUAAAGCUCAGCUUUGAGGAAAACUGAUGAGCGCAAUAUCCUAAUCCAACAUUGCCUUACAUUGCUUUACGAGAGGAACCUUCCACAGAACCAAUGUGGAUAUCCUUUGUGUAUACGUUUGUGAGCGCGAAAAGCAGCAGAACAAAGACAACUUGAGCACUCACUAUUCCAAAAUGGCUGAUGCUGUUACCAAUUUCCAUCCAACUUCCUGUAUUCUGGACCUGUUACCGAUCAAAAUAGUCAGUAAAGUCGAUAAGAAUACAAGGUUUCAUGUACAUUAUGUAUAGAAAUGCAGUCUGGACCACACAUUUAUAGCUACCAAACUCGUAUCCUUAUCAGUUAUGAGACGGCAUAAUUUUAUUCGUAGAAUGUAGUUAGUAUACAUACCAGGAAGAAGAAAUGCAUAGUCAUAACAUCUGAAAACAAUAUAACGAGGAAAUAGCAUCCCAAUCGUGGAAGUCGAUUCAGCUUAGUUAUUGCACUGAAUACACAUCUGCAUUUCAAUCCACCAAAGAAAAGGUUAUAUUUUCAUUCAUAGAAAUUCAACUCAACUUCCUCACACCAUAACAAUGUAGCCACAAAACAUAUCAUAACAGGGCAGCUCAAGCCAUGAGAAGGCAUUAGUACAAUCUAUAACCAUUUAUAACUUGGUAAAAUUUUCUUAUGGCACAAUGCUAUAAUCAGUCAUAAACACCAAUGAGACACACAAUUGUGAUUGUACUUACAUGACAAGCAGAAAUGGAAUGAAUAGCUUGAAGAUCAGUAACGCUGCCAUAAGAAAGGGCUGCAAUAAGAGAAAGCAACAUUAGCAAAGUAGCAAAACUCUGCAAAUAUUCUGGAUUCAACAAAAAUUCAACCAUCACUUACGCUGAAGACAGUAAUGAAUCGAUAGACUGAUGAGAUUUCAAAACUUGCGAUACUUGCAAAAUUUCCCGUUCCGAAGAAGGCAACAUUAAACAAGACCAGCUAAAGACACAAACUCCAUUAGCAUCACGUCAUGACCAGUAAUAAGUAUGAAAAACACUAGGCAAGGAGUACAUUCUCUUAUAAACACCCCCAUACUUCUAGUGAAAUGUUUGAGGUCAGUCAUCAGUGCAAUGAGUUUGAAUUGUUUUCUAUGAUUCCUUCAGCAACAGUAGUACUAGCUAAAUUUAUUUGCACAGAUUAAAACAAAAGACCAUGCUAAACAUAAUUGAUAGGUGGCUACAAGCUUUAAUUUUCUAAUUCACAGUUUUCUCAAUUAUAUUGCAGCUUCAGAAAAUCUUACAAGACUUAUAUCAUAGGUAAGGAAGGUCACAGAUGGACGCAUAACUAAUAGCCAAGAUCACUAAUACAGAAGGUCAUACAUAAAGCAUAUCUGAAUUUAUAAAAUAUUGUGUGCUAGUCUUGUAAAGGUCUCCAAAACUUCAUUUGGAAUAGCAUAGCAGAAAAAAUAUUUAAAAUGCAUGAUGAUAUAAUUUAAGAAAACAAAGCACUUACAAAUGUCAAAGGAAUUCUCACAUCAGACAGCUGCAAGUAUCUACCAUCAACUAGGGAAUUAUCCUCCAUAUUGUUAAAGGAACUUGACAACCUUUUCACCUUACUAGAGUAAAUAAGUGUGUUUUCAAAUAGUAUCCAAGCCAUGAGUACGAGAGCAAAAGCACUAUAGAAGACAGCUUCAUAUCUGCAUAAUUUUUUAGAAUGAACAAAGAUAUUAGAAAAUCCAUCCUAAUUUCAUGCAUAUCACAAAGCUUCUAAAGACAAAAAUGAUAGGUGACACAUAAUUUGCCUUUACCCGAUAGAUAAUAGAAGGAAUGUGGGUGCAAAGCCAAGAAAUAUGGACGUAAGCCGGGACAAGAGACCAUUUGCUGAAAAUAAUGGAAGUACCAUCGAGGGACCUAUGACAAGACAAAAUAAUAGAUAAGUACCAUAUGUGGAAUUCACUUCUAACGUUACUCGGGCAUUGAAAUAUUAUCAAUCAGUUUACUGACCAUCAGAACAGAUAAAACAAAUAUAAUAAGAUAAAUUUGAAAAACAAAAAAAACAACAAAAAUUGUAGAGCAAAAGAAAUGAAAAGGAGAAACAUAACAAAAAUUAGAUGUUGGAUGUAUGCUACUGCCCAAAACUAUAACCUAAAAUGCUAAAUUGCCAGUCUAAGAGCAUACCAGCAAUGGACCAAUUUAUAAACUGGUGCCAGACAUGCAGUUCUUGGUUCUGUGUUCUAUGAGAUGUUGAAAUUGACACCAUCACAGACGAUAAUCCAACCAGAAAAGCCUAAUUCACAAAUAUCCAAGAGAAAGAAAAACGACUUUAGAUCUGUGGAGUCACAUCAAACAUAAGAUCAUACCAAUUGGGAGCUGAGACAAGUGAAGCACCUGUAAUUGAAAGAGCAUGGGGAACUUGGGUUUCUUUGCGUCACUAUUACAGAUACUGAGCCAAAACUUGUUUCCCUCAGUAUGCUGAUCCAGAAACCUACCAGCUGCUCCAACCAUAAUAAUCAUAACCCCACUCCAUAUUCUGUAGACAUGAUAUUGCACAAACACAGACAUAAUUGUUAUGGCCAACCCAAAUGCUACUAAUAGACAUCAAACUCAAGAUAGUUAAUACAGUAAAACUGUCUAUUUAUCAUAACAGGCUCAAAAUCUUAUUGACUAGUUACUGAUUUUAUCCGUAAGCUGAUAUGAGAACAACAUUGUUUGAAUUCAAGAUUGUGCAAACAACUUUAAUUCUGUCAGAUAAUACGUCCGCAACUUAUUGAAAACUAAACUGUCACAAGCACAUACAUUGAUAAAUAAACAUUCCACAAGAGUCCACUUACACAAGAUUAUUAUUAUCCGGAAUUUCUGCUGGCAUCAAAGUAAAUACAGAUAAGAACCAGCAUGCACCACAAACAAAGAAAGGAAUCCCAGAUCUCCAUGGAAUUGACUUGAAAAGAUAAAUAAAGGCUAUGGCUCCCACAGUCAGAAAACACCAGGUGUAGAGCUUCCUCUCAGUGAAGCUAUUCACCUACAGAAUAUACCAAAGUACACUGUUCAGAGUUCAAAAUACCAAAUUACCAGGUUUUGAAGCCGGAUGAUAAAUAAGUUUGAUUUCAAUACCAGAUAUUCAAGUAUGAAUACUGCGACAGCACAAGCGGCUAGAACUUUUGUGAAAUAGUUGAUUUUCCUUCCAGAUAACUGUCUCCAUAAUGCUUUAAUGAACCGAUAUUCACUAGAUAUUUGUGUCCACAAAAAUACUGUCAUUGUUGUGUAUGCAUGGUAAAGAGGAGGAGACUGCUCAAUGAACAGUAUCAUGCUGAGAAGUCCCAGAAACAAGCAUCCAGAAAGUUGUACCUGCCAAAAAUUAAUAAAGAUAUUUUAGUUAAAUUUUAUAUUUAGAGAAUUUAAAACUUGGCCUCUUCUUUUUUUUUGCAAAAUAUUCCUGAAUUUGGCCUCUCUUUUUCUUAUGGAAAAUGUAUCCCUCUUUUUCUGUGAACUUCAAUUGAUAAGGUAAUUAAUGGCUAUGCAAGAUCAAGCUUACACAAACAUUACUUUUCUGGUAUUAUCUGUCUGGUGAUCUGCUUGCAUCUUUAUCAAUAUAUCACCUGCCAAUGACGUGUAUGAUUGCAGCACAUGGAGAACAAUAUAGGUCAUCCAACCAAUAUACCCAAGAAUAAUUACAGUCAUGAGCAUCAGCCAAUCAUAAGUUUGAAAAUAAUGAAGUCCUUGUAGUGCCAAGUCUCGCAGAUUUUCAGAUAGUUUCCUAGCAGCUUCAUAGUCUCCAUUAGAUAUUUGAUCCUCAAUUUGAUCCAAGAGGNNNNNNNNNNNNNNNNNNNNNNNNNNNNNNNNNNNNNNNNNNNNNNNNNNNNNNNNNNNNNNNNNNNNNNNNNNNNNNNNNNNNNNNNNNNNNNNNNNNNAUUUAAUUUGAGCGUACCUGGGCUCUCGCUCAGGCGUUGAAGAUCGAUGAAGUUGCAUGUUGUGAUUGCAGAUCGAUGAGAAGAUUCUCUCAUGCAUCAGUUCUAAGGAGUAAAGAAGAAUAGAGUAAAAAGUCUUCAUCGAAAAAAAGAGAGAGAAAAGAACCAUGAGUAGAAACCUUCAAGUGAGAGGAGAGCACAUAAACCUUCAAUCGAUGGAGGGGGUGUGGCGGUGUACACAAUAAACAUGUCAUUUUUCAGGCAUUUUUUGAUUGAUCAGGGUGGCCUUGGCAGCUUCCCAGACCCGAGAUAUGACUCAGAGUCGAAGAACCCAUGCCAGACAACAAGUGGAGAGCUAAGAGAUGCGAUUCAGGAUUUACAGAAAAGGAUGAAAUAUGUCGAUGUGCAAGGCUAUGGGAUGAAACUGCUUGCUCAAACAAUCAUGAAGGCUGGAAGGUUAAAACUCUGAAAACUCUCAAGAGAGAGAAUCGAGAACGGAGGAUGGCGGCAGACCUUUUUCGAGGAUUGUGUGAUGCUUCGAAACGAUGCCAAGGCCCUCCUCAUUAUAUGUGGUAUGUAUGGACUGUGGUCAUGGACGGCUGAGUCGGUAGGGUUGGUAUCAUAUUGAAUUUUGGCCAAAUUAGGUAAUGAAAAAUGUAUGGCUCUGACUGAUUGUAAAAUCCUUAUUCACAGUUUUGUAACAGUCAAAUCGAUAGAUCUAGCUUCUCGAAUUUCCCCUCGCCAGUCCACGUCUUGAAUAACUAACUAGGACCAGACAAAGUCAAAAAAGGAUGAUAAAAGAAGAAGAAUGAACAAAAAAAAAAAAAAAAAAGAAAAUGCAAGUGGUAUCUAUCUCCGCGUGAAAAACAAUGUAGUGCUCCAAUACGUUGUCGAGGAACGAAUCGGUCCAUAUGGGGUGAACCCACGCGCCGUUUAACGUCGGGUGAAGAACAUAGGGUUUGAGGGCGUUAGAUCAGUCCUCGACUGAGUCUCCGUUGCCAACCCGACCCGCACAUUCUGGGCUGUUCCGGCCACCUGACGACGUCCGACCAGCCCUGAUCGAACCUCUAUUCUCCGGCUACCUCCUAGGACUAUUAAAUCGCGCAAGCAUUAAGGUUUGAUCGAAAGCCCAAUCCGACCUGUACUUUGCUGGCGACGUACUUUCUUGGGUUGCUGAAGUCUAGGAAACUUAAUUUGGACCGGAAUUCUAGAAGUUGCUGAUUCGAUGGGCACUGGCUCUAGUCGUUCAUUUUUCCAGUAUACUGUUGUGUUGGGAUUUUCUGGGUUCUUGGUUCUGAUAUGGAGGGAGAGGCCCAAUUGAGAGUUAUGUUGAGUUUGUAGCAGAAAGAUGUCUGUUGAGAAUAAUACAAUUAGACAAAGGAGAAAGAAAAUUCUUCUGUUUGAUUGCCUCUACGCUCUACCUGUCUAGCUAGUGACCAAUAUAAACACCGUAUUUCAGGUCAGGGAAAUCCGGUGAUUGCCUCCACACUUUUCUUAUUAGACAGGAAAACAGGGACAACAGAUUUUCUCCCCUAAUAAACAUGAGUUCAUUUCAAUAUAACGUGUUUUUACUUAUGCCUAAAUACACAAUUUUAUAUUAAAGUCAUAAUAAAAACAUAAUUUUUAUAUAUUUUAAAGACAAUUUUAGCUUCAUCACUUCAACAUGUAUAGAGAGAGAGAGAGAGAGAAGAUUUUACCGGAAUCUCAUCGGACUCCGGUCACUGGACUCUGGUUUCCGGUUGUCAGAUUCCGGUCAUCGGUUGCUGGAAAUUUAUAUUAACCCUCAGUAACUCAUAUUUUAUAACCCUCAGUAACUCAUAUUUUAUCCGGUCGCCGGAUUUCGAUCACCGGUAACUCAGUUACUGACCCCCAGUAACUCGAAUUUUUUCCGGUCACCUGAUUUCGGUCAUCAGUAACG